UUAAGUUGAGCUGUUAUGCCGAAAAAUAACUUGGGCAGUGAUUAGAAAGAGAGAGGCUUGAGUGGGAACCCUAAUUCCAUUAUUGAAGAAGGUGCCGCCAUCUCCUUGCUUCAAAGGUUUCGGCUUUGGUAUCUCAUCUUCACAAAUUGAAUUUGGUUUUCCUCAGUGACGGCUUUCAAAAUUUACACUUGAUAUGAGCCCUUUUCUUUCUUCCUUUCUUUUUUUACUCUCUCCUUCCCCCAUUAUUAUUUUUUUCUGUAAAUCUAUUUUAUUUUUUUACUUUAAUCAACAUUUGCAUUCAAUAUUUUUCAUUUAACCAGAUUCUGUUCUUCUGUUCUUCUUUUAGGUCUGAAUAUUAAAGGUAUUGAAGUUUUGUUUUGUUUUUCUUUUAAGAUUUUUUUAUUGUCUUUGAAGUUCCUUUAUUUCGUCUUUAAAGCUCAUUUUCUGUGUGUUUGAAAAUUUUAAUUGCAUUCAAGUUUUGCCUUUUUCUUCAGUAAAAUUUGUGUUUCAGAAGAUUUUUCUCCUUCAUUCACACUAAAUAUAGACUCUUCUUUUAUCUAAACAGCUUUUUCGUUCAUUUUUUUGUUCUUUUAAUUAACAUUUCUUCAAUUCUUAAACAUCUUUUUGUCUAUUUUUGUAGAUUUUGUUUGAUGCGAACCAUUAUUUCCUAUAUGUUUAAUAUCUUAUUUAUUUUAGUAAAUUAGGUUUAAUUUUGUCUUUUUGUCAUCUAAGUUCUUAUGGAAGAUAAAUCAGUCUAUAUAAGGUGUCGAGUUAGCACUGAGUGUCAGCAGCAUAACUCAAAUCAUUGUAAAAUAUUUAAUUUAAUUUCAAAUUUUGUUAUUUUGUUUUUAAUUUUAGAUACAAAUUAUAUCACUAUUUUUAAAAUUAAAAGAAAAUUCAUCAUUAUUUUUAAAAUUAAAAAAAAAUCAUAAUUAUUUUUAAAAUUAGAAGACAAAUCAUCAUUAUUUUUAAAAUUAGAAUUAAAAUCAUUAUUAUUUUUAAAAUUAUAAGAAAAAUUCAAAAAUUAGAAGGAAAGUUUUAAUUUAUUUUUAAAAUUAAAAGUAAAAUUCUAAUUUAUUUUUAAAAUUAAAAAGAAAAUUCUUUAUUAAUUUUAAAAUUAGAAGAAUUUUUUUCAUUAUUUUUAAAUCAACUUUAACUCUAUUUUUUACUAAUAAAAAUUUAAACAUAAAUAUAAUAAUUAUAUUCCAAUAAUAUAAUUAGAAUUAAUUUAAAAAUAAUUAAAUAAAUAUUUAAUAAAAUUUAAAUUUGGUUUCAAUUUAAAAAGAUAUACAAUUGAGACUAAAUUGAUUAAAAUUAACAAAAAUUGAGAUUAAAUUAAAUAAAAUUAAUGAAAAUUAAAAUUGAAUGACAUAUUUAUACGUGGUAUUGACAUGUGACAUUAACACAUGGUAUAAAGAAGCCUUACAUCCGAACCCCCAACACGUGAGAGCUCUAGUACCAUCGUUUCUCGGUGUAAGGAAGUCGCAUUCCCCCAUAGAAGCCUUUUCCUAAUCUAAAAUCCUACUUUUGGGUGGGGAAGGGGUUGCCAUGUGGCAGUCCCUAAUUGACUGAUUUUAUCUGAUAAAAUAACCAAAUUCUGGUCAACUAAGGAACUAAAUUACAAUUAGAAAAAAAAAGAAAUUAAGGGAACUUUUAGGAGCUUUUAUGUAAUUUUGAAAACUUAAGAAGGACAUUAAUGAAAUAGAUAAUUCAGUUGAUAUUUUUAAGAUAAUUAAUUUAAUAUGAAAAUAUACCAACAGAAAAUGUCUUAUCAACAUAAUACUUAGAGUCCAAGUCCAAUAAAGUUUAUAUAAAGAGACUUAGGGGAGGAAGAAAUCAUAACUCAUUCAUUCACUCAGACUCUUCCAAUGGAAGCCAUCAUUCACCACUCCUCUCACUUUUAUUUUAUCAUGUAUUAUACUCCAUUCAUGGAGGGCUAAGCUUUUAAGGCUACUCCAUUGUAAUUUCAUUAUGGAUUCCGAGGUUAAGUUGAAUUAAUGAAUUUGUUUCUUAUGAUUAUUGAUUUUAGUUAUUCUUCUUCUAUGUCUUUCAUCUCUCAAUAAUGUUAAAAGUAAUUAUUUUUGCAUCAUAAGGUGUUUGAAUCUACAUGCAUGUUAAUCAUAUGAGUUCAAGGUUUUCUAUGUUUUAAUGAUAAUUUACUUUGAUUGAGUUUAGGAACCUUCAUAUGAUUAAACGUGUUCUUACUACUAAUUAAUAAUGUACUUUGAUUGGUGGUAAGAUUUUCAACUGUAAUUAAUUGAGAAUUUACUUUGAUUAAAUAUAUUUUAAUUUGGUCAAGGGAUAUAAGAAUAGACAUGAUUAAAUACAAUAGGAUUUGACUGAGAAUGUAUUUUGAUUGAAUUCAUUGUGAAUAAUAUAGGAAGGUCUUACAUUUGAUUGAGAAUCUACUUUGGUUAAUUGUAUGAUCGCCCUCAAGUGAGAAUAUACUUUAAUUAAUUUGAAACUCAAACAAUAAUCAAUUGAACAAUGAUUUGUGGAUAAUCGAUGAUGAAUCUAUCUUGGAAAAAUAGUGGAAUUAGUCUAUUUUAUUAUAGUUGCUUCAAAGUUUCUCAUUUGUUCUUCACUUAAACUCACAACAUUCUUGAACAUCAAGUUCAUUAGGCUAUAUUUUCAUUCUUAUUUUUAAGCAUUGCAUAGCAUUCACUAACUUUUUCAAAGCCUUCGUAAGAGUCAAAUAUUGAAAAGCAAUUACGUGUUCGUUGGGAAACGACUUAGGGUUACUUUAACCCUAUCCACUUUCUUGAUUACUAACAUGGCAAUACUGAAGUUACCGUGUAAAGUAGUUGUUAGAAGUGGACUUUAAGCCUAACCCAACCUCACAAACCAAUUUGUAAGGUGAGGUUUGCACCCACUUAUAUGCUAUGAAUUGGCCUUAUCUCUAGUCGAUGUGAGACUUCUAACACACCCCCUUCACAUCGAGGUAUAUACAUCUCAAGCGUGGGACUAGACAUUAAUGGGUGGUCCAAUAACGGCCCGAUAGCGGGUGGAACAAUAUGCCUAACAAACAACAAAUAUCGCUAGGAUAGGCUUUAACGACGACUCUGAUACCAUGUUAGAAGUGGACUUUAAGCCUUACUCAACCACACAAAACCAGCUUGUAAGGUGGGGUUUACACCCACUUAUAUAUUAUGAACUGACCUUAUCUCUAUUCGAUGUGGGACUUCCAACAAUAGUAUUAAUUUGGUAGCUUCAACAACAGCGUAUACUCUCUUGCUCAGUUAACGACGGGCUGACACCUAAAACAUCCUCUGCUCACACUAAACGAUGAUGAUUGCCAAAGAGAUUAUAGCACAAAGAGGCAUACAACACAAAAGUAAGGGUAAACUAGUAUACAAAUAAAUCAACAUAUUACAAUUUGAUAUGGGAAAUCAUAUCUCAACAUUCACAACAACUCAUCACACACUUAAUCAUAUCACAACUUAACUAAGGAUGACAACGGGUCGGGUCAGGCACGGAUAAUGCCUACCUGCAACCCGACCCGCUACUCGCACAGAUACCCGUAAAAAAUAUCCGCGGGUAUUUUAAAAUUCACGGAUACCCGCGGAUAUUCGUGAAUACCCGCAAAUAUUAAAAAAAAAUAUUUGUUUAUAAGUUAUUAAAAUAAAAUUUAAAUAGAAUUAUAAAAAAUAUAUAAAAUAUAAUAUAAAUAAUAUUAAAUAUAAAUUAAAUUCAAUUUUAAUUAAAUUUAACCUUGUAAAAUAUAAAUUAAUGUUAAUUUUAAUUAAAUUUAACUUAAUAAAAUAUAAAUUAAAUCUUUAUUUUUAUUUUUUGCGGGUAGCGGAUAUCUCGGGUACGAAUAGCAUAAUACACACCCGACCCGUUUAUAAGCAAGUAUUAAAAUAUCCGCUACCCACAGGUUGCGGGUAGUAAAUAUCCAUGGGUAUCAACUAUCCGUCGCAGAUUUUAUCUGCGGAUAUCAACGAGUGCAGAUUUUUUUGCACCCAUGCUAGUAUUUAUACUCUGUAGAGUCAUAAAUGAGGGUCAAAUGACCUACUUCCCCAUGAGUUUAGUCUUCCCUUACACGACAAAGGGCUAGGGUAAAAACCUCCUAUCAUUUUCUCCAUCACCCCAUUCACUCUACAUGAGUUGAAUGAUUAGUAGAAUAUCAGGAUAUUUUCUCUUCAAAGUCUCACUAUUAAGCAGUCACCACAACUCUCAUAUAAUCAUUCCUUAAGAUUCCUCUCACAUCACCCAUCUAUCAUUCUCACAACAUACUCAUCAUCAUCAUAUUCAUCAACCAUAAACAUACCCAUAAACAGGUUCACAAAUCAUAAAUAUAUGUAUACACAUCUCCAUUAAUCACCUCAUAAUCAUCAUCAUUAUCAUCACAUACUCAAGGUGUUCCAAGUAUAAAAUCAUUUAUAAAAAUUUGGAAAUAAUAAUUACACAAUAGUACAUUUUUCUUCAUGGUAGCUUGAGUCCCACACUAGACAUGAAAAAUAGCCUUAAAACCCUCACCAAAAGCUCUGGAAGGGUCUAAAACCCCCAAAACGACCUAAAGAACGUCCAAAACGAAUGUCUGAAACCCUAAAUUCGAGAUUCCCCACAACAUAGUUUCUGUUAGACAACUCCGCACCAGACUACUUACUAGUCAAUCUUUUACCAGAUGACCCCUUAUUAGACGAUCUCUUACCAGACUACUCCUUGCUAAACGAUCUCUUACCAGACGACUCCUUAUUAGACGACUCUUACCAAUACGAUCUCUUACUAGACGACCCCUUACUAGAUGCUCUCUUACCCAGACAAUCUACCAUAUUUUUGUACAAUAAAAGACCAAAUAGGCGCUAAAUGAGCCCAAGACAAUUCCAAAAACUGUAAACUUCCCCUUAAACCAUGAUCUCAUAUUCUUACUUGUUAAAAACUCAAUUUUUUUGUCCAAAACUCACCCUUUUACUACUUUAUUUCUUACCCAAGUUCUGUAAAAACAUAUCAGCUCAAACUCACUAAAUCCACAUUCACAAAUCCAUCAAUAAACAAAUUUUAACAACAAUAAACCAAACACCCCAACAUACAUUAGUUCUCAAUUUAAUUAAACCCUAAACCCUAAACCCAACAUACCAAAUUUCACGAUUUAAUUAAAGUUCAUAAAUCAAUCAUCACAUCAUCAUACAAACAUCAAAUAUCACAUGCAUAACAAAUCCAAAACCAAACAAACUAGCUUCCCUUAUAUAGUUGAUGCUUUGAUAGUUUCAAGAACUCUAAAAUUUCUCCUACGACUUCAAUAUCUAUAUUUGCCCCUACAAUUCAUGGCAAUUUGAUCAAAGUAUACCCUUAAUAACACUAAUCAACAAAGAGUCUUGAAGAAGACUUAGACAUAAAAAAAGUAAAGAAAACCCCUACACGCAAAGACAUCAAACUUUAAAGAAAAAGGUAGAAAUCGACUUACUUUAUAGUUGAAAUCAAUUGGCUAGACAUGAAGAUCUCGUCUAAAUGAACCCUCAAGCGGUCCUUAAUCUUUCCAUAAAUGGAUAGAGAAUUAGGAUUUCUAGAAAGAAAACAAAAAAAAUUUAAAGAAAGAAGUUUUUAAAGAAAUAAAGUUUCUUAAAUAACGAAACUCUAAGAUAAAAAAUUUAUUUAUACUUUCAAUAUUUUUGAAAUAAAAUAAUAGAAUAUCAUUAUUUAAAACAACGUACCACGUUUAAUACAAAAUUUUUGAGGAUCUUACAAUUAUAUAGAAUAUUUUUAUAAAUAUAAAAAUAAUUAAAUACAUUAUUGUCAAAAAAAUAAUCAAAAUAUUAUCAUUUAAAUUUUUAAAAUGAUAUAAUUAUAUUAUUACAACAUCAAAUUAAUAUAAUAAAUAAAUAUAUUUUUAAACAUCCAUUGCACGAGUACAGUUCGUAGUUAUUUAUGGUUUGGUAGUUCUUUUAUAAAUAAUAAAAUAAAUAAUACGAGCUAUGUUAUAAUAGAAAAACAGGUAAUACUGUAUAUACUAAAAUAAUGAAAAAAAAUUUAAAAAUUAAACAUUAUAAUAGUUAUUACAAAAUAUUAGUAAGAUUUUUAUAUAUAAAAAGCAUUUCCUAUAUAGAAUGUGUCACAAACGAUAUCAUCAACAGUUAUAUUUACAAUAAUAAAAUAUAAAAAUACAAAAUUUAAAACAAUAUUAUAAUAAUUACUAAAAUAAAAAAGAUUAGCCAAAUUUAUAGUAAAAUAAUAAAUUCAAUAAAGAAAAGCAUAAUUAAUUACAAAAUAUAUAUACUAAAGAAGAUAUACAUAGAAGAAAUUAUUUUUUUAUGUCUACAUUAAUUUUUUGAUUUUUUUUAAAUGAAAUUAAUAAUUUUAUAAAUAUUAUCAUUUAGGUGUUUGUUUAUUUAAAUUUAAUUAUUAUAUUUAUUUAAUUAUUUUUCUAAACUUAAUUAUUUUUUUAAUUAAAAAAUUGUCUACAAAGUAAAUAAAAACUACUCAGAUUAAAAUUACAAAAAUUAUUUGUAAUUAAUUUUAUAAUAAUAAUAAAAAUUUUAUUACUUUUAAUUAUCAUAAAAAAAUAAAUAUAUAUUUCAUUAUAAAUGUUAAAAUGUUAAUCAGAUUAAAAAUGAUUUACUCACAUUGUUUAAAUAAGUCCGACAAAUAAGAAGUGUAUUCCCUUCCCACUUCCGGGUCACCAAGUAACACCGUUAGGGUAGAAAGUUGAAGUCCUUGCAGUUCAGGCCUCAGACCCAAAACCCUCAUAAAAACCCAACUCUCCUUCCUUUUAGUUCCUCUGUUGGUUUCUCACUCUUCCGUGUGGUAGUAGUGUGGCAAACAAUGAGCAGUUGGAAAAACCUUCUUCUACGAAUCGGUGACAAGAGUCCCGAAUACGGAGUCUCCUCUGACUAUAAAGAUCACAUUGUAGUUUUCUCUUCUUUGUUUUUCUCUUCGCCGCGAAACUGGUUGAUGUCUAAUCUUUCUUUUUGCUUUUGAUUUCUUAGGAUACGUGCUUUGGCGCCCUUCGUCGCGAACUUGACCACUCCCAUACCGAUGUUUUGGAGGUAAACUCUGAUUCUUCUCGUUCGCAUUUUGGUCGUGUUUUGUAUAGUUAGGUCAAUUGAUUUAUCGGUUGAGUAAUUGAAUUGUUUCGAUUCGCUUCUUGAGAGUUUUGAGGCUUGUACUUGUUUUGAGGCUUGUACUUGUAGCUUCGAUAGUGGACUAAUUCGUGAUAUGCUAUAUUAUGUUGUACGAAGUAGUUGUGAAUCAAUUUUCGUUCUUAAUUGUAGGGCCAUCAAUGUGGAACACACAUGUUUGAGGAGGAUGUUGAUAUUGCUUGUUUUAAUGCUAGUUAUACUUUAUUUUGACCUUUUUAGCUUGUUGCUUGCCAGUGGUUUUCUUCAGAAAAGAGCGCAAUAUGCUUCAGAAAUCUUAAACAUUUAAAGUAGAUUGGAAUCUAUAACCUUGUAAUUAUAUUAGAAGCGUGUUAUCUGGACCUGUUAGUUGCUUCGUUGCAUUUUCUUUACAUGUUUUAAAAUGUUAUACCUUUUAUGUUGCUUUCUUAUUUAAAUAUUCUAGCAUGUGUGAUUUUGUGAGUUGUGCAGUAUUUGUACAUGUCUCUUUCUGUAUCGUAAUGCCUUGCAUGAUAUCACAUCAGAUUUACUUUAUUGGAUUUGUUUGUGCAGUUCCUUCUCACGUGUGCUGAGCAUUUGCCUCACAAGAUUCCUCUGUAUGGAACCCUGGUAGAGAUUUCUUUUCUCUUGAACUGUAAUGACAUCUGUUAUUUUAUUCCCUGCAUGUUGCAAUAUCUUACUGCGGAUGUGCAUGCACGAAUGUCAUGUAUAUAUAAAGUCUUCUUCUUCUCAUCAGCAUUAUUAUUGUUAUUAUUGUUACUUUUGGGAGUGUGUAUAUAUGUGUUCCAUUUUUAGAGGUAGCUUUAUUUAGUGAACGCUAAUGAUAUCAAUAUUGGGAUGUUGGUGGACUUAAUUUGUUAUUGUCGUGGUUGUGCAACUGGAAGUUCUACUGAAUAUUUUGACCUAUUUGCACAGAACUUCUAGUUAUUAAUAAUGACAUGAUAAUGUAUCUGAUCUUUAAUUUUUAAAAUGUUUUCUUGUUUCCAUUUUAUAAAAAGACUUAACAUUCUUUUUGGCUUUGGAAUUAACAUUUUUGUUAAAUGCAUUUGGAAAACAUGUUUUUUAGUGAGCAAUGGUAUGAUUUUAACAUCAUGAUGACAAUAAUGUUCAUAGAAGGUUUAUACUUGACGUGCUUUUCAAGAAUGAAAUGUAUGUAACCAGCAAAAUUUGGGUGAAAACUAGAUACUUAAAUAAUAAAAGAAGCAUUGUAAUUAACCUAGUCUAACACCUCCACUCUUUUAUGCUGUUACAUUAUUCAGUUAUUAAUUUAUUUGCUGUAUUUUACAUUGAAUGUGAAUUAGGUGUAUUACUGUGCUAUAGUUGUCUUGCUUGUAUAGUUCCAAUUGAAGUUUCUGAGCAUUCUGUUUCUCCAUGAAUGAUUUCAUUGCAGAUUGGCUUGAUUAACUUGGAAAAUGAGGACUUUGGGAAGCAACUAGUGGAGAAAACUAAAACCAUGUUUCAAGUAAGCUAUUAAGCCACUGAAACUUCUAGGUUGGUUUAUGGGUGUUGUAUUUUCAUUGUCUUUAUUCCUUUAAUUAGCUGAAUGUUCAGUUAAGGGUAUUAGUACUAUUUUCAUUUAACUAAGCUGUCUAUAAUUAAUUGAGUAUUGAUUAGGAAUUCUAAAAUCUAAUGGUGUAAAUUAGAAUGUGAAAGUUUAUGUAAUUAGUUUUCACAGCAAUGUUGACUGCUUGCUAUAUAUAAUUAUUAUCAGGUAUUUGGAUCUGAAACUAGGAACUUUUUCCUAUAGAAAUUCAAAUUGAGUUUCAUGUAUGUGGAUGCUUGAUUAGAAAAAAAGAAGCGAAACUAUUAUUUUAGAUGGAAGCAUCAUUAUCUCUGUUAAAUCUUGCAUUAUCAAAGCUGGCCAUUUUGGAAUGACAUGGAAAGUUUAAUGCUUCUUUCCAUAGAAUUAUCUAGGUUUAGGAAUGGAUGGCCUUGUUCCUAACCAAUGAACUUGUGAUUUUUUGGAAUGUAUACUUUGGCCAUGUUUGAUAUAAAAUAGUUUAAUCCCUCCAAAAAGACUAUCAAAAUAGUUUGAUAUUGAGGUUCAAAAUAUUGGAAUGUUAGUAAGAAAAAAAAGUUAUUGGUAUUAGACCAAGGUCACAAGUUCAAUUUCCAACAAGACAAUUGUCGAAGAAGAGAUUGUUGUGGAUUGCAUCAAAUGUCACAUAGUGGAGACUAGAUAUGCCAAGGCUUCGAUGGGGGCAUUGUUAUAAGCUACAUCAAUUGUCCUAUAGUAAAGGUCAAGUGAAUUAAGUCACAAUUGAAUCAUGGUGCUUGAGUUCUUAUGCUUUUAAAUAUCAAGAGUUGCAUCUUGAUUAUAAACUAUAACUUUUAACCUAGUUAUAUGUCCUCGAUCCAACAACAAUAAAGUAGGUUCCCAACUCCAUCAAGCUUUAACUUUCAAAAUAGAACUGGAAGAGUACUUACUGAUAAUAAAAAACGUACAAAUAUGAGGAUUGAACUGGAAAAAGAAUAAAUAAAAAAGGAGUUAAUUUUUGGUUGAAAAUACUAGUUUCUUUAUAUUUGUUGGUGUCGAUUAUUAAAAUUUUCUAUCUUCUUUCUAUAAAUGUGUUCAUUAUAGUUUUUUUUGUUUUGAUUCUUUUUUUCUUUAGUGUGUCUUUCAACUGGCUUUGGCUUCUAGACCACUUGUCGUAAAACUGGUGCUUUUUUCGCCUGCUUCCACUAACUGAUAAAUGAAAACAGUUUUGUGAAUAAUAUUUUCAUCUUGAAUUUUUCUUAUGAUAAUUGCUUACAUUAAAGUGCAUAUAACAUAAGAAACCAUCGGUUUAACCUUCACCAUAGUGGGAUGAAUGACAUGGCCAUUUUGUGUCUGUUGCAAUCAUUUAAACCAGAUUGAAAUAUUAAAUUUUUGGUUAAACAUCUUUCUGCUUGAUUUUUAUAAACAAAAAAUUGACAAUUAUUUUUAUUGGGUAAGGCUUGUUUGAUUUAAUGCAAGGUAUGGUUCUUACCAACGGUUUUUCAGUACACAUUCAUUUUCAAUUUGUUUUGUUCACCCAAAAUAAUGCCAUUAUAUACUUCUCUAAUCUGCUGCAAUGUUUUUGAAUCUAAGAACUUAUUGAAUUGAUCUUUUAGUGCUUCUGUCCUGACUCCCUUUAAUUUAUUCCCUAUAAUAUUGCUUUUGUGCAUUUCUCAUUUAUUAUAUUUUUAAUUCAGGAUGCCUUGGAUACUGGAAACUGCAAUGGGGUUCGAGUUCUAAUGCGGCUUUUGACUGUUAUGGUAUGUAUUGGCACUGUUUUUAUGCAUAAAAAUUGUGUAGCAUUAUUGACAUUCAACUCUCAGACUGAAAUAUUGUUAUUAUUGGAAUUUUGAGGAAGAUAAGAAAUCCUUCUAGUUUUCACUUAUUCUACAUUUAUGAGUAAUUUGUGUUUGAGCAUGUCUUGUUUUUUUGCCUAAAAUAUUGUAUAGUUAGCUUGUAAUUGUUGAAUAUAGUAAAACUAUGUAUGAGAUUAAUCUCUCUUAUGUUGAAUAUACACAUAAGGUAUUCUAUUUAUAAUAAAAGAAAAAUGAACUAAGUCCAAAAUACAAAUAAGAAAUAAUAACAAACUAACUAAAGAUAAAAGAUAAAAAUAAGAUAACUCUCUAGGAUAUCUGACAAUAUAAUUAAUCUAAUACUCCCUCUCAAGCAACUGCAUAUGAAUCAUAUGUACCAAGCUUGUUACUAAUAUAAUCAAUGAAAACUAAGUGAAAAUAUCUGUUUUUGCACUCGAGUAAUACCAAAUUGUUAAUGAUUUACAAAGACAACAUAAAAGACAAAAUACCAACCUAGUCUCCCUCUGAACAACAAAUUUGAGAGGUUGUUCUAUAUAAAUCUCUUCUUGCAAAUCAUCAUUGAAGAAUGCAUUGCUGACAUCUAAUGGAUAAAGUGGCCAUUAUUGAAGAGCCAUCAUGGCUAUAAAUAAACUAACAAAAGUCAUCUUUGCCAUUAGAGAAAAAGCAUAUAUAUAUGAGUCCAAUGCACUAGUGACAGAAGAGAGGUCAAAAGAGACAACAGAAGAAGUCAUGGAAGAAUAGGAGAGAGAAAAACCGGAAAAAUCCAAGAUUCUACUAUCAACGCACUUGAAAGAGGAAAAGAGUAAUCUUGACCCUUUGAAUAGCUGCUUGAGAAGAGACGGGACAUGCGACUACGCACAAUGGAUCUGAAAGAGGAAAAAAGAGCAACUUUUACGCUUUGAAUCGUUGUCUGAGAGGAGACGGGAUGUGCCUCCACACACGAAGAAAAGGGAGCAUAUCUACACUUCAAAAGACAUUGAGAACAAAUGUACAACAUAUAGGGCAUGCUUGUUACAAAUUGUAAUUUUUAAAUGACGUUUCCAUAAAAGAAGCUAAUUAAGAUCCUGUUCCCUACUGUAUUUUACAUGUACAACUUAUAGAGCAUGUUUCUUACUGACUGAAAUGUGCAAAAGAAGGCUGUUUCCAUAAAAAGAGCUGAUUAGAAAAACCUUUCUGCUCUUUUGUAUUAAACUAUUAUUGGUGAAAAUCAUUUUAUAAGGUUGGGUUACAUAUAUUGCAAAGGAAAAAGUUGUAUUUAGAUAACCACAAAUUUGGAGUUUAUGAUGGAAAGUUAACUUAUUUUCGAUAAUUAACUAUUUUCAAUGCAAGGCAAAUUACUACACUAACUCCAUACUUUUUUUUUGUAAUUUUACUAUAAAAAAGAAAAUACUUUGUACAAUCCAAAUAGAAUAUAUUAUCUUGUAAAUAAAACUUAUUCCUUAUAGUUGCUUAUAAAGAUAUAAUUGAUUGUUCAAAUAAGUUCUUUCCCUUAGCUAAUGCAGACACCCUUGUUUAUUUUUUCCUACCCUUUUGAUUUCUAAAUAUGAUCACAUUUUAUCUUUGUAUUCAUGUUGUUUGUUCAUGUGAUGUAUUUGUGUAACUGAAUGAAUUUUUUUUUGCAUGUUGCUUUCUUGUAAAUUCUUUAGAUGUGCAGUAAGGUUCUUCAACCGAGCUCCUUGGUGGCUGUCUUUGAAACAUUUUUAUCCUCAGCUGCCACAACAGUAGAUGAGGAAAAAGGCAAUCCCUUAUGGCAGCCUUGUGCAGACUUUUACAUCACUUGUAUUUUAUCAUGCCUUCCAUGGGGCGGAGCAGAACUUACUGAGGUAAUUAUUUGAUGCUUUUAAUUACAAGUGUGGUUAAUUUUUCAACUUUAUAUUAGCAGUCUACGUCAGUUCUUGUAAUUUAAAAUGUUCCUUUGCUUGUAUUCCAAUCGUUUCUCUAUCUGAUUAUUAAAUUUAUAAAUUAUUUUUUAAUUCUUAUAUAUUAACUUAUUUUCAUCUUUCUUUGAUAUAUCACUUGUUUUUUAUAUUUAAUUUCUUAAAGUAAUAUGAGCUAUUAUAGAAUAAACUGUUUAAUUGCUUAUUCAAGAACAGCUGUAUUUUUUGUUUUUCAUAUCUAAACAAAAGACUGAUUUCAGUUAUUUAUCCAUUCUUCAGUUGGAGUUAUCUGUGUUUAAAUAUAGAUGUUGUCUGUGAGCAGAAAGUCGCUGUAUCUCUUCCAUUUGUGGGUGUGUAUUAGUUGGUAGCAUUGGUAAAUAGUGAAAUAGCAGUUAAGUUGUGUGCUGUUCAUAUUAUGGCAACAAUGAGUAAAUAAACAUUGCAAAAAAUGAUAGAACUGCUAUGCUAUCUGUUCUUGGUUGGUACUUCCUUUUUUGUUAAAAUAUAUUCAUGUAUGUUCAAGUUACACUUUUGAAAAUGUUUUCCCCCAUAGAAUCUCAAUUAUAAAUGGAAUGAUUGGAAAAGGGCCUUUUACUUAUGUUUGAUUUUUAGGAAGUAUUUGUAUGCUGAUUAGCAUCUUCAUUUAUUAGAAUUUUCCUUCUUUCUUUUAUGUAUUUCUAUUGUACUUUAAAUAGGAACCAACCCCUGACCUGUACGGUCUCAUACGUUAAAUGCAGAAUUCAUUCUCUUUCUACAAAUAUGGAUUUCUUUGAAUUCUUUUCCUUUUAACUGCAUGUCAUGUCUGCUAACAGCAAGUUCCUGAAGAUAUUGAUAGAGUGAUGGUCGGUGUAGAAGCUUACUUGAGCAUCAGAAAGCAUACAUCUGAUACUGGCUUAUCCUUUUUUGAGAAUGAUGAUGAAAAUGGGGAAGGUAUUAGUGACAAGGUUAGCUCCUUUUUGGCUAAUACUUAUGGUGGUGCAUUUGAUGAAGGAUGAACAGUGCUUUAGGAUUUUACCAUACUAUUAUAUAAUUGCCCAUGGUUUCAAACUUAUAAUUGUCUGACACAUGUUGGACACUUGUGUUAAAUUCAUUGAAAUCCUAAUGAAUCAUAUCAAAUUUUGUUGCAUGUUGAAAGGAAGCUCUCCUAGUGGGAUAAAGACUCGAUUUUUGUUGAUCAUGUCUCAUUUCUGUGCUUAAUAAAUUCCAAAAUUUAUGAAGGGUUAUUUCUUUAGUUAGUUGGUAAUAGACUUAAUGUAUUGGCAACUUAAAGCAUUUUUCUUGUAACUUAAAUAUUUUUUAUCUUGGUAUGUUUCUGUAUUUUUACUCCCUUUCAAUACUCGUUUAGAGGGUGGUUGAAAGUGAUUAUAUUUGUAACAUUUCAUUUUCACAUUGCAGGAUUUUUUAGAAGAUUUAUGGGAUAGAAUACAGGUUUUAUCAAUGAGGGGAUGGAAAGUUGAAAGUGGUAGUAUUCUCUUCUGUGUGGAAUGGUUUAUGCUACUAUACCUUUCUCUCAAAAAUUGAAAUCCUUUGCACUGUUUGUUGUUCACCCCUUUUUCUUUCUGUAGCUUUAGGGAAUUUUGUCUUAACAUUACUUGUUCUUGUUUUGUGGUUAUUUCUCUACAUAUUGAUGUUAAGUUUACAAAUAAUGUCUUAAAGUUAAACUUAAUCUUGUGUUUGGAAAAUAAUUUUUUAGAGGGUAAUUCAUUUUUAUAAACCAUUAAAAAUGCUUAAUGACAAAAUAUGUUGUUUAGAUAGAUAAUUUAAAAAGAAAGUUAAAUUUUCACAAAUUGUUUCAGUAUUUUGAUUUCUUAAAAUCUGUAGAAUUUAAAAUUUCAACUAAAAAACUAGGAAUUUGAAAUUCUUGACACGCUUAUCAUAAAAUUUCAAUUACACACACAUAUACACACACACAUAUGAUAUAGUAGAAAUUAAAUUACAGUAUUAAAACUAAAUGCUUGAAUUUAGAUCGAUUUAUCCAAAUAAUUCAAGUUUCAAGUUUUUUAAAUUCUUUGAAAUUUUAAAACUACUUAGAUUUGUUUUGAAGAAGUUGGAUUUGACUGUACAUUCUACUUAGUGCACCCCUUUUUACUUUCCUUAAACAUUUACUUUUGUGUUUUUAAUUGUUUGUCGUUGGGCCAUUUUAUUUUAUGCACCACACUGUGUACUAUCUUGCAGCCCCUUAUUUGUUUGUUUUUGUUGUUGUCUUUGCCGUUUGCACCUCUGUGCUUUACUAACUUGGACCACCAAUUUUCUAUUAAAUUUGUUUUGUUCUUGUUUAAUUUCAUAUUGUUGAAAUAAUUUUUAAUUUUACGUAGUAAUUACGUCUAAGAUAGGAGGUUGAGUGUUAGAUAACCUUUAUACCUAGUUCUCUGACCAAGUAGUAUAGGACAGUGCUUCUGAUAUUUCAUCUCCUUAUUGUAUAAUCCUUCAAAUAUAUAAAUAAAGAACCAUGAGAUGGAUUUUUCAAGCCCUUUAUAAAUAUAUUUCUUUGUUUUAAUCUCGAGUUGGUAAUAUAGCUGGUCAAUCCUACUUUGGUUACUGUCUCGUCUUAUUCAUUGACACUAGUCUUUGCUGUCCUCAAAUUUUUGAUGCCGUUUGCGAUUGUUUGAUGUCGUUUCGCUGCUGUCCACCUGUAUUUGAAGCUGUCCAAUGCAGUUUGAAACUAUCCAACACUGUCAACCAUUGUUCUCUGCGGUUUCAUCAUUGUGUGCUGCCUUCCGUCAUCGCAGUUUCGUCCAGUGACCAUAGGAUUUUGAUCGCCUCUCCACGCUAUAACCAACCCCGUUGGUGCUGAAGGCUAGUUGUCUUCCAUGCACUUCAUAUUUGUAACCUACGAAUAGGCGCAUGUUGUCCAAUGUGCUCAUCCGAACAACAUCUCGUCACCUCCAUAAUUGUCGCCAGACCCCCUUUUCUCUGUUCUGACCCUCAAUACUUAACUUUAAUUUUAGUGAAGUCCAAAAGCUACCCUCGUGGAAGUUACCUAGGGUUUUCUUUUUCCCUUACUAUUAUUGCAUCCCUUCAUUGUUUUUUUGUUCCUGAUCAAUGAUGAUGACUAGAAGUGUUAUUUGAUUCUCUAAAAGUCCCUCAAUUACUUUCGAGAAUCUAAAUGGGAAAAUUUAUCUAUCUUGGAUUGCUGCCAUCGAAAUGUGAUUUCUUGGCCAAGGGCAUCAUGACCACCUUGAGCAAGUUGGAAGCCAUGUGUCUGCUGAAAAAGCUAAACAAUGGAAACAAACAAAUUUUCAAUUAUGUGCCCUGUUGCGGCAAUUCGUGGAGCCAGGACUUCUUAUGUCUUGUAGAGCUUUUAAAACAUGUACUCCUUUUGGAAGAAAGCUCAAAGCAUCUAUGCCAACUAUAUUCAACAUACAACAAACAAGCUUGCAUCUCCCAAAAUGGCAAACCAUGAUAUGGUAUCCUUCAUGACUGAAGUCCAUUCAGUUAUGGAAGAACUGAGGAUAUUCUUGGAAGUCGAGUCUUUGAAGGAAAUCAAGAAGAAACUUAACAAAUAUUAUAUGGUGUUGAUCCUUUGUACUUUACAUCUAGACUUUGAUCAUAUCAGAGAUCAACUUCUAAUUAGUCAUGAGGUCCCUUCCUUAGAGACCUUGACCACACAACAUGCCUUCUUUGUGUCCCGGUGCCUCAAUCUCAUGAAGCUUAUGAACUAGUGGAAUCAUCUGUCAUGGUUGCCACACAAGGAAAAGAAGGAUUGGCACUAGAGGAGGAGGAUGUGGAGGCUGGGGGCGUCCCUAGUGCACAUAGAAGGAUGGGUCACAAGCAAGAAAUCUGCUACUCCUUGCAUGGUUUUCCUUCCAAAAUAGCCAAUAUCUCUAAAGCUAAAACUACCAACUUCAAGUUCAUUGAGGAUGAAUAUCAAAAGUAUCUAUGGCUGAAGUCUAACAACUUGGCACAAAGAUCUCAAUCUCUAAGUAAAUCAACAACUUGCAUUUCUCAAUCCAUGGAAGGUCAAAAUUCAUGGGUAAUUGACUCAAGUGCUUCUGAUCACAUCUUUGCUAAUACCUGUUUGACCUCUUUGAUCUCAACCAUUUUCUUUCAAGGAAAACCUCAUUUCAUAACCCUUGCAAAUGGUUCUAAAGCUUCCUCAAAGGGAGGCAGUCAAGUUUCCCUGUCUCCUUCCCUAAAUUUGAAGUUUGUCCUUUUUGUCCCUAAUUGGUUUUUCAAUUUAAUUUUCUUAAGCUAGUUAACCAAAAUGUUUAAUUGUUCAAUACUAAGAUGACUUUUCAAAUCUUAUGUUGUCUUUUCAAAUUAUAUAGAAGCUUAUGUUGUCUUUUCAAAUCUUUUAAUGAAUAAUUAAUUCGUUUGAUUUAUCUUUUUCAUUUCUUAUUGUUCUAUUUUUUCUUGUCCUUAACAUCAAUUUGUGUAUCUUUAUUUAAAUUUUCUUGUGUUUUAUUCCCUUUUUGAUUAUUUUCGGUUUCAAUUGGUAGUUCCAAGACCUCAUCUUUCAUUUGAAGCUCAAUUGGUUGCUGGGAAGUCUCAUGAAUUUGGGCCAAUAAGCUGCCCCAGCCUACCAGAACCACCUUCAGUCCCUUCUGGCGUCUCUACGGGUAAACAGAAGCAUGAAGCAGAAUUAAAAUAUCCUCAAAGGAUACACCGGUUAAAUAUAUUUCCUCUCAGUAAACAUGAGGUAAUUUGCGUGUCAACAUUUCCAUUCUUUUAAUCAAUUUUUAUGGAAAGUUCUUUUUGGUAUUUUUACCUUGUAAAUGGAAUUACAGUUAUUUGUAUCCAGCUCUGCGCUUUAUUAAUUUAGGCUUUUAUUUUCAAAACUGAAUUUUGUUUUGACAGUUUUCAAGCUAACCAAUGUAUUAAUUGCAGACAACGUCUGCAUCAUUCCUCUGUAUGCAGACAAUGUCAGUGGGUUAAACUGCAUAUUCUCCAAACAAUAUUUCUAAUGUUCUUCCUAAUAGAUUUCAGUCAGCAUCUAUGGUACAACUGCAUUUGUAAAACCAUUGAAAUCCUUAGUCAGGCAUUUUUUUAAUUAUGUGUCUUUAUAUUUUGAACGGAGAGAAGUCUUUCAUACAUUCAUUGCAAAUUAAUCUACCAUUACUGAAUUGUUAGUUUCAAUGAAGUGGUUGGUUUUGUUAUUUGAUGGCUAAGAUGGCGAUUUCAUGGUUGAACAGCCAAGAAAUCUGUUUUUUUUUUCCUUGUAUGUUGAGUUUCCUUGCACAAUAUCUUGUCUGCUAGUGCUUCUGUAUUUCUCUUUAAUAAAUCUUCUCUUAAAUUAAAUCUUUUCUUAAUAGCUUUCAAAAUCUUUUUGUUUGAGGAUCAAAGUGCUUUCUGCCUGAUGGUCUGCUUUUUAUAGCAUGUUAUGAUGUUCAUUUCGUGUGUUAUAGCUGUAGUUCUAGGUUCAGUAAUUUCAAUUUAAUACUUGUCAAUCAUAUAUGCGGGUUGAAUGAAAUAAUCUUUUGGAUGCAGGAUAUACAACCUAUAGACAGAUUUGUUAUGGAAGAGUAUCUCCUAGAUGUGCUUCUGUUCUUCAAUGGCUGGUUUGUAUACACCAUUCAUUUUCUCUAGUACUGAAAGUGUUGUGAUGAACCUCUGAUGGAGUUUGAAUACCAAAAAGAUAUUGUAGAACACAUCAUGACUUGCGGUUUUGUGUUAUUAAUUUAACUUUUUUUGUUAUAUUGAGUGUCAAUGAAGAAUUCUAAGUUCUAUUCUACAUUAUUUUGUUUAGAAUUUUCCUGUAGUGAUAUAUAUUGCAUCUCUGCCUUAGCGCUUUAUCCUAUAAAAAUGUUUUGAUGUGAAUAUAACUAUUAUCAUUUCUGGUUUAUUGCAAAGCUAGUCGAAAGGAGUGUGCAUCUUUCAUGGUUGGUUUGCCUGUUUCCUUCAGAUAUGAGUACCUCAUGGCCGAGACAAUAUUCUCUCAGGUACUACUUGUGAAUUUGCAAUAAAUAUCUCACCUCUUUUAUAACAAUAUAGUAUAAAGCUUAAGCAAUUAGCAUUAUUGAGACCUGAGCAAGAUGUUUCUAGACGUCACUUGAGAAAAAUAAAUAGAAUAUAUUUUAGAAAGCAUGUUCUAGUCCCUCUCAGGUUCAAAUAUUUAUACAUAAACUGUUGAUUAAUCUGCAGAAAAAGAAGUAGAAAACAAGUAAAGGCACCUCUAGGACCCUGGGUAUAGAUAGGUACAACUUUUUAAUAAAGCCUAUUCUGACAAAGCUGAAGAACAAUAUUAUUUUCCACUGACAUGUUAAGUAACUUUUAUUGUCGAUUGAAUGUUAAGCAAAUUCAGUGAUAUGGGAAAAAGAAAAAGAAGCUCAUCUCUUAACAUUUGAUGUCAUAUUCAGCCUGUGAAUGUUGUAUGUUCCAAUUUCUAUGUUUUGUUCUCUCAUAAAACACUAGAUUGAAGACAAUUGAAGGGUUGUUUGGUUGGUGCAGUAAACUUCAUCUGCUCAUUUUCAUAAAAUUUCAACUCUUGAAGGAGUUGUUUAAUCCACACAAACAUGGUUAUCAAACUUGCCAGUUAACUCGUUAACUCGUCUGAGUUUACAUUCCCAAUCAUGGUUGCCGAGUUAACUCGGUACCAAACUCGUUUUUGGACUCAACUUAGUAGAAUCGGACAUGCACUCGGUGGAAUCUUUUGGAAUCGUGAUUGCACAACGAUUUAGAGAGUUCGAAAAAAAGGCAAAAACGAAGAAAAGAGGGAUCGUUUUGUUUAGGGUUUAAAACUUGAUUAAUGUUCUUUUCUUUUUUUUUCACUCCACCGUUGAUCUUCGUUGCUCGUGGUCAAGUUUCGCUCUAUUUGAUCGUCAUUCGUGGUCGUGCUUGGUCCGGUUGCCGAUUGUGGGCGUCAUCGCUCGUUCAGUCGCUGUGCGUGGUUUCCUUUCGUCCCCGUCGCUGUUCACCUGGUUUGUGAUCACUGUCACAGUGGCCGCUGUCGUCACUGCCAUCCUCACCACCUUCCUCGCUUUGCAGCUUCUGGUCUGCCCUUCUUCUUUGAGCCGCAAGUGGUGUUGGGUGAAGUUUUGUUAUUCUAAAAGUAUAAACCGUGCCACUGUAUGAUUUUAUUAGGAAAUGAAAUUUUUAUUCUUUUAUUACAGAAACGUAAUAUACUUAUGUUUUUAUUUUUAUGUAAAUGGUUUUUUAUUGAAAUUGAAAUUUAUAUUGUUUUAUUAAAUUUUUUUACUUUAGUAUAUAAAUGAUUUAUUAAAAAAUUAUAUUCUCAUAGUUUUAUUAGAGGAAUGAAAGCUUUUGUUUUUGUUUUUUCAAAUCCUAAGUCUUGCCAUUCUUUUAGUGAAAAAAUUUAAAACAUAUCAAAUUCAAUGGAAACUAAUGCAAGUGUAUCUUCAUUCCAUACAUUUGGAGACAACGAUGUCCAACAUUCAUGAGAGGAAGACUUGGAUGAAGAUAAUGACAAAGAUAAUGAUGCCAUUAUUAGAAGAUUAGAGGAAUAGACAUAAAGACUUUGACAUUUCUAUUUAUGUUUAGAAUAUUUCUAUGAAUUUAUGUAUUUCAAUUAAUAUAUUUGUAUGAAAAAUAUUUCUAUGAACUUAUAUUUUUUUUUCAUACAAAAGUAAACUCUUACGAGUUUACGAGUUGAGUUUACUGGACUCUCACGAGUUUACGUAAACUCUCGAGUUUGACAACCUUGCACACAAGUUCACAUGUAGUUGGAGCCAUAGAUCGAUAUUAUGCAUCUGCACUAGAUCGAGUAACAACAUUAUGUUUUUUACUUUUCCAAGAUACAAGGUUCCCUCCAAGUAAUACACAAUAUCCUAUGGUACAUCUUCUGUCAAUUGGACAACCGGUCCAAUCUGCAUCACAAUAUCCUUCUCCUCAAGUACUUCCCUUGUUCAAAUAUAACAAUCCGUGUCCUAGGUUCCCUUUUACAUAUUUGAGAAUGCAAAUCACAACAUUCCAAUGAUCAACAUGUGGAUUUUGCAUAAAUUGGCUCACAACUCCCUUCGGAUAAGAAAAAUUAGGUCUUGUUAUGGUAAGAUAGAUGUGUUUUGCUAUCAACCUUUUGUAUCUCUUUGUGUCAAGAAAGACUAGGUCUUGUUAUGGUAAGAUAGAUGAGUUUUCUAACCAACCUUUUGUAUUUGUCUGGGUCAGAGAAAAGCUCACCUUGGUCUAUCAUUAACUUUUGAUUUGAGUCCAUAGGGCUAUCAAUGAACUUGCAAUUUGUCAGGCCUGUUUCUUCCAAAAUAUCAAAAGCAUAUUUUCUAUGUGAAAUGAGGACACCUUCUUUUGAUUGUGCCACUUCAAUACUAAGAAAAUAUUCUUUAAUGGAGCAAUUCUAGUGACAUCAUUUCCUGUAAUAACAAUAUCAUCAUCAUCAUAAACUAUAAGAUAAAUACAUUUGUUUGGAGAAUAAUGACCAUAAACACUGAAUGAUCUGCCUCACAACGUUUCAAUCCAAAAUUUUACACAACUUGACUAAAUUUACCAAACCAAGCUCAAGGUGAUUGCUUCAAGCCAUAGAGUAAACAAUGUGAUUUACAAACUAACUCAAACUCCUCCUGAGCAAUAAACCCAAGAGGUUGCUCCAUGUAUAUCUUCUAUUCGAGAUCAGCGUGAAGAAAGGCAUUCUUAAUGUUCAAUUAGUAAAGGGCCUAUUGAUGAAUGACAGUCAUAGCAAGAAAAAGACAAACAUUUCUGUUUGAGAAAAAGUAUCACAAUAGUCGAAGUCAUAAACCUAAGUACAUCCCUUAGCUAUUAGACGAGCUUUGAGACUAUCUAUUGCAUCAAUAGGACCAACCUCAAUACAAUAGACCCAUCUACAACCCACAUGCUUCUUACCAGGAGGAAGAUGGACAAGUUCCCAAGUGUCUGCAGGAUGACAAAGUGCGUCAUGAACAUUAUUAGGAACCUUAAUGGUAGAUAAGGAGGAAACAAAGGAGAAAUAUGGAGGAGACACACAAUGUUAAUUUAAAAAUACUUGUAUUAAGUAAACCAGUGUAUUUUUUUUUUCUUAUUCCACUCUUACAAUUUACUGCUGUAUUUAUACAAAAGGUUAGGCACCUCCUAAAACCCUAACCUAAGAGUUGGGUUCCCAUACAUAAUAAUAGUAAUAUAGAAACAUUACAUUUCAACAAUUCUAAUAAUAUAUGUGAUGGCAAAUGAUAGAUAUAUCUUGGGGUGUCAACAUAGCUGAUAUGUCAAGGAGCAUAGUGAUGUCUACCAUGAGUUUCAUAAAGAAAAAGAUCUUGAGCCGUACAAGAUAUCUUACAACCUCUUGUGAAACCCUAUUUCUAGAAAACCUCAUGACAACCCCAUUCAAGAACAAUACACCUCAAAGAAAGAAAUCUUUUAUAGAAGAAAAUUAACUAUAAGAUAAACUUUUCAACACAUUCAUUAUCAAAUCCAAGUGCAUCAGAUCAAUUCAAUCAAGAUUGCUUGCAUCUUCAAUCUCAAACAGUGACAAAUGUAUCAUUUAUGUAGGCUUUUUUGUCAUAUAUUUAAUCUAACAUUCUACGAAGUGCAGUAUUGAUAACCAUUGAUUUAAACUCAAUGGUUUUGAAUGUUCUAAAUUUCAUGCAAGUGGAUAGCAACUUGGGAUUUUUAAGAACUGGAAAAUGUUACAGUGAAUCCACCUACUAUUUUUAUUUGCAAGUGUUUGUUUAAUGAAAUUGUCUUAUUCUUUUUCAUUAUUUUUGUAAAUAACAAGCUACGUAAAUUAAAUACACUGAAAUGUUUAAUUUUCUAAUUUGAUGUAACUGACAUUUGUGAAUCUGUACUUUUAAUUAGUGGCUUCUUAUAUUGGCUGAUUUGUGUAACGUGAUGUCUAUUUCUGUUGCAGCUGCUGAUGCUACCUCAACCACCUUUCAGACCAGUAUAUUACACACUUAUAAUUAUUGACCUUUGCAAGGUAUUGUGUUUCAGUCACUGGGGAAUUAUUGUUGCUUCAAAACAAUACAGAUUUGAAAUUUAAGCUCAUGUUUAAUGCUUUUGUAUACAUGUGGCUACCAAUAGGCUCUUCCUGGAGCUUUUCCUGCUGUUGUUGCUGGAGCAGUUCGUACUCUCUUUGAGAGGAUAGCUGAUUUGGACAUGGAAUGUCGAACACGUCUAAUCCUUUGGUUCUCCCACCAUUUGUAUGUUCAAAAUUUUAGUAAAUUCUUUUUGACAUGCAUUACUUAAGAUAAUUCGUACGUGGUUGUGCUGCUUGAUAUGUUGUCUGUCCAACUUUACCUUUUUUUUCAUUUAUUUCACUUUGUAGAUAGAAAAAUAAAAAACCACGGGUAACCUUGUGUGGCGUCUAGGCACUAGAGUUGAACGAUAUAUUAUUCAUGAAUUAGACACGAAAUUUCUCUGGUGUGGUUAUAUUCAAUGGUGAGAAAAUCAUUGAAGUGAAACUGUUGUUUUUGGGUCACAUUUCUUAACACUUUAAAGCAAACUUUAUAUUUCCCAAAUUAUAAACGAUUUAAUGGAUGUAUUUACNAUCCUUCUGAUCAUGACUAAGUUACUAAUUUAUAUAGGACAACUGUGCAAUACUCACUUUAUCAACUGCAAAUUAUCAGUUAAGUGUUAGAUAUUUUGUGCACACCCAAGCCCUACCAACCUUUCUUAAAUGUUAGCCAUUGAUACUACCAUUCAACUACAUGGCCCAAAUAAAUGGAUAAAAUUUAAUUGCCAAUUACCAUUAAUUGAUUGCUAAUGGGUGACCAAACAUAAUUAAUAACAUAAUAUAUUAUUUUUAUCAUGCAAUUAUAUUUUCUAUUUUAGUUUGAUAAUAUCUGGUGUUGCCUCUGUUCCUGGUCUGGUCUGGUCUUUUACUCCUAGUGAAUAUUUUCGAAUAGAAGGUAACUGUAAAAAAGUGAAGUAUUGGUUGACGUAUGUUGGAAGUCCCACAUCGACUAGAGAUGAGGCCAUUUAAGUGUAUAUAAGUGGGUGCAAACCUCACCCUACAAGCCGGUUUUGUGGGGUUGAGUUAGGCUUAAAGUCCACUUCUAACAACGUAUAUCUAGUUUAGGAAUGAUCAGCUACUCAAUUGGCUGAAGUGAAUAUGUUGUUACUUCUUAACCACUUUUUAAAAGUCAUAAACUGGUUCAUUGUUUAAUCCUCUGUCCUGCCAAAGUUCAAAGUUCAACUAACAGAAAAGGUGGAAACUCAAGCUGCAUUUCUGACAUCUGUAGCCUCUGAUCCUGGCUACAAUAUUUCCCUGAAUUUCCUUUUAAUGGAAUGCUGGAAUUGGCAUGUUAAAGGAUUGAUCUAAUAGAAGGUUAUAAUGACUUCAAAUAAAGAUUGCAGUGUCAUUUAUGACUCUGCAAUGUGGGAGUUAUUUUGGUCAAAAGGAAACGGAGUCUUGUCUCUCUAAGCAUAGUAGUGAAUGAUUCCAACUAGUAAGGAUUAAAGAAUUUGAGAAAGUGACUUGGUGAUAUUGAUGAGGCAGUUGAUGUUUAUGAUGAAGUUGGUGUUAGCCUUAAAUUGUGGUUUUAACUGGUUCUCCGAUUGUGGUCUAAUUUGUUACUGGAAACAGUGGUGUGAUGUUUGAUAAUUAUGCGUAAAGUUGUUGGAUGAGUGUAUUAAACAAUUAGAUGCUCAUUUAUAGCUCUCACAAUUUGGUGCGUUGUGAUGAUAAACUGAUAAUUUGUUUCAAUCAUCACUUUCAGAUGAAUGUUAGUAGUUGAAAGCACAUUCUGUGUUUGUGUCCUAAGUCGUGUAUUAAGUGUUUUCAUAUUCAAUUUGGUUUAUGGUCUAUAUUAUGCAGAUCAAACUUCCAGUUUAUCUGGCCAUGGGAAGAGUGGGCUUAUGUCCUAGACCUCCCAAAGUGGGCUCCACAACGUGUCUUUGUCCAAGAGGUUUUGGAGAGGGAAGUUCGCUUGUCAUACUGGGACAAAGUUAAGCAGGUAAUUUAUCAAAGCUAGAACCACAGUAAAUUUUACAUUUGUUGCACAUUGCCUUAUGAUGAGACAAUUAGACUGCAUUGCCACUCAUGAUCUUUUCAUGGUUAUGGACCAUAUAGGGAAAUCAUAAAAGGGUUAGAUAUUUUGUUUCUGUUUUUGUUAUGUAGAGGAAUGUAUGCUUUGUUAAAUAGAAGGAUUUUUUAUUUUUCAGUUUUCUUGUGAGGUAACUCACUCCAGGAUCAUGUCAGGGGAAUUUUGGUGGAAUCUUCUUAGAUAACUUGAACAGAGAAAAAAGAGGGAAAAUUGAAUAAGAACAUAAUAUUUUUAUUUACUGUUUUCACACAUUGUAUGUUAUGUACAAUAGUUAUUUAUGGACACAAAUGUCUAAGAAGCUGUUAUAAACUGACAGCUGUACAGAGAAAAAAAUAUAAAAUGAAAGAAACCUACCGCUGAACAGGUUUGACUAAUUAUACAAGUUGACCAUAGUUGACUAUAGUAUAUACACUAACAGCCCUCCUCAAACUCAAGGAGAAGACUUUUUUAGAUGCAAAAGUCUUCACAUUGAGGUUGCUGCGAAGAAGCACCAACCAAGUGUUGGACAAUGAAUAUGAUAAAUUAAGAGUUGCUUUGCCAAAAUAUUUUCUCGUACAAAGAAGACAUCAAUCUCCAUAUGUUUAGAUCGAUUGUGAAAAAACAGGAUUAUUAAGAAUAGCCACUGCACUUUGCUUAUCACAAAGAAGAACUGGAGUAUGGAAAGAAACUUGCAACUCUGUUAGUAGUUUGGAAAUCCAUGACAAUUCUGCUGCUGUUUCAGCUAGACUUUAUUGAAAUGUACAACAACUUGUUUUCUAGACCUCCAAUUAGGACCAUGAAAAAUGACUGCCCCUGAAAUAGAUCUUCGAUCAUCUAUAUUUGAUACCCAGUCAACGUCACAACAGGUUUUUGAGCAUAAAGAGCAGUUAAGUGAUGCAGGUUGAAAAUUCUCAAGUUUAGAAUAGAUACUCUCUCUUAUGAUAUUCUGAGGUUACUAACCUCUAUAUUUAUACACAAGUCAUCAACAUAUUAUGGGCUGCUAAAUCUGCUGGACAAAUCCCUAUAAUUAUGGGAUCAAUCAAACAUAAAUAACCUAAUAAAGGCAGCAUUCAACAGUUACAGAAAUACAACAUAUUUAAAUAAAAAACUUCCUAAACUACUCCAUGCCAAUUAAUACCACGCCAAUCACGGUUUUGACACUCCUUCUCAAGCUGGUGAAUAGGUGUUUUCCAUUCCCAGCUUGGAGACAAUUCCUUCAAAGUUUAUGCAGUUCAGUCCCUUGGUGAGUAUAUCUGCAAGUUGGUUCUGUGUAGAUACAUAUGGUGUGCAAAUCAUGCCACUAUCUAGUUUUUCCAUUAUAAAGUGUCUAUCAACUUCAAUAUGUUUAGUUGUACCAUGCUGUACCGGGUUAUGAACUAUGCUAAUUGCAGAUUUAUUGUCACAAUAUAGCCUCAUAGGUUCAUCCCACUUUAUCUUCAAGUCUUCCAAUAUAAUUUUCAGCCAUAGAAGUUCACAUAUUCCGUGGGCCAUUGCUCGAAAUUCUGCUUCAGCACUUGAUCUAGCCACUACACUCUGUUUUUUACUCUUCCAAGUCACCAAGUUUCCACCAAGGAAGGUACAAUAUCCUGUGGUUGAUCUCCUAUCUACCACUGACCCAACAUAGUCUGCAUCCGUAUAUGCUUCAAGGCAUAAAUUCUUGUUCCGUUUGAACAAAAUCCCUCUUCCGGCGGUCCCUUUCAAGUAUUGUACAAUUCUAAGAGGAGCUUGUAGAUGUGUUUCCUUUGGUUGGUGCAUAAACUGGCUAACUAGACUUACAGCAAAUGCAAUGUCUGGUCUAGUGUGAGAUAAGUAAAUAAGCCUGCCCACAAGUCUUUGAUACAUUUCCUUGUCCACAGCAAUAUGCUCCAUACUUCCCAAUUUUAUAUUUGGAUCAACUGGAGUACUUGCUGGUUUGCAGCCUGUCUUCCCUGUUUCUCUAACAAGUCGGUAAUAUAUUUUUGUUGAGAUAUGAAGAUUCCUUUCUUGGAAUGGGCCACUUCAAUUCUCAAAAAAUAUUUAAGCCUUCCCAGUGUCUUGAUCUCAAAUUUCGUGGCAAGACAUUUGCUUAAUACUUGUUCGCUUUUGUCGUCCCCACUCACUAUAAUAUCAUCUACAUACACUAAUAGAAUUGUUACUUCCCUUGAAGCUGAAUGUUUGAUAAAUAAUGUGUGAUCCCCUUGGCUCUGUUUGUAGCCUAGACCUGUCAUAACUUUGGUAAAUCUUCCAAACCAUGCUCUUGGGGAUUGUUUCAACCCAUAUAGAGCCUUUCUUAAUUUGUAAACAGUUCCAGCAGCAACCUGUUCCUUGUAACCCGGGGGCAACUCCAUGUAUAUUUCUUCUUCAAGGUCUUCAUGUAGAAAUGCAUUCUUCACAUCAAACUGCUGUAGAUCCCAACCAUUAUUUGUUGCUAGUGACAAUAAUACUCUGACCGUGUUCAUCUUAGCAACCGGGGCAAAUGUCUCCAAGUAAUCAACUCCAUAGGUUUGAGUGAAGCCUUUGGCCACCAACCUUGCCUUGUAACGUUCGAUUGUCCCAUCAAUCCUAUACUUUAUUGUAUAUACCCACUUACAUCCCACUGGUUUUUUUCCAGAAGGUAGGGUGACAAGUUCCCAGGUCCUAUUCUUGUUUAAUGCCUCCAUUUCCACAUCCAUGGCAUUUUUCCAUUUCCUGUUAGACAAUGCUUCAGAUACAGAGGAAGGUGUGUGUGUGGAGUUGAGGUUAGUGAGAAAGGUUUUAUGGGUAGGUGAGAAUUUUUCAAAGGAUAAGAAAUUUNAUAGUGGGUAAAGUGGCUUUUGGGUGCAAGCUCNAGUUCCUUUUCUAAGGGCAAUGGGUAGGUCAAGGGUUUGGUCCACCUAUGCUUCUAGAUUAUCAGAAACAAACUCAUUAGAAUCAUUGGAAUUUAUAGGAUUUGAAGGUGUUACNUCAUGUAGUGCUGGUGGGUUGGAUUCUUGGACAUUGCCAGAUUCUAGAAUGGCCUUUUCUCUUCUUGAGUAUACCUUUCCAAAUUUGUCGCCAUCAUCAGGUGCAGGUCUUGCGGAUUGAGUAGGUUGAAUUCUUUCCUCAAUUUCAAGGACAACAGGUUGAAUUCUUUCCUCAAUUUCAGGGACACCAAUGCCGCCACCAUUUGUCCCAGUUUCAGGCCCAAACGUCGUAUUUGGGGACAUGAGAGUCUCAUCUUCCUCUCUUAUAUUCUCCCCUUGAAGAUGAGGCUGUUUGAAGUAGCUCUCUUGUUCGUUGAAGGUGACAUCUCUUAACACAUAGAAUCUUUUUGAAAGGGGUUGAAAACAUUUGUACCCUUUUUGUGUGGUAGAGUACCCUAAGAAAACACAUUUGACAGCUCUCGGAUCCAAUUUCCCCCUUUCAUUACUAUGAACAUGUACAAAGGACACACACCUAAACAUUCUAGGUUGGAGUUUAUUUGUAGGGUCUAGGUGUGGGUAGAAUGAGGAUAGAACUUCCAUGGGACUUCUUGAGUUUAAAACUUUAGUGGGUAAUCUAUUGAUUGGAUAGCUGGCGGUAAGGAGAUCUUCCCCCCAAAAUCUUUUAGGAACAUGAUUUUGAAAAAGUAGAGCUCUAGUUUGAUCUAAAGUUUAGAAUAGAAUCUCUCUCUUAUGAUAUUCUGAGGUUACUAACCUCUAUAUUUAUACACAAGUCAGCAGCAUAUUAUGGGCUGCUAAAUCUACUGGACAAAUCCCUAUAAUUAUGGGAUCAAUCAAACAUAAAUAACCUAAUAAAGGCAGCCUUCAACAGUUACGGAAAUACAGCAUAUUUAAAUAAAAAUCUUCCUAAACUACUCCAUGCCAAUUAAUACCACGCCAAUCACGGUUUUCACAAAAAUGCAAGCCAUUAAAUAUUGUAUCCUUAAGAUACCUCAGUAUACAUCUUAGGUACCCAGGUUUGCAACCUAACAAGAACACACUCAAAAGAUAGGAAGAGGAAUGGAAGAAUUGUUUUCUCAUAGCUUCUGUUUCCCUAUCCUAAUCACUCAUCUCUGUUUUUUGGCUUUGUAUUUAUAUUUUAUCCGAAAGAAACAACUUUAAUUGACUAAAACAGAUUAUUUUUUUAAUCAACCUUUAUUUAGUGAAAAACUUGUGUUAUGUGGCUGUUUAUCACUCCUACAUUUUAUUGAAUGACAUGCUUAAGAAUUCAGUUCUAACUUGAUUUAUUAUGUGAUUGAGAGGUUAUUUUCAUUAUCUGUUAUGAUUUUGCAUUUUUUUGUAGGAUCUUAUGCUUCGUGUUGUGAAACUAUGGUUUAUGAUAUUUUAUUCCCAUCCUACUAAUCUUAUCUAAAGUUUUGAUAUUGACUACAUUGGAUGCUUUUCUAUUAGCAGCAGAAUUAAUUGAAAGGUAUUUUUUUAUAUAGUUGGCAUAUUGAUGUUUUUAUGGUAUAUUUUCAUGAUAUUUUGUAGAGUAUUGAAAAUGCACCUCGUUUGGAAGAAUUGCUUCCUCCUAAAAGCGGGCCAAAUUUUAGUUUUGGUUCAGAAGAUGGUAAAGAAAGCAAUGAGCAUGGACUGUCUGGAAAGCUCAACAGUAUGGUUAAAGGGAAGUCACCUGUCCGUGAAAUAAUCUCUUGGAUUGAUGAAAGUGUGCUUCCAAAUAAUGGUCUAGAAGUUACCCUCAGAGUGAUUGUACAAACACUUCUCAAUAUUGGAUCCAAGAGUUUCACUCAUUUGAUAACUGUCUUGGAGAGAUAUGCACAAGUCUUUGUGAAAGUAUGUCCGGANGAGGAUNGACAAGUCAUGCUGAUAGCUGAAGUGAGUUCUUUCUGGAAGAGUAACACCCAAAUGACAGCAAUAGCUAUUGACAGGAUGAUGGGUUAUCGACUUGUAUCAAAUCUGGCUAUUGUGAGAUGGGUCUUCUCAGCAGAAAAUAUUGAGCAAUUUCAUACAUCGGAUCGGCCAUGGGAGGUACAUAAUUGAGGUUUUUACGGAUAGAUUGUUGUUAACUCUUUCCUCCUCGGCUAUAGGUCUAAGGGGUCAGAAACCAUCUGCCUUUUGCUUUUUAUUGUAUUUGAUGUGAUCUGCUUUUUAAUUUUUAAAUUUAAGUGCUCAAAAUUUACACCCUUUUUGUUUUUUGUUUGAUUGGCAUGGAUUAUGAAUUUUAGCAUGUAUGGAAUUUUCAGUUGAUCAUCAUGAUAAUUACUUUUGCUUUCAUAUAGUAAUUCGACCCUGAUUUCUAUUGAACAGAUUCUGAGAAAUGCAGUAAGCAAGACACAUAAUCGUAUUUCUGAUUUACGGAAAGAAAUAUUAACUAUUAAAAAGAACAUUUCAUCUGCCGAAGAAGCUGCCAAGGAGGCAAAAGCUGAGCUAGAUGCUGCAGAGUCAAAACUUACACUUGUGGAUGGUGAACCAGUUCUUGGUGACAAUCCUGUUAGAUUGAAUAGAUUGAAAUCACAUGCUGAAAAGACAACGGAGGACGUGGUGACUGUUAAAGAAUCCUUAGAAUCUAAGGAAGCUCUUCUUGUCCGAGCAAUUGAGGAAAAUGAGGUAAUUGAUGGAAAAUUUGUUAAGUUAAUUGUUUGCAUAAAGUUUUUUGUAUCAAACAUGUUUACAAUGUCUGGGAAUGGUUACAUUUUUGUUACAGCCAGAGAUAACUUUUCAUGUAUUUGAAAAAAAAUAGAUUUGCCAAUAGUGAGUUUCUAAGAAAAUUUUCAUUGCAUUGUUGGUUAUUGGCAUAUACAGGCAUUAUUUCUCUUGUUGUACAAAAGCUUCUCAAAUGUGUUGACAGAGCGGCUUCCUGAAGGAACUAGAACACUGCAUGAGUUGAAGUCUGUGCAAGUAGAUGUGAUGGCAGUGGACGCUGAAGAGCCACCAACAAUGGAAUUAGAUGACGAAAACCAGAGAUCUCAAAACAGGUUCUCGUGCCUGUCCUUCUGAGCUAGAUUAAUAAUUAAGAAAAGUUAAUGUUUCUCUGGCUUUGUACGCAUGUGCAUAUUACUAUUGCUUUUUAAUGUCUUCUACAGUCAGUCAAAUGGAGAGAAGAAAGGUGGUGCUUAUGUUGUAGGUGAAAAGGAGCAGUGGUGUAUCACCACUUUGGGCUAUGUGAAGGCUUUUUCUAGGCAGUAUGCUGCUGAGGUAUUGUUCCAUUCCCUGUUUGCAUUUAUCUUGGCUUUUAAGGGAAUGCCUUGUAAACAAAACUUAGCAUAUACAAAAUCUUUUACCUGUUCCUCCAGGGUUAGAUUGCUCUAUAUUUGUUUACCUCUAAAAACUUGUAUUAAAUUGUUGGUUGCAGAUAUGGCCCCAUGUUGAAAAGUUGGAUGCAGAGGUAUUGACAGAAGAAACACCUUAUCUUUUUAGGUCAGCUGUUUAUACUGGUCUUCGAAGACCAAUUCACGAGGCAUGAUCAAUUUGUUACUUCACCUCUGAGCUAUGUUAUUUAGAAUAUAAUGUAAUUCCAUUCUUUAGUCUGCUAGUUAAGCAUUUUCUUAGUCUGCUAAAAGCCUAAAACUGUAUGCAAUUGUAAUUUAAAAAUGACAAGGUUGGUAUGACGAGUCUCUACAUCUUAGAUUCUAACAGGGACUUUAUCACCGCUGCUGUACAUUAGAUUUCGAUUAUAGCUUUUAAUUGGACCUCAAAUACCCAAAAAAAAAAUGGAGUUUGCACCAUACUUGUGUUGUACUUGGUAGUAAAAUGAAAAUUGAAUUGUGAUUAUUUGCAUUAAAAUGUGCUUUUUUAAUAGGCCUAUGAUGCCUCGUUUGGAGGAGAAGUAAAAUCUUAUAUACCCUCAGGAAAAAAAAGAAGCUUAAAGAGAAUAAGUAGAUUCAAAAUACUAGACUUGAUGUUAGCCAAAAGUAAUUUGAUUAAAUUAUAUACAUUAUUUGACUGCUUCAUAAGUUGAGUUUGAUAUAAAUGUAUAAUUUGACAAAACAUCAAUUUUUUCAGAUUGGUGAUUAGAAACACCGCAUUGAGUAGUGAUAUGAUGAAAAUAGUGUAUGUAAUUUAAGGAUGAGUUCGUUUUCUAAAGUUGAGUUUGGUUUAAACCACCUAGAGUCCGCACCUUCACUUGUACAAAUGCAAGAUGGCUCAGUUAUAAAAAGAUUUUAGAUGAUUUUUCUCUAAAUACAGAAGCUUACUUACAGGAACCAGAUUUAAAGAAGAAAUUUGUAUCUACCAUCUAUUCAUGUGAAUUGAAAUAUUAUGUGGUAUGAACACUGGGUCAACACCAAAAGUAGAUGAUGCACUGGGUCACAGAAUUAUUCGUAGCCCGUAGAAAAUUUUGUUCCAUGUAUUUGACGUACUUAAGAAGGUCUUUGGAAUUAACAAGUUUUACAAUGUAAUUAUUUUAUAAAAAAAAUGUAUUUUGACAUCCACUUUUUCUCUGACCAUCAUUUGACUGCUUUUUAUUUAUAAAGUAUUAUAUUUAAUAAAUAUAAAUAAAUAAUAAUAUUUAAGAGUGUUAUAAUAAAAACACAGGGAUCCUUAUUUUAUUCCCAAAUUUAAGAUGGUUACAAAAAUUAUAUCUUCCCGUGAAACUGAACCCAUACUCUUAUAUGUCUUUAACUUUUAAUUUGACAUCUCCGUACCAUGCCCCAUGGACCCUAAUUUCCAAACGGCACUCCAUCUCUUCCGGUCCAAUAAAAAAUAUAAGAAUUAAUUCUUCUGAUAGAUUUCAUUUUGGUGAAAGUGUGUAAGUUGGUUCUUCAUUUUAAAAAAGUUUUAAUUAUGUCUUAAUUUUUUUUUUUAAAAAUAAUUAACAGACAUAAUUUAUUCUGAAUUUUUAUCAAAAUAAAACAACAUUAUCUAUUUUUAAAUUUAAAUAAAUUAUUAUUUAUAUAAAUAUUAUAUUAACAUUUUUAUUAAAAAUAAUUUUUAGCAUAUUAUAUUAUAUUGUCAAUGUCACGUAUCAUACCGUGAAUUUAACACGUGACAAUUUUUUAUUAAAAAAUUAAAAAUAUUAAGAAAUUAAAAAACUGAAAAAUAACAAUUAAUAAGAGUUAAAUUGAAAUUUGGCAUGUAAUACUAUGAUCAGUGUCACGUGUUCCAAUAGGAUUUGACAUGUGACAAUAAAAGCCUUAUAAAAAAAAUCACAUAUUGAUUCAUGAUAUGUUAACGUUAUUAGUAAUUUAUUUUAAAAAUAACAUAAUUUAGACAUUUUUUUAAAAGUUAAUAUGCAAUGGAAAUUUGUUUUAAAAAUGGGACCAAAUAAUUAAGUCUAAAUAUAAAUAUAUUGAAUAGCAUGAUUCAUUCUUUAAAUUAUUUUAUUUUUUUAAUAUUUGGUUUAGAUGAAAAGACAUUCAUGACAUGUUAACAAAUUUCAUUAAUUCAAAAAUAUUAACAUUAACAUUGCUUAUUGGAGUUUCUUGUGUCAAAAUUUCAAUCAAUGUUAUUAAAGUGUCCCGAACUCACAUGGAUAAAAAAAAAUUAGUAAUUGUUGGUAAUUUUUUUUUCAAUUAAUAACAAAAAAUGUCUUAAGAAAUUAUUGAUGAAGAAUAAUUUGUGUAAUUGAUAUAAAAUUAAUCGACAAAUAAUAAUAAUAAUAAUAAUAAUAAUAAUAAUAAUAAUAAUAAUAAUAAUAAUAAUAAUAAUAGGUAUUAGUAAAAAAAAUCUAGUUUAUACUUUUAAGAUAGUUUCCUUGAAGUGAGAGAAAAUCCUAAUUAAGGUUGAGUAAGAAAUUUCAAUGGUAUAUAUAAAAAACAUAAAUCAAGAAAUAAUUUUAAUAAUAUCAAUGAUAGAGGACCAUCUUGAGGAAAUAUUGGACCACUCACAUAAGCUAUGACAAAGAGGAUGGAAGAGGGAGAUGAAGCUCUAAGGACUCUACUUUUGUGGAGAUCAAUUAUUAGCCUUUUAUUUUCUCUUAAACACUUUUGUAAAUAUGUAAUAUAACUUCAUUUUAUAUCUUGUAUAUGGCCAAGAACCUUGUUUAGUAGUGAUUAGGACCUUGGCGCAAUCAGAAGUGGAUUAAUGCCUCAUUUAAGGUCUUAAGCCUUAAUCAACGCCUAAAUGGGCUUCAAUAGGCCUUCAAGAAGCUUUGGACUUGGAAGAAAGAAGCCUUGGCCGGUCACAUCAAGGGUAGGCGCCUAUGCAUUGUAUUUGGAUGAAAGUUAGGAGUUAGUUGGAAGGGAAGGCUCCCACUCAUCCCCCUUGCCAAAGAAGCUUCUAGGCUAUUUCUUAAGUGCAUGCACUUUAGGUCUUCCUUCAACUAUAAAAGGAAAAGCACUCCUCUUGUAAUCCUUAUAACUUGAAUGAUAUUAGAGAAACUUUACCAAAAUUGCAAGCCUCUCUUCCUAAGUUCUCAUUGCAAUAGUGUCUUUUAAAGGCUUCUUCUUCCUUUUCCUUCAUGUUGAGACAAGACAAGCUCGUCUACUAAGUAUAAAGGAAAGGUGUCCACACAACAAGUCUAACACAAUAAAUAGGAAAUACAAAUGACUAGGAAUUAAAGGUCCAGUAAGAAGCAUCUAUAAAUGACUUCCAUUGGGAAUACAAACAUUAGAUGAGCCUCACCAAAAAAUGGUCAAACUAAUUUCAGGCAUAGUCGGAAAUCAAAAGAAUUGAAAAAGAUAUAAGAAUUCUAUGCAACACUAAACGACUUCCAAAGUUAAAAGUCUAAUGACCGAGGAAACUCAUAUAAAAACACUUAGGCUCGGCCUAGACGCAACAUUAAACGAUUCUAAAAAGGUUAAAGCGUCUAUAAGAGAAGUCCUACUAAACGCAGAAAGCUUACAGUACCAAACGAUAAUUAAUAAAAACUCUCAAUUAGACAAAAGUGUGAAGACAAAGUUUUUGGUAAGCUAUUUGAAAGUCAUAAUCAAUAGUCCAAAAACUUGUAAAGGACAACUCGUUAAAUGCUUCUUCUAAAGAAAGCAGAAUCCUAAAAGUGUUUACAAUAGAUUAGUCGAUAAUAUCCUCUCAGUAUGUCAUAGCUUGAUAAAAAGUGUCCAACAAUGAAGGCAUGACUAGAAAGUCUUAAACAAUGUUACAGAAAGCAUUGUGCCAAACGUAUGGGCUAGAGAAACCUACAUGGUUUAACUAAGCUGGACGAAUUCCCACGAUAAAAUGAUGAGUUUGGAAAAUACAUCAAAAGAACAAAACUUUUUCCAAAACACAUAAUAAAAGGCAUUCAACUAAACACAAUCUUAAAAAUAACAAGUAGCUACCAAACAAAAACUAAUUAAAGAAAAAGUCUCUUCUAGGAUAAAAGAUACGACAUGCCAAACACAUUUUCAUUCAAUGAUAAAACUCUCGUGAAACAUCUUGUAUUCUCAUUAGAUAACUGAAACAGUUAAAUCUUAACCAAAACAUAAAAUCCCUGACUAUUCUGGACAAACAUUAAAUGUUAUUAAAUGCUCAAUGUUUAAAAGCAAGAAGAUAGAUAAGAAAAAAGAUAUAUAUACUAUAAAAACAUAUAUUCUACGCUAUGCAGGUUAUCUACUACAAACAUUUACCUACAAGUCAGAAAUGAACGUUAGAAAGAAGAAAAAGAUAGGUGGAAUGUUUCGUUCAUCAAAAGUCGUGCCACAUGAAUAAUCUAAUAUGUUUUUUGUUAAUGUUCUGAAAAACAAGUCUCCUAUGACAUCAAGACAUCAAUCUAUGACUGUCAUCUGUGCUACGAAGAGUCAAAGCACAUGGACAAGCUUCAUCCAAUAGUCAUAUUAUCAACAAGUUUCAAGACAAGCAUCAUUUAACGACUAUAUCAUCAAAGGUGUAUAAAUAGAGGAUCGAAAAAGAAGAAAGACAGAUGAUGAAAAAAAAUGGAGUGUAAAGAAAAAUUAGCAUCAAGGAAGAGCCAGGAAGUCUCUCUGAGCUACUAAAGUCAAACCAUUUUACUCAAGAGAAAAGAGAAAAAGAGAAGAUUUAAAGAAAAGGAAACACUCUCAGUCUUCAGGGUUAUAAGCUUACUUUUGUAAGGAGAGAAAGAGAAAAGAGAGAGAUAUAGUGAAACACUAAGAAAUACUCUCAAGUUUCAUUGUAGUAUUAGAUAGUAUUGUAAUGAAUAUAUAUCCUUUAUGUGAGAGUAAUCGUCUAACGAUUUGUAGGCAAUCAAUUUGAUUGCACAUUCUGAAGAGAAUUAAAACACUGAUUAAGUAACUCAUAAGAGUUAAGGAUUAUUAGGCAGCGUAUCGGCGGAUACCGGGAUUGUCUAGUGGAAAUCAAGAGUGGGUAAAACUCAACUAGUCAGGAUGAUCAAUGUUAUUCGUUGACUAGGGAUACCAGAGUGAUGAAGAAUGCUGCUCAACCAGGAGUGGGUGAAACUUAGUCGAGGUCAUAGUAACAUGUGGUUAUUGGGUUGACAAGGACAACUAAGAGUGAGUUAAACUUAGCUAGGCAACAUAUCAAGGGAUACUAGGAUUGUCUAGGGAUACCAAGAGUGGUGAAGAAUAUUGCACAAGUAGGAGUGGGUGAAACUUAAUCAAGGUAAUAAUAACAGGUGGUUAUUGGGUUGACAGUGACAACCAUGAGUGGGUUAAACUCAACUAAGUAAUGUAUCAGGGGAUACCAGGAUUGUCUAGGGAUACCAAGAGUGGUGAAGAAUACUGCACAACCAAAAAUGGGUGAAACUCAGUUAAGGUCACAGUAACAGGUGGCUACUAGUGUACGAGGGCAACCAAGAGUGGGUUAAACUCAAAUAGAUAGUGUAUCAGUUUGAUACCAGGAUCGUCUAGGGAUACUGGGAGUGAUGAAGAAUAUUGCACAACCAGGAGUGAGUGAAACUCAACUAGACGGUGUAUCAGAUUGAUACUAGAAGCGUUUAGGGAUAUCGGGACUGGUUAGAAUACUCAAAUGUACUUUGUUGAAUAUUUAAUGAAACUGUCUAAGUUAUAUUAGAGGACAAUUGGACGUAGUAUCAGAUUGAUACUAGGAGCGUCUAGGGAUAUGAAGUUUUUGGACAUGAAUCCAGAAGAUUUCAUCUCGCAUAGGUUUAGAACCUCGACGUAUGAAGAAACAUGCAUUCCAAUCAUUUUCCCUCUCAAUGGACCUCAUAUAUGGCAAAGGACCUCAUAUCCUGAUAUUUUGCCUCCACCAAAACGGGGUGUUUCCAGGAAGACCAAGAAAAAAAAGAAGGCUGAAGAGUUGGGAGCAAAAGAAGGAUGAUACACAACUUGGACAAAAAGGAAUCCCUAAGAGAUGUUCCAUGUGUAGAGAACUUGGGCAUAGAAGAACUAAUUUCCCACAAGCAACUCAACAACAACACCAGUAGGGUACAUCACACUUCACUCAAGCAAGUCAACAACAAGAGGAAGAACUUACACCACACCCCACUCAAGGAAGUCAGAUUACUCAAGAACCCCAGACUGAUCAAAUUAUAACACCACUUUAGAUUGUUCAACUUUCAAACAUUAAGUACAUCUUUGUUGUAUUUUGGAUAUGUACUUUGAUUUUAAAUAGUGUCGCUUUCUGUCAUGUAUUUUGCACUUAAUUUUGGAUGAUAUGUGACUGUAUUUUGGAUUAUAUAUGAAGUACUUUGGAUGAUAUGUGAAUGUAUUGUGAUAGUCACAUUAAUUUGGCUUCUAGGAUUUCAAACUUAUUUAUAUUAAUUGUAUUGUCAUAGCCAUAUUAAUUUGGCAUCCCUGAUUUCACAGUUGAUUAUAUUUAGUGUAUUGAUUAUAUUUAGUGUAUUGUGAUAACCAUAUUAAUUUGGCAUUCCUAAUUUCACAGUUGAUUAUAUUUAAUGUAUUGUGAUAGCCAUAUUAAUUUGAAGUAACAAACACUUGAAGUAAUGAAAAUUACACUUCUCCAUUGAGUAAAAUGUCAUUACAAGCAUAAUCUCAUUACAACCAGUUUCUCAUUCAUUAGGUAACAAACAAACAUUACAAUUUAACUAACUUCUUCAUUACAAUUUAACUAACAUAGACAUACAAAGAUGAUAUUAAUCAACCCCAUUGUGAACACCCAAUUUCGUCCGGGUGACUAAAAUACACUUUUUCUCAUUCUAUCUUAUUUUAAGUCUUUUUAUCAUUUUUAUUUUUAUUUUCUUUUUAGUAUUUUAUUUUAUUCUACUUUUCCUUUCAUAAUUUUCAUUUUUAAUUUUUGUCUUUACUUUUUACUUUUUAGUCUUGUUUUCACAUAAUUAAUAUAAUUAAGAAAAGAAAAAAAAACAAGAGGAAAGGAAAAAGGGUUGAAACGUUUUUUCUUUAAUAUGAUUUAUUUAAAAAAAAAAGAAAAAAAAAGAAAAUGAAAAAAAAGGUACAAGCAGUACCAUGAUCAGGCGCACACACUCUCCUUUUCUCGACACACCUCUGCUCCGCGCAACCUGUAACCACCCCCCGACAAACAUUACCCACACCACGCUCUACAUCCUCUCGAGUUUUGCUGACUCUUUUCCCAAUUUUUCACUCACUCCUGAGGAGGAGAUUUCUUCCGAUUCAUCUCUCUGAGAGAACACAUUUCACCUUCUUCAUUCUUCCUUUCCCUCUCCUUCAACUCGACACUUUCCAAACUUGACACCAGGGCCAAACUUCCUUCCUCAACUCCACUCCUUCAAUACCUUCUCCUUUGCACCUAACCACCAUAAUCAUCUUCAAGUCCUCCUACACUACAGGACUCUCCAUUCUCACCAUCAAUUAUUGACUGACAUACAACUAGAAUUCCUCCAUUCACUCAUCAAAUAUCACCUUCACCAUCACAUUAACCUACGCCCAACCACUAGCUCUGGAGGCCUCUCACCCAAUUCUCGACCAUCUUCUGCAACUGCCAUUCACUUACAACAGAGAAGAAAAAAGUAAAGCUAGCAACAAAAAAGGAAUCCAUUUGAAGCAUAGGAAACUGACGAUAGCAAACGAAGCUCCAAGAGGUAAGUAUCACCUUGCUCAUUAGUGUUCUCAUGCUCUAAUCUAGUAGGCUUGCUGCAUUGUAUACAUCGUUUCAUGUUUAUUGUUGCUCUGCUUAAGUAUGGUUGCUGUGCUGUUUUCCCCUUUCUCCAUCACCACCUUCGAUUGAGUUUGACAAACCAUCAUAAAAUAAAUAGAAAAAAAAUUACCAAAUAAUCAUAAAACCCAAGCCCCCCAAUUUGGUUACGGCUGUUCACUCCCAAUCAUCAACAGAGGAGUUGAAUCCUCUGCGUCAGGUGAAACCAACAACUAAUUGAAAAACUACACUCUUGAGGGUUUAUGCAAAUUUUGUUUGGGCACAAUAAAUGGUUUCCUUACUGCCCAUGAUGCUAGCUUAUUUGGAGCACUUCGCUCACGGAAAGGAUGCGAGGUCGAGGCAAGACGACAAGGUUGUCAGCUUCUCCAGAGCGCUUGAACUUCAAGCCUGUGCUGAUGAAUUGGGCUACAACGGAAUCGCCAGUAAAGGUCUCGGCGGCGUUAAGUCCGUGAAACACUUGGCCAUGAUCGGGCCUUCUUCGGUUGUCGGCGUGGCCAGAGCGAUGAAAGCCGCCGUGGGGUUCCAAAGUCUAACGGUGGCAGCGCAGAGGAACGAGCACUCGGUGGCCAAGCUCGCCCAGGAGGCGAUUCACGAAGGAGAGAACUAUCUCUCUCGCGCGCGAAGAAGCGAGGAGAAGGGAAGCUUGGAGCUGCGGCCGGCAAUGCCGCCGGCGGUGAACGACGGUGAUGGCAGCGCCUUGGAAGGCGGCUCGCGGCGACUGAUACGGUGGCGGCUGGCUCGGCGGAGGCAGCAGCGCCCUCACGCAGGGAGACAAACCCCAACCCUGGGCUGUGCGAAAGAACGAGACUUUGAGUCUCUGGUGUGUUUGAGUGUAGUGAUUGAGAAAUGGGGAGGAAUGAGAGAACCCCUAAAGAGGAUUGUGAGCUUGAGAGUGAGGGUUUCAGGGCCCAGCUUUCUGGGCGGUAUUCUAUCUGCAGCCCCAUUCACAGCUUUUGUUUUUUAUUUUCUCCCCUAAGAGCAUUGAGCCUGGGCCUAAACCAAAAAAAAAAAGAACGGAAAAGACAUCUCAUUUGCACCCCCUGUUUUUGCUAAGUCGCGCCCCUUCUCUUUGGGCUCAGGCCCAUCCGGUUUUAUAUAAAAAGAAGUAGUAAAAAAACCUUUUCUCCUUCUUUCAGAAAAUAUCAAAAAACGUUUUAAAGGUUUAAACACAUGUGUGAUCGUUCGCAUUGUCCUUGUGCUAAAAAAUCUUUUCUCUUUCUUACAUAAAAAUACCAAAAAUAUAAAACAUCCAUAUUUUCAAACAAAAACAAUCUUUCAGCUAGAACUACGUAACCCUCAUUUCUCAGUCUGACUGAGAAUACGUAGGAGCAAGGUCAGCCAUGGUUGGGCACAAAACAUAAAAAAAAAUAUAUUUUUUCUCUUUUGAUUUUUACUUUUUAGGGGAAAUUAAACAUUUCGAAAACCACAUCCUAGUUGUGUAUAAUUAAAGGUACUGCCUUCGGGCAGAUGUGGUAGGGUGCUAAUACAUUCCCUACACGUAACCGACUGCCGAACACAAAAUAUGGUUUUCAUGGACCUUGCCUUGUCAUUUUACCGUUUUUUCAUAGUUUUCCAGAAUAAACUAUGGUGGCGACUCCAAAACUUUUUCAAACUCAUUUUUAUUUUUGGAUCGUCUUCCCGUCGCGAUUUCGGUUGUGACACCCAUCAAACAUAACAUCCAGAUUAAGACCUUCUCCCUUUUUUGACAAACCAAAACUUAUUUUUCCAAGUUAAUAAUCUUUCUCCCUUGCCAUCCAAUUCUAGUAUCCCUUUCAUCUACAUUAUCUUCAGUGCGCCAUUUGAAGAAAUUACGUCCUCGCACUUUUUCAUUUCGAUUCUGCUGUACAAAACAUCGAACCAAAAACAUCUCAUGAAAACCAAAAUAAUUAUAUCCCAAAAUAAAAAGACAACGAAGGAAACAAACCUUGUAAUUAGGGCAGCCUCAAAAAGGCUUGCCCUCGUUCUUAGCAGUUUUUGAGACUCUUAAUACGGCAAGCUCUCCUCAAUAGCAUAUUUGGCUGCCAACCAUUCCUCUUGAGCAAGACGAACAAUGACUCAUUGACAUUGCCUCAUCGUGACACAAUAAUGCUUCGUCACCACAAACAAAACAACCCCAAACACUAAAAAUUAACCACAAACAAAGAAGACAACAACGUUAGGGUACCCACGUCACACGAAGGAAACAACGAAGGGCACCCUACCUUAGCUCAGUUCCUUCACCUCAGAAGAAAACAACAAUACUUCCUCAAGUUAGGGCACCCACCUCACACGAAGGGAACAACGAAGGGAACCCCACCUUAACUGACCUCCUUCACCUUAGCUCCUUCACCUAAGGUCCUUCGAGAUCAAUGUCUGAAGGCAAGCAUUUAAGCCUUUAAUCUAUUGUAAUGAAAUGAUUUUUUCAUACCUGUCUUUGCUAUAAAAUUUCCUUUUGCCACGACAAAUAAGUUAUUUGCCACAUCAUUUAACAUUUAACGCCGUUUCAACAAACUUAACAAAUAUGACUAAAUUGAUAUAAAUGUCAAAACAUAGGGAUCAAAUGUCUACUUUUUAAAACCGGGUGCUAAACUGAAAAUUCUCUCCUAACUCGAGGACCAAAGUAAGCAUUUAAGCCUAUAAUUUUUUAUUUUUAAAAGAAUUCUUUCCUUUUUCUAAGAAAAUUGUAAAAGAAAAUAUAAAAAAUUAUUACUAUUAUAUAAUUUGUUUAAUUCUUCUUUAAGUUGGGUGUGUUUUUAAAUCUUUACGUUGUUAUGUAAGAUUAACUUAUUAUAGUUCUAAGUCGUUUAUAGUGUAUCCGGUAAUUGUUGGAGGAAGUAGUUCUAGUAAGGAAACUCAUUGUGUAGCUAUGUUCUUUUAUGUUGUGUUUACUUGCAUAGAUAUUUCUGUUCAAACAUAUUUGUGAAGAUAGAAUUACGAGAUAUGUUAUGUUCGUUUUCAUUGAUUUGGAAGGAUUGAAGAGCAAUGAUUUGAAAGAUAAUUGAAAAUUUCAAUCUUCUCAUUUUAUGCAAAUUUGAAACGAUUUGCAAUGAAAUCUCUAUUUUACCCCUAUACAAUAAUUACAGAAAAGAGAGAACUGAAUACAUUGUCUUCCAUGCAUAAAACUAUAUUCGCUUCCGAAGUAUAAAAUCUAAUAAAGAUGUUAUAGAUAAAAAAAGUUUUCUUUUUGGAAAUCUUAAUUUAGUUAACCAUUUAAAUAUUUAUCUAUGCACAAUUUUUUUCUUUAAAAAUGUCUUAGUUUAAUUUUUUUUUCUGUGAUAAUUCUUGUCUUAUUACUUUAAAUGUUUUUGAAUUUGAAGCUUUAUUAGACAAUGUAGUAAAUUUUAUAAAAUUAACAUGAUUAAAUAAUACAAACGUAUAUAUUAUAUGAUGGUGGUUUAUGUGGGUGAAGUAUUUUUGUAAAUAUCUUUUGUUUUGGUGAAGUUUAAAAAAAUAAUUUCACUUUACUUAAUUUUUUUUAUUAAUAUUUUUUGUUUUCAAUAUUUAAAAUUCAUUUUAUCAAUAAAUAUAUUAUUAAUGAAUAUAUUAUUAAUAUAUAAAAUUUUAUAUUACUUUUAUUACUAAAGAUAUUUUAAUAAUCUAUAAUUUCUAUUAAUUAAAUCAUUUUUUUUAUGUCAUAUGAUCAAAUUCUAUAUUAAUUCUCACAAAAUCCAUUCUUAAUUCUCUCUAAAUUCACUCAAAUAAAUAAUAAAAAAUUUAUUCUCAAAUUCCUUCAAAUCAAUCCACUCACUCUCCUCAAAAUAAACACACUCUUAGUUUUUAAUAAAUUUCUAAUUUUAUUCCGAUCAACUUUUAUAAUAACUUUCUUCUUCUAAUCAAUAAAAUGAUAGUAUUUGGGUGUUUAUAUGAUUUUCAUUCUAUCGAACAGGAAAGUUAUGACAAUGUUUCUUACAUCAAAGUAAAUUUGCACCGAAUUUAAUAAAAUUUCCUCACACUAGUAUUCUAUUAUGCAUGUUUAUACACUACAAAUCUUUGUUGACUUUCUACUUUUAGGAGUAUUUAUUGGAUAUACACUUCACUUCAUCCUCAAUGCAUUUGUAUGGUUAAAACUCUUUUCAACUCCAAAAUGGAAUGCUACACUCAUUUAAUACUUUUUAGUAACAAGUUUCUAAGAAAACAUGUCACAAUAAUUAAUGAAUGUUAUUCUAAAUAUGAUAUAUAAAAUACCGUCACAAUUUUUUUUUAAAAUAAUAUAACUGCAGAUGAACCUAACUUGUUCUAGAGAACAUUUUUUAAAAAUGUUAUUUAAAGUGUAACACUUUUUAAAAAAAUACUUUGGUGGUUUGGUUAUUAAUCACGCUUUAUUAUAUAUCAAUUUUAUAUUAUUAUGUAUAAAUUUUAUUAUAUAGCAAACAUAUUAAUAUUAAUAUAUUUCACUAUUACAUAGAGAAAUGGUAAAAAUAUCCAUGUCUGACAUAGGUAUAUAAAAUUCAUGAUAAAUAAUUAACAUUUAUGAGUUUUUAUUAUUUGUAACGUAUAAUAGAUAUUUUAUUUGUAUAAUAAAUAUUCACUAUUUGAAAAAAUAAAAAUAAAAUUUUAAUUUAUAUUUUAUUAAAUUUAAUUUAAUUAAAAUUAAAAUUAUUUUAUAUUAAAUCAUAUUAAAUUUAAUUUUGAUUUAUAUUUAAUUUAAUUUAUAUUAUAUUUUAGAUUUAAUUACUUUUUGGUCUCCAUAUUUAGAAUUUUGUUCCUGUUUUUAAAAAUAUCUCUAUUACCUUCUAAUAAUAUGUAUGAUUACAUCAAUCAAAUGCUUUGUGUUAAAUGGGUAUAAACUAAAAAUAAAUAUAUUUUUUUUUCUCAAUCUUCUAUUCUCCUUUUUGUCCCGCCAUCUUUCAUUAAUUAUCUUCCUACUUCAGUUUGUUUAUAACUUACAACCUAUUUAAGUUGUUUCUAUUACUAUUCUUUAUCUUUAAACACACUUUUUUUUUAUCAUUUUUAAUUUUGUUUUAAUUAUCAUAGUUUAUUAGAUUAAAUUAAGAAUUAAAUAGAAGUUUUAAGAAAAUCAAUACAAAUGCCAUUAUUUAAAAAACCUAAAUUAAUAAUUCUGCAAUAAGAUAAAAAAAAAUCAUUUGUAUAAUAAAAAUUAUAUAAUUAUUUUUAUAUAAUUUUACAUUUACAUACUAACUAUUUUUUUAGUUAAUAUUUAUAAGUUAGAAAUUUAUUAACAGAACAGUAAUUUAUCAACUAUUAAUUAACUUAUCAGUUAAUUUUAAAAAAUAUUUUUAUGCUAAAAACUAUCAUAAAAAAUCAUUCCAAUUAUGUACGAAAAAUUAAGAAAGAAAAUGAAGGCAUAAAAACCAAAAGAAAUGGAGAAAAAGUGAACANAAUAAAGAAAAAAUUAACGUAUUUAACUAUAUUAUAAAUAUUUUAAUGCAAAAUUUGCAUUUAUAUUAUAAAAUUAGUUGUCAUAAUUAAUUUAAUAAUAUUUAUCAAUUUUAUUAUUAUUUUUAAUCAUCUAUUAUUAUUAUUAUUAUAAUAUUUAUGUAUAUUUUGUAUCACAUAAUAUUGGAAUUAAUUUUUUUUAUUAACGAGUAAGUACUCUCUGUACUGUUAUCAUCCUUAGUUAUAUACAAUAUAUUUAUAUUAAUAUUUAAAAUUUAUUGAUAUUAUAUAUUUAAAUAAUAUUUAAUGUUUUAAAAUAUUAUCAUUUCAAUUUAACUUUUAAUUUAAACAGUGACCAGAAAAGUUUCUACCAGUGGAUUUGAUAGACAUUUGUUAAGUUUGAUUAAUUCUUUAAACUUAACUUAGUAUGGAUACCAGCCAUGUUCACAUUUCCCUAUUUUUUUUUUUAUUUGCAAAGACACAGACGCAGUGCAAUGCAAGUGAGGGUUUGUUCUCGUUUUCUCCUCUGUUUCUGUAAUACUGCUGCGAAGUUUGGUUGGCGUGGCAAAGGAUUCUACUGUUCAUCGAUUCAGUGUAUCUCAUCCUUUACCAAUUAAUCUUGUGCAGUUCAAUUUCCAUAUCACAGAUAUGCCUUGAAUUUGAUUUUGCACCUACUUUAAUUUCAAACCCUUCAUCUCAAUUAUGAGUUUCCGCUGAGAUUUCAUCACCCAUUAUGAAAUUCCUUAAAAUCUUCAAAUCCAAACCCUUCAAUCUUCGAACUUUCAAUUCCCUUCCCCUUCCCACAACCGUUUCACCAAUCACAGAAUCCGAACUUCUAAAUUCCAUAGAAUCUUCUCACUGGCAUUUCAUCAAACAGGUUGCGCCACACUACACUCCCUCUCUUCUCUCCUCAACUCUAACCUCCCUCCACCACAAACCCCAACUCGUCCUUCAGCUUCUAUCCCAUCUCAAAGGCCAUUCCCUCGACUUAACCACCUCUUCUCUUGCUGCUUGCAUCCUCUGUCGCCUCCCAUCUCCCAAAUCCUCUAUCAGCCUCUUACAGAGCCUCAUUAUAUCUUCCACUGCCACCAACAGAACAAUUUUCCAUGAGUUGGAACUUUCCCUCGACCGCUUGGAUGCCAAGACUAAUCUCAUCUUCGACCUUCUGGUAAGGACCUAUUGUGAACUCAAAAAGCCCAAUGAGGCCUUGGAGUGUUUCUACUUGAUGAAGGAAAAGGGCGUUGAGCCCAACAUUGAGACUUGUAAUCAAAUGUUGAGUCUGUUUUUGAGACUGAACAGGACUCAGAUGGCUUGGGUUUUGUAUGCUGAGAUGUUUAGGAUGAAGAUAAAAUGUAGUAUAUACACUUUCAACAUCAUGGUUAAUGUGUUAUGCAAAGAAGGAAAGUUGAAGAAGGCAAAGGAGUUUAUUCCGUACAUGGAGGCUCUUGGGGUAAAGCCUAAUGUUGUCACAUAUAAUACUGUUAUACAUGGACACUGUUUGAGAGGGAAGUUCCAAAUGGCCCGUGUGAUCUUUCAAACAAUGAAAGAUAAAGGUCUUGAGCCUGAUUGCUAUACGUAUAAUUCUUUCAUAUCUGGGUUGUGUAAAGAAGGAAGACUCGAGGAGGCAUCUGGUUUACUUUGUAAAAUGUUACAAUUUGGUUUGGUUCCAAAUGCNGUAACAUAUAAUGCGUUGAUUGAUGGUUAUUGUAACAAAGGGGAUCUGGAUAAGGCUUUCACAUAUAGGGAUGAGAUGAUAAGUAAAGGUGUAACGACAACUUUGUUUACAUACAAUUUGUUUAUCCAUGCACUAUUUAUGGAAGGAAGGAUGGGGGAAGCUGAUAAUAUGAUAAAAGAAAUGCGAGAAAAAGGCAUGAAGCCUGAUGCUGUUACAUAUAACAUAUUGAUUAAUGGGUAUUGUAGAUGCGGGGAUGCAAAGAGAGCCUUCAGUCUUCUUGAUGAAAUGGUGGGAAAAGGGAUUCGGCCAACUUUGGUCACGUAUACAUCACUUAUAUCUGUUCUGGGAAAAAGGAAUAGAAUGAAAGAAGCAGAUGCCUUGUUUAAUAAGGUUCAACAAGAAGGUCUGUUGGUAGAUACUGUAAUGUUUAACGCGUUGAUCGAUGGUCGCUGUGCAAAUGGUAAUAUUGAUAGUGCAUUUCAACUCUUGAAACAGAUGGAUAACAUGAAGGUUCAUCCUGAUGAAAUUACUUAUAACACCUUGAUGCAAGGAUAUUGCAGAGAGGGGAAAGUGGAAGAAGCUAGGAAACUUCUUGAUGAGAUGAAGAGAAGGGGGAUCAAACCUGAUCACAUUAGUUACAACACACUCAUUAGUGGUUACAGCAAAAGAGGUGAUAUGAAGGAUGCUUUUAGAGUUCGGGAUGAAAUGAUGACUACAGGAUUUGAUCCUACAAUUCUCACUUACAAUGCUCUUAUNCAAGGAUUGUGCAAAAAUCGGGAAGGUGAGCAUGCUGAAGAGCUCCUCAAAGAAAUGGUAAGUAAAGGCAUUACUCCUGACGACAGCACCUACCUAUCUAUAAUUGAGGCGAUGGAGAAAGUUGAUGACCUGGAGGAAAAUGUUGAUAAAUGAACUGAGAAGAAAAUAGUAUUUCAUGAGUUUGUGUGAACUUCUAGCAUUGGAGUUUGGACACAAGCAUAUCAGCAUUCCUUGUUCUACAAGCUGAAUCAAAUAUGUAUGAGUAACAAGUUAAAGAAGUUCUUGAAAAACUGUAGUUUUCCUCAGUCUACAUCUUUUGUAGGGAGAGUAUUACUUUUUACUUCAUUAGUUAUAUUAGUUUUGUACCAUAUGGUUUACAAAAUGUUUAUUGAUGAUUUUGUUUGAAAAAUGAAAAUAAUAGCUAAUGAUUGAGUUUGUCGGUCUUUGGUACAAAGUUAUUGAUAGAUACCUAAAGAAUUCCAAGACAGGUUCUUCGAUGAUCUUCCUAUGAAAAACCAAACAACUGGUCUGUAUCUAGUGACGGGUACACACAAAUCCCAAGUCUUUCAAGAGAACUUGUCUCUCCCUUCCUUUUACUUACAAUUUUCUCCAAAACUCUACUGAAAACUACCCCUAUACAGAUAUAUAAUUGUCUGUUUACAACAACCCACCUCACAUAAAGUUAUAACAAUUACCCUUAUUCCUUCUAACAUAUACUUUUACCCCUCCACGAAGAUUCACCUUAUCCUCAACGUGAAAGUCUAAAAAUUCUUUAUGAAUACAGGCAGCAGAUUCUUCUAACUCCUGAAUUUCCUUUUCUGAAAUAAGCAACAUAUAGGGCUGUUUAUUUUUGCAAGUAUGAUUAGGCUCAAACUUCUCAUCACACCUUAAGAAUAAAUCCUUUUUUAUCUUACCUUGCAAUUCUUUUAGGGACAAUUUUCUAAACGGUGCCCCUUUUUUUUCAUUUAUUUCACUUUGUAGAUAGAAAAAUAAAAAACCACGGGUAACCUUGUGUGGCGUCUAGACACUAGAGUUGAAAGAUAUAUUAUUCAUGAAUUAGACACGAAAUUUCUCUGGUGUGGUUAUAUUCAAUGGUGAGAAAAUCAUUGAAGUGAAACUGUUGCUUUUGGGUCACAUUUCUUAACACUUUAAAGCAAAGUUUAUAUUUCCCAAAUUAUAAACGAUUUAAUGGAUGUAUUUACUAUCCUUCUGAUCAUGACUAAGUUACUAAUUUAUAUAGGACAACUGUGCAAUACUCACUUUAUCAACUGCAAAUUAUCAGUUAAGUGUUAGAUAUUUUGUGCACACCCAAGCCCUACCAACCUUUCUUAAAUGUUAGCCAUUGAUACUACCAUUCAACUACAUGGCCCAAAUAAAUGGAUAAAAUUUAAUUGCCAAUUACCAUUAAUUGAUUGCUAAUGGGUGACCAAACAUAAUUAAUAACAGAAUAUAUUAUUUUUAUCAUGCAAUUAUAUUUUCUAUUUUAGUUUGAUAACAUCUGUGUUGCCUCUGUUCCUGGUCUGGUCUGGUCUUUUACUCCUAGUGAAUAUUUUCGAAGAGGUAACUGUAAAAAAGUGAAGUAUUGGUUGACGUAUAUCUAGUUUAGGAAUGAUCAGCUACUCAAUUGGCUGAAGUGAAUAUGUUGUUACUUCUUAACCACUUUUUAAAAGUCAUAAACUGGUUCAUUGUUUAAUCCCCUGUCCUGCCAAAGUUCAAAGUUCAACUAACAGAAAAGGUGGAAACUCAAGCUGCAUUUCUGACAUCUGUAGCCUCUGAUCCUGGCUACAAUAUUUCCCUGAAUUUCCUUUUAAUGGAAUGCUGGAAUUGGCAUGUUAAAGGAUUGAUCUAAUAGAAGGUUAUAAUGACUUCAAAUAAAGAUUGCAGUGUCAUUUAUGACUCUGCAAUGUGGGAGUUAUUUUGGUCAAAAGGAAACGGAUUCUUGUCUCUCUAAGCAUAGUAGUGAAUGAUUCCAACUAAUAAGGAUUAAAGAAUUUGAGAAAGUGACUUGGUGAUAUUGAUGAGGCAGUUGAUGUUUAUGAUGAAGUUAGUGUUAGCCUUAAAUUGUGGUUUUAACUGGUUCCCCGAUUGUGGUCUAAUUUGUUACUGGAAACAGUGGUGUGAUGUUUGAUAAUUAUGCGUAAAGUUGUUGGAUGAAUGUAUUAAACAAUUAGAUGCUCAUUUAUAGCUCUCACAAUUUGGUGCAUUGUGAUGAUAAACUGAUAAUUUGUUUCAAUCAUCACUUUCAGAUGAAUGUUAGUAGUUGAAAGCACAUUCUAUGUCUGUGUCCUAAGUUGUGUAUUAAGUGUUUUCAUAUUCAAUUUGGUUUAUGGUCUAUAUUAUGCAGAUCAAACUUCCAGUUUAUCUGGCCAUGGGAAGAGUGGGCUUAUGUCCUAGACCUCCCAAAGUGGGCUCCACAACGUGUCUUUGUCCAAGAGGUUUUGGAGAGGGAAGUUCGCUUGUCAUACUGGGACAAAGUUAAGCAGGUAAUUUAUCAAAGCUAGAACCACAGUAAAUUUUACAUUUGUUGCACAUUGCCUUAUGAUGAGACAAUUAGACUGCAUUUCCACUCAUGAUCUUUUCAUGGUUAUGGAUCAUAUAGGUAAAUCAUAAAAGGGUUAGAUAUUUUGUUUCUGUUUUUGUUAUGUAGAGGAAUGGAUGCUUUGUUAAAUAGAAGGAUUUUUUAUUUUUCAGUUUCCUUGUGAGGUAACUCACUCCAGGAUCAUGUCAGGGGAAUUGUGGUGGAAUCUUCUUAGAUAACUUGUAAAAAACUCACUGCAGCGGUAAGCCAACCUGAGUCUCUCCUUCUCUGUGACAUUUUGGGUGUCAAAAAACUUCUUUGCCUGGGAGAUCCAUCCCAAUAGGUCCAUCCCCUCAAACCUCGCCAAUUCUACCUGCUGCCUCCAAUUCUGUUCACCCUUGUCUUCCUCCAUCUCCUCUUCAUCUGAACCUUUUUUUUGCCCUUUCAUGACAGAUUCCUUACUUCUUCCUAAGCCCUUUAUGUGAAUCUUGAUUUCUUGUAGCAUUUCUCUAAUUUCUUGCAUAUUUCUUCUGUAUUCUGCCAUGUUCAUUUUCGAUUCUACCAUGCUCAUUUUCAAUUUUGCCAUGCUCAUUUUUUGUCUGCUGGUCCUCUUCUCCAAGGUAUUAUCUCUUCCUUCGAUGCCUCCACCCUGUCUUGAUCACUUCGUGAUCACUUCUUGAUCUGACAGCCCUCUCCUAAGGAGAUUCGACAGUCCUCUCUUGAUGAUCCAGUAGCUUCUUGAUCCUUCACCCCCACUUUAAUCCGGUAAGUCGGACCAAUUUGUUAGGUUCCUAGGUUUGGAACCUAACAAGAACACUAACAGUAGGUAGAAACAGUAAUGGGAGAAUGAGAUUUUCUAUUAUUCACAAUAAAAGAACUCUCUUCACGAAGAAUGGGUUGGGAGCAUAACCUCCCUGACUGAGAGCAUAACCUCUCUCUCUACAGGCUAAUGGCCUAACUUUACAAUGAAUUUACUCAAUAAUCCCCUGUACUGAAACCCUGCCUAUUUAUAAAGUUUCUCUUCUCCUUCCCACUAACUAACUAACUGUCAAAUAACCUAUCACCCUAUAUCCUAUCAAUACAUAACUAGUCUUUGGUCUAGUAAGAGUGGCAUACUAAAGAGUACUUAAGUGAUACAGGUUGAAAAUGCAAGCCAUUAAAUAUUGUAUCCUUAAGAUACCUCAGUAUACAUAACUAGUCUUUGGUCUAGUAAGAGUGGCAUACUAAAGAGUACCCAUAACUUAACGAUAUUGUUAAGAAGGGUAGUGUAUUUUAAACCUAAUUUAACCUCACAAAAUCAACUUAUAAGAUAAGAUUUGUAUCCACUUAUAUACAGUAAAUUGAUCUUAUCUCUAGUUGAUGUGAGACUUUCAACACACUCUCUCACAUUGAGGUAUAUACAUAUCAUAUGUGAAACUAGACAUUAAUAGGUUGUUAAAUAGUGGCGAUAGUUGGUGAAACAAUAGACCCAACAAAUAUCAAAUUUUGUCAGGAUAGACUCUAACCUACGACUAUGAUACCAUGUUAAGAAGUGAACUUUAAGCCUAAUUCAACUCCACAAAAUCAGCUUGUAAGAUGAGGUUUGCACCUACUUAUAUAAUAAAAAUUGACCUUAUCUUCCAGUCAAUAUGAGAUUUCCAAUAGAUACAAAGUAGGAUCAGAGAACAAAUCAGCUCCAUAUGUUUGGAUAACUUGCAGCUUGUUACCAUAGGGGAAGAAAUAGUAUGAGCAUUUGUGAUGAGUGACUUACAAAGCAAAUCUUGGAUGUACUUGGUUUGAGUCAUUAGAAUAGAUUUGUCAAGUAAGUAUUUAACUUCAGGACUGAGAAAAUAAUCAAGAUAUCCCAAUUGUUUUAAAGAGACAUUAUGUUUGGAUGUAAUGUCUAGAAUCAGUUCAGCAGAACACCAAUUAUUAUAAUAUCGUCCACAUAAACCAGAAAAUAAAUAAUUUGCAAAUGUUUUCUGUAAACAGAGAUGAAUUACAAAUGUUAUUGACGAAUCCAAUUUUUUGAAGAGUAGUUUACAACCUGUGAAACAAUUGACAACUUGCUUGUUUUAGCCCAUAGGAGGCUUUAUUCAACUUGCGAACAAGAAUUUGUCACUUGCAUUAUAGCCAGGCGGUUGAGUCAUAAAUUGUUCAUUCAAGAAAGCCAUUUAAAAUGCCAUUGUUAACAUCUGACUGAAAUAAUUUCCUUUUCCAACCAUAGGAUAUAACCAGAGUGACAAUAAUUUGAAUUGUUAUAGGUUUCAGCACCAGAGAAAAAGUCUCAUGAAAAUCAAACCUAUGUAUUUUGAUGAAAUCCUUUUGCCACUAGUCAUGCUUUAUAUUUAUUAACUGAGCUAUCGUCAUUUUGUUUGACAUGUAAGACACAUUUACACCCAACAUAUUGUCUAUCAAAGGUAAUGGAACUAAAUCUCUAGUAUUUUUUCUUCAUGAGAGCGUCAUAUUCUUGCUGCAUUGCAGCUAACCAAUUAGCAUCUUUAAUAGCUUGCUUAACAUUUGUAGGUUUUGAAUUAGAAAGAAGUGUGACGGAUGCACUCUGUGAGUAACAAUUUCAGAUUUGGAUCUUGUCUUCAUCGAAAGAGUAUUGACAGGAGUUACAACAUAAUGUAUUGACACCAUAUUAAUCAUCAGUAGGUGCAGUAAUAGACACAGACUCAGAACAAGAGGACUCUUUUGAGGAAUUGAUAGACUUACCAGUAGAGGAAGUGGUAGUGGACAAUCGGUGUGGUGUAAGAGUAGCAUUUAAAGUAAAAUACCGAUUGAGAUCUUUAGCAAUGUUAGGACUACGAGGAAAAAGCCAAGAAUAAGGAAAUUCUUGUCCAUUAAAUUGAACAUCCUUAGAAAUGUAAAUUUUUUCAGUAAGAGGACAGACACUUAUAGCCUUUAUGUGUUUAAGAAUAAUCCAAGAAAAUACAUUCCUCUUAUCUAAAAUCAAUCUUACGAGAGUGAUAAGGUUUUAAAAGAGGAAAACAUGUACAUCCAAAUAUUUUUAGAAAAGCAAAAUCAGGAUCUUUAUUAAAAAGAACAUAGUAAGGAACAACAGAAUUCAGAGAACCUGUAGGAAGUUUGUUAAUGAGAUAAACAGUUGUAGUGAAGGCAUAAUCCUAAAAUUUUGGUGGAAGAGAAGAUUUAUGCAGCAGAUGUUUCAAUAAAGAAAUAUUACUCUUCUUUCUCUUUUCAAUUCUGGGUUCCUAACAGAGAUGCUGAUAAUUGCCUUCUCUCAACCUGCUUUCUCUACACCCAUGCUUUGGUCUGCCAGGGCAGUGGAGCUUACAACUGAGGGGAAGUAGAUAGGUCAAAGAGCUGGCAGCAGAGGAGAGAAGCUUCUGUUCUCUCAUAGCUUGUUUCCCUAUCCUAAUCUCUCAUCUCUGUUUUUUGGCUUUGUAUUUAUAUUUUAUCCGAAAGAAACAACUUUAAUUGACUAAAACAGAUUAUUUUUUUUAAUCAACCUUUAUUUAGUGAAAAACUUGUGUUAUGUGGCUAUUUAUCACUCCUACAUUUUAUUGAAUGACAUGCUUAAGAAUUCAGUUCUAACUUAAUUUAUUAAGUGAUUGAGAGUUUAUUUUCAUUAUCUGUUAUGAUUUUGCAUUUUUUUGUAGGAUCUUAUGCUUCGUGUUGUGAAACUAUGGUUUAUGAUAUUUUAUUCCCGUCCUACUAAUCUUGUCUAAAGUUUUGAUAUUGACUACAUUGGAUGCUUUUCUAUUAGCAGCAGAAUUAAUUGAAAGGUAUUUUUUUUAUAUAGUUGGCAUAUUGAUGUUUUUAUGGUAUAUUUUCAUGAUAUUUUGUAGAGUAUUGAAAAUGCACCUCGUUUGGGAGAAUUGCUUCCUCCUAAAAGCGGGCCAAAUUUUAGUUUUGGUUCAGAAGAUGGUAAAGAAAGCAAUGAGCAUGGACUGUCUGGAAAGCUCAACAGUAUGGUUAAAGGGAAGUCACCUGUACGUGAAAUAAUCUCUUGGAUUGAUGAAAGUGUGCUUCCAAAUAAUGGUCUAGAAGUUACCCUCAGAGUGAUUGUACAAACACUUCUCAAUAUUGGAUCCAAGAGUUUCACUCAUUUGAUAACUGUCUUGGAGAGAUAUGCACAAGUCUUUGUGAAAGUAUGUCCGGACGAGGAUUGACAAGUCAUGCUGAUAGCUGAAGUGAGUUCUUUCUGGAAGAGUAACACCCAAAUGACAGCAAUAGCUAUUGACAGGAUGAUGGGUUAUCGACUUGUAUCAAAUCUGGCUAUUGUGAGAUGGGUCUUCUCAGCAGAAAAUAUUGAGCAAUUUCAUACAUCGGAUCGGCCAUGGGAGGUACAUAAUUGAGGUUUUUACGGAUAGAUUGUUGUUAACUCUUUCCUCCUCGGCUAUAGGUCUAAGGGGUCAGAAACCAUCUGCCUUUUGCUUUUUAUUGUAUUUGAUGCGAUCUGCUUUUUAAUUUUUAAAUUUAAGUGCUCAAAAUUUACAUCCUUUUUGUUUUUUGUUUGAUUGCCAUGGAUUAUGAAUUUUAGCAUGUAUGGAAUUUUCAGUUGAUCAUCAUGAUAAUUACUUUUGCUUUCAUAUAGUAAUUUGACCCUGAUUUCUAUUGAACAGAUUCUGAGAAAUGCAGUAAGCAAGACACAUAAUCGUAUUUCUGAUUUACGGAAAGAAAUAUUAACUAUUAAAAAGAACAUUUCAUCUGCCGAAGAAGCUGCCAAGGAGGCAAAAGCUGAGNUAGAUGCUGCAGAGUCAAAACUUACACUUGUGGAUGGUGAACCAGUUCUUGGUGACAAUCCUGUUAGAUUGAAUAGAUUGAAAUCACAUGCUGAAAAGACAACGGAGGACGUGGUGACUGUUAAAGAAUCCUUAGAAUCUAAGGAAGCUCUUCUUGUCCGAGCAAUUGAGGAAAAUGAGGUAAUUGAUGGAAAAUUUGUGAAGUUAAUUGUUUGCAUAAAGUUUUGUAUCAAACAUGUUUACAAUGUCUGGGAAUGGUUACAUUUUUGUUACAGCCAGAGAUAACUUUUCCAUGUAUUUGAAAAAAAAUAGAUUUGCCAAUAGUGAGUUUCUAAGAAAAUUUUCAUUGCAUUGUUGGUUAUUGGCAUAUACAGGCAUUAUUUCUCUUGUUGUACAAAAGCUUCUCAAAUGUGUUGACAGAGCGGCUUCCUGAAGGAACUAGAACACUGCAUGAGUUGAAGUCUGUGCAAGUAGAUGUGAUGGCAGUGGACGCUGAAGAGCCACCAACAAUGGAAUUAGAUGACGAAAACCAGAGAUCUCAAAACAGGUUCUCGUGCCUGUCCUUCUGAGCUAGAUUAAUAAUUAAGAAAAGUUAAUGUUUCUCUGGCUUUGUACGCAUGUGCAUAUUACUAUUGCUUUUUAAUGUCUUCUACAGUCAGUCAAAUGGAGAGAAGAAAGGUGGUGCUUAUGUUGUAGGUGAAAAGGAGCAGUGGUGUAUCACCACUUUGGGCUAUGUGAAGGCUUUUUCUAGGCAGUAUGCUGCUGAGGUAUUGUUCCAUUCCCUGUUUGCAUUUAUCUUGGCUUUUAAGGGAAUGCCUUGUAAACAAAACUUAGCAUAUACAAAAUCUUUUACCUGUUCCUCCAGGGUUAGAUUGCUCUAUAUUUGUUUACCUCUAAAAACUUGUAUUAAAUUGUUGGUUGCAGAUAUGGCCCCAUGUUGAAAAGUUGGAUGCAGAGGUAUUGACAGAAGAAACACCUUAUCUUUUUAGGUCAGCUGUUUAUACUGGUCUUCGAAGACCAAUUCACGAGGCAUGAUCAAUUUGUUACUUCACCUCUGAGCUAUGUUAUUUAGAAUAUAAUGUAAUUCCAUUCUUUAGUCUGCUAGUUAAGCAUUUUCUUAGUCUGCUAAAAGCCUAAAACUGUAUGCAAUUGUAAUUUAAAAAUGACAAGGUUGGUAUGACGAGUCUCUACAUCUUAGAUUCUAACAGGGACUUUAUCACCGCUGCUGUACAUUAGAUUUCGAUUAUAGCUUUUAAUUGGACCUCAAAUACCCAAAAAAAAAAUGGAGUUUGCACCAUACUUGUGUUGUACUUGGUAGUAAAAUGAAAAUUGAAUUGUGAUUAUUUGCAUUAAAAUGUGCUUUUUUAAUAGGCCUAUGAUGCCUCGUUUGGAGGAGAAGUAAAAUCUUAUAUACCCUCAGGAAAAAAAAGAAGCUUAAAGAGAAUAAGUAGAUUCAAAAUACUAGACUUGAUGUUAGCCAAAAGUAAUUUGAUUAAAUUAUAUACAUUAUUUGACUGCUUCAUAAGUUGAGUUUGAUAUAAAUGUAUAAUUUGACAAAACAUCAAUUUUUUCAGAUUGGUGAUUAGAAACACCGCAUUGAGUAGUGAUAUGAUGAAAAUAGUGUAUGUAAUUUAAGGAUGAGUUCGUUUUCUAAAGUUGAGUUUGGUUUAAACCACCUAGAGUCCGCACCUUCACUUGUACAAAUGCAAGAUGGCUCAGUUAUAAAAAGAUUUUAGAUGAUUUUUCUCUAAAUACAGAAGCUUACUUACAGGAACCAGAUUUAAAGAAGAAAUUUGUAUCUACCAUCUAUUCAUGUGAAUUGAAAUAUUAUGUGGUAUGAACACUGGGUCAACACCAAAAGUAGAUGAUGCACUGGGUCACAGAAUUAUUCGUAGCCCGUAGAAAAUUUUGUUCCAUGUAUUUGACGUACUUAAGAAGGUCUUUGGAAUUAACAAGUUUUACAAUGUAAUUAUUUUAUAAAAAAAAUGUAUUUUGACAUCCACUUUUUCUCUGACCAUCAUUUGACUGCUUUUUAUUUAUAAAGUAUUAUAUUUAAUAAAUAUAAAUAAAUAAUAAUAUUUAAGAGUGUUAUAAUAAAAACACAGGGAUCCUUAUUUUAUUCCCAAAUUUAAGAUGGUUACAAAAAUUAUAUCUUCCCGUGAAACUGAACCCAUACUCUUAUAUGUCUUUAACUUUUAAUUUGACAUCUCCGUACCAUGCCCCAUGGACCCUAAUUUCCAAACGGCACUCCAUCUCUUCCGGUCCAAUAAAAAAUAUAAGAAUUAAUUCUUCUGAUAGAUUUCAUUUUGGUGAAAGUGUGUAAGUUGGUUCUUCAUUUUAAAAAAGUUUUAAUUAUGUCUUAAUUUUUUUUUUUAAAAAUAAUUAACAGACAUAAUUUAUUCUGAAUUUUUAUCAAAAUAAAACAACAUUAUCUAUUUUUAAAUUUAAAUAAAUUAUUAUUUAUAUAAAUAUUAUAUUAACAUUUUUAUUAAAAAUAAUUUUUAGCAUAUUAUAUUAUAUUGUCAAUGUCACGUAUCAUACCGUGAAUUUAACACGUGACAAUUUUUUAUUAAAAAAUUAAAAAUAUUAAGAAAUUAAAAAACUGAAAAAUAACAAUUAAUAAGAGUUAAAUUGAAAUUUGGCAUGUAAUACUAUGAUCAGUGUCACGUGUUCCAAUAGGAUUUGACAUGUGACAAUAAAAGCCUUAUAAAAAAAAUCACAUAUUGAUUCAUGAUAUGUUAACGUUAUUAGUAAUUUAUUUUAAAAAUAACAUAAUUUAGACAUUUUUUUAAAAGUUAAUAUGCAAUGGAAAUUUGUUUUAAAAAUGGGACCAAAUAAUUAAGUCUAAAUAUAAAUAUAUUGAAUAGCAUGAUUCAUUCUUUAAAUUAUUUUAUUUUUUUAAUAUUUGGUUUAGAUGAAAAGACAUUCAUGACAUGUUAACAAAUUUCAUUAAUUCAAAAAUAUUAACAUUAACAUUGCUUAUUGGAGUUUCUUGUGUCAAAAUUUCAAUCAAUGUUAUUAAAGUGUCCCGAACUCACAUGGAUAAAAAAAAAUUAGUAAUUGUUGGUAAUUUUUUUUUCAAUUAAUAACAAAAAAUGUCUUAAGAAAUUAUUGAUGAAGAAUAAUUUGUGUAAUUGAUAUAAAAUUAAUCGACAAAUAAUAAUAAUAAUAAUAAUAAUAAUAAUAAUAAUAAUAAUAAUAAUAAUAAUAAUAAUAAUAGGUAUUAGUAAAAAAAAUCUAGUUUAUACUUUUAAGAUAGUUUCCUUGAAGUGAGAGAAAAUCCUAAUUAAGGUUGAGUAAGAAAUUUCAAUGGUAUAUAUAAAAAACAUAAAUCAAGAAAUAAUUUUAAUAAUAUCAAUGAUGGAGGAUCAUCUUGAGGACAUAUUGGACCACUCACAUAAGCUAUGACAAAGAGGAUGGAAGAGGGAGAUGAAGCUCCAAGGAGUCUACUUUUGUGGAGAUCAUUUAUUGGCCUCUUAUUUUCUCUUAAACACUUUUGUAAAUAUGUAAUAUAGCUUCAUUUUAUAUCUUGUAUUUGGCCAAGAACCUUGUUUAGUAGUGAUUAGGACCUUGGCGCAAUCAAAAGUGGAUUAAUGCCUCAUUUAAGGUCUUAAGCCUUAAUCAACGCCUAAAUGGGCUUCAAUAGGCCUUGAAGAAGCUUUGGACUUGGAAGAAAGAAGCCUUGGCCGGUCACAUCAAGGGUAGGCUCCUAUGCAUUGUAUUUGGACGAAAGUUAGGAGUUACUUGGAAGGGAAGGCUCUCACUCAUCCCCCUUACCAAAGAAGUUUCUAGGCUCUUUCUUAAGUGCAUCCACUUUAGCUCUCUCCUUCAACUAUAAAAGGAAAAGCACUCCUCCUGUAAUCCUUAUAACUUGAAUGAUAUUAGAGAAACUUUACCAAAAUUGCAAGCCUCUCUUCCUAAGUUCUCAUUGCAAUAGUCUCUUUUAAAGGCUUCUUUUUCCUUUUCCUUCAUGUUGAGACAAGACAAUCUCGUCUACAAUAUCUUUGCUUUUGAAGUUUAAACAAACAACAUUAAAUGAAGUAGUCUUGGAUAUAGUCUUAGAUUGUAAAAUAGUCUAAAUACUAAACAUUAUAAAGGAAUACUAAGUAUAAAUAAAAGGUGUCCACACAACAAGUCUAACACAAUAAAUAGGAAAUACAAAUGACUAGGAAUUAAAGGUCCAGUAAGAAGCAUCUAUAAACGAAUUUCGUAGGGAAUACAAACAUUAGAUGAGCCUCACCAAAAAAUGGUCAAACUAAUUCCAAGCAUAGUUGGAAAUCAAAAGAAUUGAAAAAGAUAUAAGAAUUCUAUGCAACACUAAACGACUUCCAAAGUUAAAAAUCUAAUGACCUAGGAAACUCAUAUAAAAACACUUAGGCUCAGCCUAGACACAACAUUAAACGAUUCUAAAAAGGUUAAAGCAUCUAUCAGAGAAGUCCUGCUAAACGCAGAAACCUUAUUGUACCAAACGAUAAUUAAUCAAAACUCUCAAAUAGACAAAAGUGUCAAGACAACGUUUUUGGUAAGCUAUUUGAAAGUCAUAAUCAAUAGUCCAAAAACUUGUAAAGGACAACUCGUUAAAUGCUUCUUCUAAAGAAAGCAGAAUCCUAAAAGUGUUUACAAUAGAUUAGUCGAUAAUAUCCUCUUAGUAUGUCGUAGCUUGACAAAAAGUGUCCAACGAUGAAGGCAUGACUAGAAAGUCUUACAAUGUAAUAGAAAGCAUCGUGCCAAACGUAUCGGCUAGAGAAACCUACAUGGUUUAACUAAGCUGGACGAACUCCCACGAUAAAAUGAUGAGUUUGGAAAACACAUCAAAAGAACAAAACUUGUUCCAAAACACAUAAUAAAAGACAUUCAACUAAACACAAUCUUAAAAAUAAUGAGUACCUACCAAACAAAAACUAACUAAAGAAAAAGUCUCUUAUAGGAUAAACGAUACGACAUGCCAAACACACUUUCAUUCAAUGAUAAAACUCUCGUGAAACAUCUAGUAUUCUCAUUAGAUAACUCAAACAGUAAAAUCUUAACCAAAACAUAAAAUCCUUGACUAUUCUAGACAAGCAUUAAAUGGUAUUAAAUGCUCAAUGCUUAAAAGCAAGAAGAUAGAUAAGAAAAAAGAUAUAUAUAUACUAUGAAAACAUCUAUUCUACGCUAUGCAGGUUAUCUACUACAAGCAUUCGCCUACAGGUCAGAAAUGAACGUUAGAAAGAAGAAAAAGAUAUAAGUGGAAUGUUUCGUUCAUCAAAAGUCAUGCCACAUGAACAAUCUAAUAUGCUUUUGAUAAAGUUAUGAAAAACAAGUUUCCUCUGACAACAAGACAUCAAUCUAUGACUGUCAUCUAUGCUACGAAGAGUCAAAGCACAAGGACAAGAUUCAUCCAAUAGUCAUAUUAUCAACAAGUUUCAAGACAAGCAUCACCUAAAGACUGUAUCAUCAAAGGUGUAUGAAUAGAGGAUCGGAAAAGAAGAAAGACAGAUGAUGAAAAAAAUAGAGUGUAAAGAAAAAUUAGCAUCAAGGAAGAGCCAGGAAGUCUCUCUAAGCUACUAAAGUCAAACCAUUCUACUCAAGAGAAAAGAGAAUAAAAGAAGAUUUGGGCAUAAUAGUACAUGAUGAAUCGAUAUUUUCUCCUAUUCAAUUAGCUUUUUGUACCAUAUUUAAUUAAGGAAAUGUGCUUAAAUGUCCAAUAUUUCCUCAAUUUUGCUAUUUGUGCUUAAUUUGACCAAUAAUUCUUUUUUUAAUUAAUGCGAGUUAUCUGGGGUUAAUUAUUUCUGUUAUUAUUUUUAGGAACAAUUUUAGGAUAAUAUUUUGGGACUCCGAGUGGCCUGUCACGUCAUUUUCGUUCAUCCACAUCAGCUUUAAAUUUCAUUUUCGUUUUUUAUUUGGUUCUUAGUGUAUGUUGGACCAGACUUACACAUUUGGGCCUAUUUUGGUCAAUUUACAAAAGGCCCGCUAAGGGGGACUGACCUAGGUUUUUGUGUCCAACAGCCACCACCCUUAGGUCUCUCUCCUUCAUUCUCUUAUUUUUCGUUUUUUAGGUUCUAGGCAGAGCUCUUAUGAGGUUUCAUUUUCGUUUAAUGUAUUGAACUCAUUUUUAUUGCAAUUCAAGAGUUGAUUUCACUUUUGCCCUUGGGUUUCUCCAUUUUCGUUUUUCUUUCCUUGCUUGUUGUUGCAUUUUCGUUUUGGGUUCGUCUUGUACUUUCGUUUUACAUUGUAGUUUCAAAUUCCAUUUGCAAUUUGGUUUCCAGUUUCAAUAUUUGUUUUCCCCAUUUUGUUUCUGAAUUGAUUUCUGUUUUCUGGUUCCAUUUAGUUUUCCAACUGCUACACUGAAUUCAUUUUGUUCUCUGCGUUUUAAUUGUGCAUCUGCGUUUUCAUUACCUCUGUUGAUGUUUAUAAUACUUUUUUUUUGUUGAAUUUGGUUGUAUUAGAAGCUUAAUUUUUUGGGUUGGUUAUUAGUGAGGUUGCUAGGUUUUCUUGAGGUUAUUAGAGCUUUAUUAUGAUUCUCUUAUUGCCAAUCUGCAUUGUGUUUAAUCUAUUGUGUAUAUUGCUUAUGUUAGAGCGGUGUAGCUGAAUGGUUAACGCGUUCAACAAACCAAGAGGGGGUGAAUUGGUUUCUUAUCGCAAAUCAUUCUUUUAAUAAUUUUCUCACAUAAAAAUAAAUUCCUUAAAAUAAUUUAAACAAAUUAAAAGAGUAAGGAAGAGAGAAAAUUACACAGAUAAUUUUUAUACUGGUUCGGAUCACAGACAUCCUACAUCCAGUUGUCAAUCUCAACCGAGAAUUAACACUUCACUAGCACAAACCAACAAAAUGUUACAAUCACAAAGAAAAUAAAAUAGUUUAAGGUUAGAAGACAUCUCUUGUUACCCCAAGAGAUGAAACUCACUUCCCCUGUGACCUACAAGGGAUGAACACCUCCUCUGAAUCUUCACAAAGGAUGAACACCUCCUCUGAAUGCUUCACAAAGGAUGACAGGCUUUCAACUCAGCAACAACACUCAAUCACACUCCCUGUGAAAGUUCUCGCUCUAUGCCAACACGCCAAGUUCUCAAAGCCACAACACAAGGGUUCAGCAAACCCCAAAGCACUUAUCACCUCACAUUACAGAUAAAAAUUUAGAAAAAUACACUUUGUAUAUUUCGUAGUAUGUUAGAAUGAGUCCCAAUAUAAUUUAUAGAGAUCUCACUCAAGGAUACCUCCAAAAAUCCAUUGUCAACUAAUUAAUUGUGAUAAUCAAUUAUCCACUUAUGGUAAUUGAUUAUGCAUUUAAUGAACGGUAAAAAAAUUGCUUAAAAUUUCUCAUAAUUGCUCGUAAUAAUCAAUUAUGACAAGUCAUAAUUAAUUACUGAUAAUAGAUUAUUAUAAUUUGAUAAUCAAUUAUCUUGAGUAUAAAAUGAGGUUUUCUAAUUUAGAAAUUAAUUUUAACGCAACCUGUGGCAAGCAAUACAUAGAAUCAAAGAUAAACCACACCCUAUACACCAGUUUACUAAAUUAAAAAAGCUUUAAUAUAAAAACAAGUCUUCAUGAAGAUCUUCCUGCAAUAAGAGCACUUGAGACUUGACUUUGAGACAUCAUCAAAAUUUCUUCUCUUUAGCUUUAUGCUAACAAUCUCCCACUUUUUGAUGAUGAUAAAAAAUAUUUUGAUUUAAAGCUUUUUGUAGCUUGUAAUUAUAUGUAACUCAUAUAUAACUAAAAGAAGAGAGAUUAGUAGACAAGAGAUAAAUAUAAUUGAGCCUUUAAACAUAUUUCUCUCCCUUUUUUAUCAUUAUUAAAAAGUUGCUAUGUAUGAUUAAAUAAUUUCUCCCCCAUAAUAUAAAACUCCCUGUGAAAAUAAGCCAAAAAAAAAAAUAAGGCAAAACAAAUAACUAAUAGUUAUCAUAAUUUUUAUUAAAGGGAAACAUGAGGCAUAAUUCAAAACAUAGUAAAUACAAUAAAUUUAUAAGUUAUAAUAAAUAAAAAAAAUAUAAAGGAGUACUUCUCCUUAUUGAGUAACUUAAAAAAAUUUAAAUUCCCCAUAAAUUUGAUCCAAUAAGGAAGAAAGAGAAGUAGUUUUUAAAAAUUAUCAUUUUUUUAUAAUUAUAAUUAUAUUUAGGAACAUUUUCAAUUUUAUUAUCAUAAUUAUAAUCGUAGCAAUUAUAAUUAUUUUUAGGAACAUCAUUAACAACCUUUUUCAUUUUUAAAUUAUUACUACAUUCAGCGUUGGUUGUCUUAUCAAGAGGCAUCUUUUUCUUUAAACAAGAAACACUUUUUUCAAUUUUGGUAUAUUUACCUUUUUCAUAAUAUAAAAUUUUAUUUUUCAAAUCCUUAUUUUCUUCAAGAAUUCUUUCAUGAUAUGAUUUUAAUUCUUUAAAAUCCUUCUUUAAUUUUCUAUGAGCAUUAUUUAAUUUCUCUGAUUCACAUAAUAAUUUUUUAUACGUAUCAAGUAAUUCACUUUCACUAUAAUAUGAAUUUUUAGAAUUGCUAGAGAUACUUACUUGACUUUCCUUCUUCUUAUUUUUAAAUAUUCUUUUGCCCUUAGACUUCAUGAACUUGUUAAAUUUCUUAAUGAAAAGAUCCAUGUUUUCUUCAUCUUCUUUAGAGUCUUCUUCUUCAUUAAGAUGUAUGCUUUUAUUAAUCUCAGAUUUGAACGCCAAAGUCUUUUUCUUUCCUUUCUCUUCAUCCUCAUUCAAUCUCCCGAGAUUUAGUUCACGUUCUCUCAACUUACCAAACAAUGCAGCCAUUAACAUGGUGUUGAGAUUUUGUGACUCACUGAUGGCAGUCACCUUUGGUUGCCAAGACCUAUCCAAUGAUUUAAGAAUUUUUAUAUUUAAUUCAUCAUUUUCAAAGGACUUACCUAACCCAAUGAGAUGAUUCACAAUAUUCAUGAAGCGUUUCUGGACAUCUAUAAUUGUUUCCCCUUACUUCAUGCGGAACAUCUCAUACUCUUGGAUUAGAGUAUUUCUUCUAACUCUCCUAACAUCAUCAGUUCCUUCAUAGGUGACUCUCAGCGUCUCCCACAUCUCUUGAGAAAUCUUACAGGUUGAGAUCCUGUAAAAUUCAUCAACAGUUAAAGUAGAUGAUAUUAUGUUACGAGCCCUUACAUCCUGUUGGGAUCUUCUUCUAUCAUCAACAUUCCAUUGCUCUCGCGGUUUGAAUGCCUGCAAAUUGUUAAUAAACACAAUAGGAAGCAAAGGACCAUUUCUGACAGUUUCCUAAAUCUCACUAUCAAUAGAUUCCAUGAAAAUUUGCAUUCUCACUUUCCAAAAGGCAUAAUUUUCUCCAGUAAACAAUGGAGGUCUAUUGAUAGAGACACCCUCAGCAAAGGUUUGAUGUUGUCCCAUCAUUUUGAAUUACUAUCAAAGCAAUCUCUAAUGCCAAUUGUCAGAGCGGUGCAGCGGAAUGGUUAACGCGUUCAACAAACCAAGAGGGGGUGAAAUUGUUUCUUAUCGCAAAUCGUUCUUUUAAUAAUUUUCUCACGUAAAAUUAAAUUCCUUAAAAUAAUUUAAACAAAUUAAAAGAGUAAGGAAGAAAGAAAAUUACACAGGUAAUUUUCAUACUAGUUCGGAUCAUAGAGAUCCUACAUCCAGUUGUCAAUCUCAAUCGAGAAUUAACGCUUCACUAGCACAAACCAACAAACUAUUACAAUCACAAAGAAAAUAAAACAGUUUAAGGUUAGAACACCUCUCUUGUUACCCCAAGAGAAGAAACUCACUUCCCCUGUGACCCAUAAUGAAUGAACACCUCCUCUGAAUCUUCACAAAGGAUGAACACCUCCUCUGAAUGUUUCACGAAGGAUGAUAGACUUUCAACUCAGCAAUAUCAACAACACUCAAUCACAUUCCCUGUGAAAGAGCUCGCUCUAUGCCAACAACAACAACACUCAAUCACACUCCCUGUGAAAGUUCUCGCUCUAUGCCAACACGUCAAGUUCUCAAAGCCACAGCACAAGGGUUCAGCAAACCCCAGAACACUUAUCGCCACACACUUCAGAUAAGAAUUUAGAAAAUACACUUUGUAUAUUUCGUAGUAUGUUAGAAUGAGAAUCCCAAUAUAAUUUAUAGAGAUCUCACUCAAGGAUACCUCCAAAAAUUCGUUGUCAACUAAUUAAUUGUGAUAGUCAAUUAUCCACUUAUGGUAAUUGAUUAUGCAUUUAAUGAAUGCAUAAUGGUAAAAAACUUGCUUAAAAAUUCUCAUAAUUACUCAUAAUAAUCAAUUAUGGUAUGUCAUAAUUAAUUACUGAUAAUCGAUUAUUAUAAUUUGAUAAUCAAUUAUCUUGAGUAUAAAAUAAGGUUUUCUAAUUUAAAAAUUAAUUUUAACGCAACCUGAAGCAAGCAAUACAUAAAAUCAACGAUAAACCACAUCCUAUACACCAAUUUACUAAAUUAAAAAAUCUUUAAUAUAAAAACAAGUCUUCAUGAAAAUUUCUUCUCUUUGAGACAUCAUCAAAAUUUCUUCUCUUUAACUUUAUGCUAACAGCUUAUUUGUUCAGGCUUAAUGGUCUAAUCUGUGAUGCACAGAAGUGAUUAAAUCUGUUGUGUGUGUUUGCUUAAUUCGCAGUCAUGAAAACUCGUUUUAGUCUCUGCAUAGUUGAUUGAUUCGAGUUGGAAUGGGGUAUGAUUUAUUUGUGAUUAGUGAUUGGGAGCAUAACAAUAUGAUUUGUAACCAACCUGUUUUAAUCACGGUUUUAAUCCAAGUCAUUUAGUUAUUAAUUUCAAUUCGUAAAACUGUCCAAAAGCUCCCCACUACGUGUUCGACCUAAUUAUUAAACCAAACAUCAGUCCUUGAGAGACGACGUAAGAGUCACUUCCUAAUAUAUAUUGCACUUUAAUUGCAUAUUAAUUUGAUUCGAAUAUGAACUCGAUCAGUACAUUUUAGAGAGUUCAAAGGUUAUGAUAAUGAUGAUAAGAUUUGCCUCUUAAAUAUUUUUUUUUUCAACCUUAUGUAUUUUUUUCAUCAAAUUAAGAAACUAUAAAUGCAAGUGGAUAAUUACAAAUAAAAUAAGUUUCAAACAUUUAUAAAAUAAUAGAUACUAAUAAAAGAAGUUAAUCCUAAAAAAAAAAUUCCCGCAAUAUAAAUUUAAUAUCAAAAUUCAUCAAAAACCUCCACAAAUUAAUAAUUAUGAUCUUAAGUGUGGAGGUAUGAAAAACUCUCAAAAGUAAUUUCUAGAGGAUGAAAACCUUGACAAAUUAUAAAAUAAAUCUCUACUGAAUAAUCAUUUUUUGUUUUUUCAUUCUGCUUCUAAAAAAAAGCAUUUUUAUUCAUAUAUAAAAUUCUACUAUAGUUUGUUUGGAUAAUAUUUAGCAGAGUACCAAUUAAAAUAAAUUAAACCUUUUCCAUUAAGUCAAUGUCAUAAACUUUUACUUUUAUACUAUUAUUACUGAAAAUAUAAACAAGAAAGUGUUAUGGUAUAUAGUAGAGACCGAACGGUUAACAUUUAGGACCGUCUGAUCAAUCCACUAAAGCAAUAAUGGUCAACCAGGUCAAAAUCGUUUUAUUGAUGUUGGGCAAUAAUUGCGCCAGUGUUUAAGUUAUUAUUGGACCAAUAGUCCAACAGAUAAUAAAAUAAUCAACUAUAUUUGAUAAGUUGUUUAUGAGCAAUUGACCGAAUCUAAUGGUAUGUCUGUUUUUAUUUUAUUGGAUCUGUGCAAGAUUAGAUCAAUGAGAUGAUUUAUAAAUAUAAGGUCGAAGCCAAAGGCCAAGUACAUUCUACUUACGUUUGAUCAGAACUCAAAUAUUCAAUUGUGAUAAACAAUUCCCAAAACCGGUCUUAACUUGAGCGUCAGAGUGUCUUUUGCAGGUAUCCCCUAAUCAAGAAUACAACCAAGCGGUCAAGAGUACAACUGAGAGAAGCAGGCGACUCAGGCAUUGGAAGUGGACAUUAAACCGCUCGGUUACUUACUAAUAUUGUCCGAUCACGAGUAAAAGUGUGUAGAGUAGGCGAAUCGAGCGUCGAAAGACAGGAAGAUCACAUAAAAUAAGGUAUGUCUCUUGAUGUUACAAAAUAUCUACCGAAAGAAAAAGCUUUUUUUUUACUGUAAAAAAAAUUAUCCAAACAAGAACACUUAUUAAAACUUCAUUUGGUGCCUGCAAGAGGGUAGAAGAAUUGUGUUAUAUUUUAAACUAGAGAUGCAUGUUAGCAUCAUUUAGCAUGUUCUAGUACUCACAUGGUAGGCCAAAAGAAACUGGGUCCCUUUUCAUUAUAAAAAUCUAAAGGCUUCACCAUGUGAACUGUGUUAAAUGAAUCUUACUGUGGCUGAAUUGUUCCAAAUUCGAAAAUAGAAUCUCUUUAAUCUCUUUUGCACUCUCCACAACCGACAAAUAAACACAAACAAAGGAGUUUCAUAAAUAUGGACGAAAAAACAUAAUUGUAUACCUCACCCUCUUCCUUGCUUACCCCGUGAUUCUCACCAAAUGCACCUCAAAUUUAACUCUCACAUUCUAUUCUUGCUUCUUAUAUUAUUACAUCUCUAUCUUAUCCCUUCAAAAACACACUAACAGUUACCAACAAGACACAAAUUUCUGCACCCUCAUGGCCACUCUGAUGAAGCUGUUCUUUUCAUUUGCCAUUUCGGUUAUCUUGCUUUCAAAGGGUGUGAGUUCAACUACAACUGAGCCUACAAUUUCAGCUUCUCCAGGAGUUUUGCCUUAUGUGUCUGCUCCAGAUAUUUCAUCAUUUUUUCCCACUCCAAGUGGCUAUCAACCACUCAGUUAUGAUACUUCUUCUGAGGCACCAGCUCCAGCACCCUCUUCAGGGGAAUUUCAGGGCAAAAUCUCUUCUGCUUCAGCUAGCUUCCAUUCUGCAGCUCUCAUUGUUUCUGUUCUGCUAUCUUUUGCAGUCAUGAGUAGUAGCAUGGUUAUUGUUUGAGUAUUUACUAUAUAAUUUUGUCUUCUCUUCAACGCUUUUUCACCCUUCUUCUUUUCCAUUACUCCAUCUUCUGCCAUUGCUUUCUUGCUACCUUAUUAAUAUACUUUAUACAUUCACUUCUGCCCAGUUCGUUGAUUCUAAUGAACUUUGUUCCAAUUUCCUGGUGAGAUCUUGCUACAGGAAACAUUAGUGAGAAUUUUUAUAACUUUUUUUUUGUCUUUCUGGUUUUAGUUUUUUUUUUUCUUUUUAAAAGUCAAUGCAGAGUAUUUAUGGACUGUUAAGCGACUAAUGUUUGUAGUAAAAUAUUAGCAGCUAUUUUUAUUUUUUCUGUCUAGAAAAUUAAACUCGAGAUUCUCGUAUUCUAUGAGAUCUUCAGUUCAUUAAAUGUUGGUGUGUGACUCAUUAUUUGGUAAUAUGUUUAAUAUUUUUAUGAAAUCGGUAAUGUUUUGUCUUAUCAAGAUCUUUGUAAGAUAGUAGAAUAAAGUUUUAGACUAUUUAUCACGAAUAAGAAGUUAUUUAAAUAUUAAACAACACAACGCCUUAGUUUUAUAUUGAUUUAUCUCAACUCGUGUUACAUUUAGUUUUUUUUCUUAAGACAAGAUGUUUCACUAAUUAAAAUACUGAUUAUAAAUGAAUAAACAAAUCACUUCUAAUGACAAGAAGUGCACAAACCGGUUAUUUUGUUUCAAUCUUCUCUUGAGAUUAAAAUCUCAAAGAUAAUUAAAAAAAAAAUAAAACUCUCAAAGACAAAGAUUGAUUUAAGUUUAUUGGUGAGUUCACAAAGUAAAAAGUACCAAAAUUUUACAUUAUUUUUAAGAAAUUGAUGACAUCAAUUGGUGAAUAAUAUAGUGAUUAUGGUGCAUCAAAGCCAGUAAUAUUGUAAAACUUACUCUAUAAUAGUGAAAGACACAUAAAAGUUAAUUGAAUAUUUUUUUAGGAGUUAUUGAAGAUCUACAUUCAUAGGCUUCCAUUAGACUAUAAAAAAAAAUACAAAAUGACUAAUUUGAUAGUUCUUUUGUAGUUGAUAAGCUAACAAGCUUACACAUUAUUAUCAUGAAAUAUGUGAUUUGGUUAGGUCUUUUAGUAGAGUUAUUAUACAAGAAUUUUACGAAAAAUGUUAUUAAGAAGUGGACUUUAAUCCUAAUUCAACUCUAUAAAACCGGUUUGUAUAAAUGAAGUUUGCACUUUCACUUAUAUAAUAUGAAAUCGUCUUAUUUCUAUAGGCGGCAAGAGAGUUCCAACAAACCUCCCUCACGAUGAGAUAUAUACAUUUCGAGUGUGGGACUAGACAUUAAUGAGUAGUCCGAUAGCGGCCUAAUAUUAUGUGGAAUAAUAUGCUCAACAAAAAAUAAAUAUUAUUAUGAUAGUAUGUGGUACAAUAGACUGAACAAACAAAAAAUCUCGCUAGGAUAGGUUUUAAUGCAUGACUUUGAUAUCAUGUUAAGAAAGUCUAACUCAACUCCAUAAAACUAGUUUGUACGGUAAAAUUUGCACUGACUUACAUACUAUGAAAUUAUCUUAUCUCUAAUCGAUAUAAGAAUUCCAACCAUUAUCUUUAGGAUAUUGUGUAGCAUAGGACUCCACCGAUGUUUUCGCAAUAUUUAAUACAUAAAAUAUGAUUAUGUCAAACUUGUUACUAGACUUACUGAAUAAGCUAAUAUUUCAUUAAAGCGUUGGAAAUAUUUCAUUAAAGCCAUAAAUGCAUGGUUUAAAUGUCCAAAACACCCUCUUAAAGAUGAUGUGGUCCUCAUCUACGGGUUACCUUGAUAUACUGGUUGGGUAUCCAUUUUUCAAAUAAACUCAAUAAUGUAAACUUGCUUUACCUUUAGAAGGGAUGGCAAAUUUUGCUAUGACUCUUCCCAAUUGUCAUAAACCUGGCUAAUAAUUUUAUGAGUCAAGCCUUCUUAUAGGUAACUAUAUACUCCAGGGUUGACUUUAUAAAGGGUUGUUGAAACAAUAUCAUAAUGUCUACCAAUUCAAGUUUUAAAGUUUAUCAAAAAAUAUUCAAUGAAAUAUUGCCUUUGUAAAAUAACGUCUAAUGAAAGAAAACCUUUUUCUUUAAAGAAUAAUCUAAUAGAUGAUAUGUGUAACAAACAAUGUCUAAACAUCUAAAAAGUUAACAUGUUAUAAAAAGCGCCUUACAAAGUGAAGCGUUUCUUUAAAACUAACGUUUUAUCAAGCAAAUGUUUUAUGAAACGAAAGUCGUAAAUGAUACUAAAAAACAUAUAUAAGUGUCUAAUCAAUAAACUAAACUCAUACCAGCGCUAAACGAUAGAAAAUUCCUAAAUAAAGGUAUUCAAACAUUUUUCUGUCUGUACUAAAAUGACAUUUGCGUAUUCAAAAGAUAAAACGUCUAAAAGCUAAUUCUACUUGAUAUCAUAUGAAAAACUUUAUAAGACAAGCAUCUAAUAAAUAUGUCAUAUACACCAUUUAUAUUAAAAUGAUCGUUAAACAUGAAUUAACUAAAUGAUGUUGACAUAUGAGAAUGCUCUAAACAUUUUACAAUCAUCAAGAGACAAAAUAUUUAAUGCUAUACAAAAAAGUGUCUUUGUGCUUGCAUGUCGUGUUUUCAUUAUGUGCAGGAAAUAACAAUACCAAGUUUUAUCCAAGAACUCUGAACAAAGAGACAUUAAAAAACAAGAAUACCUAUUCAAAGCUACUAACAUAGAAGAAUCGUACAAGCUAUCUUUGUGAAAAAGCACUACUGGCCUACAACGUAGACCUGAGUUUGAUCAAACCAUAUUUAUCAAACAUUAUUUUCAACUUUCUUUUAUGGAUACGUCAUGAAUAAUUUGCUUACAUAUUUUCAAUGUUGUUUUUAGUAAACAUAUCCUUUAGAAGCCUCAAUCAAUAAAUGAUAUUUCAUUAUGUAUUGUAUAUUAAACAUCAAAACAUGAGUUAUUAGACCGUCUAGUCUUUUUAGACGAUCUUGUCUUAAUAAAUUUAAAUUUAAACUUAUUCAUGAUAACAAAUUUUUAGACAAUAUCAUAUAGUGUCCUGCACCUAUUUUCUUAUUGAUCUUCACGUAAAAUCUUAAUAAAGUGGAAUUUCAAUCAAUUCACCAAUGAUACUUAAAAACAUGCAAUUAUUGAUCUUUCAACAAAAGAUCUUCUACGAAAAUACAAGACUACAUCCUAACUCAAAGUGUAAAUGAUAAAGAUGAUAAAAACUGUCACCAUUUCAAACAUCCAUGGACAAAAUAAUACAUCACUCAAAACAAACAUAGUGUAAAACUCACCAUAACAAUUCUUUGACUUCCCCACAUAAUACUUUAUUGAUUAGUUCCUCGAUACAAAAGAACAUAUGCAACAUAUUAUUAAUUGAUUCCCUAUUAUAAACUAAUACAUUUACAAGACCAAUAUGUCAAACCAAACUAAACUUGAAGUGUGUGAAUUGAGAUAAUAAAAACAAUAUUAUGCUCUAUUAAAAAAAUAGGAGAUUAAAAGGUGUCAAUGUGUUUGUAUGUUGAUUUCAUAUUGCCAUAGUAAAAUAUAUUGAUCCUUCAAGAGGUCAAUAAUCUCAUAAUUUGCAAGUAAAUUACUUUUGAUUUUCCUAAAACUUCAAGUUAGAUUCUACACAUUAAUUUGCGAGGUCACCACUCCUAAGUAGGGAUGGCAACGGGUCGGGUUCGGGUCGGAUAGUGUGAUACCCGAACCCAACCCGUAUGUAAACAAGUAUACCCGUACCCGCCCUGUUACCCGCCGGAUACUCGCAUAAAAAAAAUCUGCGAGUUUUUUUAACCCGCGGAUACCCGUUUCAACCUGCAAUUUUUUUAGAAAAUUAAAAAAUGUUUAAAUUAAAUUAAAAAAAACAUAUUAUUUUCUCAGAGUCAAUGUUUAAAUUAAUUAUUUUAUACAAACGGGCCAAAAAUUCAAAUUUUUCAUAAUAAGCCCAAACCCUUCUUUUCUUUUAGGGUUUCUUCUUUUCUUCUCCAGUUCUUUCCCUCUGCCCUCUUCUCCAUCGCCAUGAAUGCCGCCUCUCUGGAUGCGUUAACCUCCCCACGACAACGAAGCUCGCCAUCAUCUCCUUCACUGAACCUUAGCUCCGCAUCGACGUCGGACGCUGUCAACUACCACGACCGCUGCCAGCACGAGCCUUCACUCAAGCCGCAACCUCCAUCAACACCGCAACUUCAUCCUAUCAGCACCUGCUCCGCCAUCGCGCCUCUGCCAUCGCACUUUCGCCAUCGCACCUCCGCCAUCGACCUCGUCUUCCUCUUCUUCGUCCUCGUCUAAACCUCUCCGCUUCCGAUCCUCCUCGACGCCUCCGCGUUUCGGCUGCCAGACGCCGGACGCCUCCGCUUUUCGGCGGCCAUUGAGGCCGGGCAACGUCUAAACCUCUUUUUUCCUUAUUCUGAGGAAGAAAACCCUAAAACGGCAGCUGCAACUAACAAGAUGGGGGCACCUCUUUUUUUCUUAUUCUGAGGAUGAAAACCCUAAAAAAAUUUGGGCUUUGGCCCAUUAUCACAGUAGAUGAGUAGAUGGAAACCUAAUUUAAGAAUAGUUAAAAUUAUACUUUUAUAAUUUAAAUAGAAAACCUAUUAAUUGAAAUUAAAAUUUUAUUUUUUAAACGGGUAACGGGUAUCCGCGGGUACGGAUAAUGUGAUACCCGAACUCAAUCCGUUAAUAAGCGGGUAUUAAAAUACCCGCUACCCGUUACCCACAGAUAUUAUACCCAAAAUGGAUUUUACCCACGGAUACUCACGGGUACAGGUUUUUUUUGCCAUCCCUACUCCUAAGCUGACAUCUCAUAAAUUCCAAACGCAGUUUAGACUAUAAAAUCAUGACAGUUUAUAAUAGGGUUAAAUAUGCUUUUCGUCCUUAAAGUAUUAGGGAUUUUUGGUUUUAGUCCCUACUCAAAACAUUGAUGGCAUUUAAUCCUUUUAGUAUUAAAACAUGUAAAAUUAGUCCUUAAAAAUGGAUGCCCGUUAACUUUCACUAACGGACUUGCCACGUCUUUCUUUCAGUAAUGUUCUCUGUCUACCACGUCACAUCCUCUUAUCUGUUCAUCUCCCGUUCUUCUCUCCUUCAUUUUCUCACCCUUUUUCUUCUUUUCAGUUUCAUCAUUCUGGAACUUAAUGUUUUUUUUUUUUAUUAAUCUUAUCACUGAAACUUCACGCUUAAUCUGAUCAACCAAUCCAAUUUUAAAAAGAAUUUCCUUAUCAAUUACCUUUGCAAAGGUUCCUUGCCCUAAAGAAAUGGCUCAAAGCUGGAAACACCACGUGUUCCAAAAUAGGGGAGAAGCUAACCAACACAGAAUUGGUUCCCAAUACAACUCUCAAGAGGCUCAUCCAACAGUUCUGCGUCGACAACGACAUUUCAGUCAACAGCCCAUCUAACCGUAACCGCAACAUCGUCGCAGGUAGUCCCGCCGCAAAGCUCGCCGUGCAAUUCCUAGCGUGGUUCCUGACGCGGAGGUUGGCGUUCGGAACUCGUGAACAGUAGCAGAAGUCCGCUUACGAGAUUCGCGUGCUUGCCAGAACCGACAUUUUCUAUAGGUCUUAUUUGAUUGAAGUGGGAGUAGUGCCUCCUCUACUAGAACUUUUAGCAUCUGCGUCUAACGAUAAACCCACUCAAGAGAACGCAAUCUUCGCUCUAUUGAAGCUUUCUAAACAUCUGAAUGGACCAAAAAAUAUCAUAACUAAUGGCGGCCUAAACGUAAUUCUCUCACUUGUUGUGGUCUUAUUCUUUGUGGCAAAUCUUGAAUCCCGUGGGUGCAGCUUCUUAAAGGGAGAGACCCCAAAAUCAUAGCACAAAAAACCCCAAAUUCAUGAACCCUAAUCGCAACGAAGAACCCUCAAAUCGUGGCGCUUGAAGAUGCUUGAAACGUCAUCAGCACUAAAACAACGCCUCUUUUCUCCUUUAUGCGGGUGAUUUCCUUCUUUGCCUCUUCGAUGGUUGAUCCUGGGUUAAGAAACUACUUUCCCCAAUUCAAAAAAACACACUUUGCCCUGAUUUAGAAUCUGAUUUCAUUCACCAAUACACUUCCAAAUCACUUAAUCUCGUUCCAAAAUAUAGAACAGUGGCAGAUAGUUAAGGUGACUGUGGAAGAAGACAUGUCAUCAUCGUUUGCCAGGUCAAUAAAAAGUUAACGCCGUCCAUUUUUAGGGACUAAUUUUACAUGUUUUAAUACUAAAAGGAUUAAAUGCCAUCAAUGUUUUGAGUAGGAACUAAAACCUAAAAUCCCUAAUACUUUAGGGAAGAAAAACAUAUUUAACCCUUUAUAAUAAUUACAUAAAAACACCAAAAAUAUUUGUAUAUUUUCCCACUUAAUCAUUUGGAGAUUCAAAUGCAAUACGCAGAACCCGCAUUCUGAAGUGUAAGUAAAUCACCUUCGAUUAUCAAUGCCUGGGACAUGAAGGAAGUUCAAAUCACAUUGCAUGGAAACAACAACACUGACGAUGACUCGGUUAGUGUUCAGAACAACACCAUCAACCGCACGUCACAAACGUGCUUAUUCCACAUGGCAGACCAAUACCGCGAACCUUACGAGCAUGUUCGGCAAAUACGUGGACAAAACCAGCGUCUCUAGCUGGAACACCGUCAUCGCUGACCUCGCUCGAAGCGGCGAUUUCAUCGAAGCUCUCGGCGCAUUUUCCUCCAUGCGCAAGCUCUCUCUACAUCCCAACCGCUCAUCCUUCCCAUGCACCAUCAAGGCCUGUGCCGCACUCUCCGACCUCCGCGCCGGCGCGCAGACCCACCAGCAGGCGUUCGCAUUUGGGUUCGGCCACGACCUCUUCGUCUCCGCCGCGCUCGUUGACAUGUACUCCAAAUGCGGCUUCCCUGACCUCGCGCGCCACCUUUUCGACGAAAUUCCCAGCCGAAACGUCGUUUCGUGGACGUCCAUGAUUGCAGGCUACAUCCGAAACGACCGCGCCCAGGAAGCCGUUUGCCUCUUUAAGGAGUUGUUGGCUGAGGACAGUGGGAGUGCGGAAUCUGAGUAUGAGGCUUUCGUGGAUUCCAUGCUUGUGGGGUGUGUUCUUUCGGCGUGUUCGCGGGUGGGGUGGAGGAGUGCGACUGAAGGGGUUCAUGGGUUGGUGGUCAAGAGGGGGUUUGAGGGGUGUGUGAGUGUUGGGAAUACUUUGAUGGAUGCUUAUGCCAAGUCUGGAGAAAUGGGGGUGGCGAGGAAAGUGUUUGAUGGAAUGCAUGAGAGUGAUGUCUGCUCUUGGAACUCUAUAAUUUCUCAGUAUGCGCAGAAUGGGUUGUCAGCUGAGGCUUUCUGUAUUUUUGCUGACAUGGUGAAGAGUGGCAAGGUUAAAUAUAACGAGGUGACAUUGUCUGCGGUGUUGUUGGCCUGCGCGAAUUCAGGAGCUUUGCAGCUGGGAAAGUGCAUACAUGACCAGGUGUGUUACUUAAUGCAUAGGUUCAUUUGGUCUUUAGACACCGAUUUACAUUUGGUGGUUACUUGAAAAUUUUAUAUUUUGGUUCUUACCUGAUGAAAUUGUUUAUGCAUUGGUCCCAACUGCUUGUUGAAGUUAUCAUGAUGUUCGAUGUUUUCUGAGUUUGUAAACAUUUUAUGACGAAAUUAAAUAUUUGAUUGACAAGUGUUUGUCAAACACUGCAAACAUUUAAUAGCAUUGUAACUGUGGCAAAGGAUGGGGGCGGCAAAUUUGUUGUAAUAUUUUUUUUGGCUUAAAUUCACUCUUGGUCUCCAUAGUUUUAUUUUAUGAAUGUGAAAUUUUAGUUCUUAUAAAAGUUUAAUUGCACGUUCGAUCUUUCAGUUUUUAAAUUGAACAUUUUUUGUCUAAAGUUAAUGUCAUCUAAUUCUAACAAAAAAUAGUGAUGUGUCUGCUAGCGAUAACAGGUUUUAAACCUUACCGUCGAUAUCCCAUGCGGAUAACUAACUACGCUUUUUCACCAACCAUGCGUCAGAUUUUUUUUUUUAACAAUUAGAUAACAUAUUAGUAGUGAACUACUAGAAUGGUUUAUUUUGAAAAUUUGAAAGAUCAAAUGAGCAAUUAAAUUUAUAUAGAAACUAAAAUUGUACACAUCCUUGAAACUAUGAGUAAGAGAGGAUUUAUGCCUCUUUUUAUAAACCAAAAUUAUGAGUUUUUCUUCAUUUAAUAAGGACCAAAAUGGAAACAUGGUGUAAACUGUCCAAGUUUAGGUUCCAAAUUUUAAUUUAACUUUGUUCCAAUUUUUGGUCCUAAAAUUGUAUUUAUGUAUGGAAUAAUUAGCGAGUGCCUAGAUUUUUGUUGGUCUCACUGGCUCGUUUACUUUUACUAUAGGUUAUAAAGAUGGAUUUGGAGGAUAGUGUGGUUGUUGGUACAUCUAUAGUGGAUAUGUACUGCAAAUGUGGGAGAGUUGAGAUGGCUAGGAAGGCAUUUGACCGAAUGAACAUGAAGAAUGUUAAGUCAUGGACUGCUAUGGUUGCUGGUUACGGAAUGCAUGGUCGUGCAAAAGAGGCUAUGGAAGUUUUCUACGAGAUGAUAAGGUCUGGAGACAAGCCGAAUUACAUUACUUUUGUGUCAGUUUUAGCUGCAUGCAGCCAUGCUGGUUUGUUAAAAGAAGGCCGGCAUUGGUUUAAUAGAAUGAAAAGUGAAUUUAAUGUUGAACCUGGGAUUGAGCAUUAUUCUUGCAUGGUUGAUCUCCUCGGGCGUGCUGGCUACCUUAAUGAGGCUUAUCGUUUGAUCCUGGAAAUGAAGGUGAAACCUGAUUUUAUAAUCUGGGGUUCCCUUCUUGGGGCUUGCAGGAUUCAUAAGAAUGUGGAACUUGGGGAGAUCUCUGCUAGAAAACUAUUUCAGUUAGAUCCAAGUAGUUGUGGGUACUAUGUUCUACUCUCUAAUAUUUAUGCUGAUGCUGGAAGGUGGGAUGAAGUUGAGAGGAUGAGGAUAUUGAUGAAGAGUCGCGGGUUGCUUAAAACCCCUGGAUAUAGUAUAGUAGAGCUCAAGGGUAGGGUACAUGUAUUCUUAGUUGGAGACAAAGAACAUCCUCAACAUGAGAAGAUUUAUGAGUACCUAGACAAAUUAAAUGUCAAGCUGCAAGCACUUGGUUAUAUGCCAAAUUUGACCUCAGUUCUUCAUGAUGUUGAUGAGGAAGAGAAAGGAAUGGUUCUAAGAGUUCAUAGUGAGAAACUAGCAGUUUGCUUUGGAAUCAUGAAUUCAGUUCCUGGGUCAGUGAUCCAUAUCAUAAAAAAUCUUAGAAUUUGUGGUGACUGCCACAUUGCAAUUAAAUUUAUUUCCAAAGCAGUAAAUCGAGAAAUUGUUGUCAGAGAUUCUAAGCGGUUUCAUCAUUUUAAGGAUGGUAUGUGUUCAUGUGGGGACUACUGGUGACAGCAACUGAAAUAAAGGUAGCCAAAAUCUACGGUGUAGGUUGUGCAUUAUUUAGUCAUCUUACUAGCCAGACAUGGAGCUAAGAAAGUGCAUAUCUAUCUUAAAUACACUGUUUAAUUUGAUUUUGGAGUGAACAGUGGAUCAAUUAGAUCCAGUUAUUAGGAUAAUGGAAAAAAAGGCACUGAUCUUUUAGUGACUAAUACUCAGUUUGAAUGUACAAUGUUAUAGUACACAUGAGAUCACCGUAGAACCAACUGCAAAUAACAUAUGACAACUGUUUUUUACUACAUGCCUCAAGACAUGUAAAGUCGCACCUAUAGUAGCGUCGGUACAAGUGCUCACUUAGUUACUAAAGGACAAAGUAUAUCAUAACAACGUUGUGCAAGAAUUAUUUGAGUGUCGAUUGUUUGCAUAGAAUACUAGAUUUUAAAGAGCUUGCCUGUAGAUCUUCCUCCUGCUCUUGAAGUAUGUGGUUGAUCACAUUCUGAAUCAGCAUUGGAGUGGGUUAAAGAAAUCUGGAGGGCCCUGUUCUCAGUCUUCAAAGUUUCCACCUUUAGUCUAAGCCUUCUGAUGGUUUCUCUCUUUUCAUCAUUUCUUUGGACCAGCUCUAGCAACUGGUGCAGAUUGUCCUGAGUAAGUUUUGUUUGAUACUUUAGUGUCGACCACAAAUUGUCACAUUUGAAAAUGAUCAUUGGAGGAUCUUCAGUUCUCUGAUUUAAUUCUGAAUCGUCAAUCUUCUCUUCAGCGGUUGAAAGUUUUGUCAUUCUGUCCUCCAUUUGAAUAUUUCUGCGUUCUGGUUUUAAUUUCGUGCUGCAUGUGCCUGCUGAUAACAGUUCAUGGCACUCAUCUCCUUGCUCGUUUGAAAGAUCAAAACCAAGGAUACUACGGUCAAAUUUGAUAUUGGAGUGCUCCAAGGAACAUUCAUCUCCUUGGUUAUUUUUAUCUUUCGAUUUACCUAUUGCUCUUUUAUUGCAGAUAGAACAAAUGGUUCUUGAUGUACCAGAAGAUGAUAAAGAUCCAGAUUGGAAGGUACCCUGAGAGGUUUUUAACUUCAGUUGGUUAUAUGCUAUGGCUAACACACGGUAAGAUUGGCCAAAAUCUUCAAGCAUCUCUAUGAGAUCUUCUCUCCAUUUGCAAUCCAUGAGUUCUUUGGGAGAAUUGUCACCAUCUAAAAUGGUCUUCAUAGCAUCCAAUUUCUCAUCCAAGUCUAAAAAUUUAUUAAAAUUCAAGUGUUUGUGAGUAUAAACUGCAGCAUAACUAGGUUAAGACCUUAUGAACAUUCCAAUAAUGUUUGUUUGACUUUGAGCAACUCCUACAGGCAAUAAAUAAGCCAGACAUCCCAGAUUUUAAACCUGGAAUUUUGGUUAAGAGGGAUGUCCCUGUGAAGAAGGAUAAGGGAUUUUGAGGACUAAAAAUAUUACUACUUGAUAAUUAGUGUGCAAUAUAUAUUCCAGGUGAUCCUAUUGAACCUUUUAUGACCUUUUAUGAGAGGACAGUUUCUAAUCUAGUAUAUGAAAUCGACUUCAAACAUGCCUUUUUCUAGCCUCAGUUCAUGUCACACCCUCCCUCUUUCAGUGGUCAACUUCAUUUUCUACAACUUUAUAAUAUGCUUUUAAUGCACAGAGUUGAGUCAAAGAAAGCUAACAAGUUGUUAAAUUAUGGAAAUACUAGUUGCACAUAUAUUUAGUCUGCAAAAUAGAACUUUUACACCUCAGCAAGCAUGCAUGUGUAUGUGUAUCUGUAUGAGUAUGAGUGACUAAGAUAGAGAGAACCUGAUAUGGUUGUUUGAAGCCAUUGAGACUGGUAGAUAGGAGCAGAACUCCAUGAUUCAGGAUCUUUAUUCUCCAUGGUCAAAUGUGUCUUCUUCAACUCAGAGCAAGAUAAUUUAUUAGAGGAGAAACGGUGACAACAGGGUAAAGUGAAAGGAAACAAGUAAAGUAUAGAAUUUGAAAAGGAAGAUUUAUGCCAUGAUGGACUUUGUAUAUUGCAGCAGACCAACGUUAAGCAGAUUCUUUAACAAAUUAGAAAGCAUCCUGUGGCAGUGUUCUACAGUUUCCAAUUUCUUAUUUUAACUCAAAAAAUUUGGUUGACCUUUUAUAAACCAUUCCAAUAAUAUUCAUUUAUUUAAAGCACACGUUAUUUUGUAAUGACUAUAAUAUUGACAGUUCAGCUGUGUUAGUUUGCAGCAUAAUAAACAAUGGAGUAAUCUUUGGUCUUAAUUAAUCGUACCUAAUAUUUAAAAAAAAAAGCGGUAGUAAUCUAUUUCAAGUUCUUUUAAUAAAAUAAUAGACAACGUAAUAACUGUGAAAUACACUAACAUGCCAUCCAAAAUAAUCAUUUUAAAAAUCAUAUCGUAUGAAUAGUGAUUUUUAUUUGGUGGGCUAUUUAAGAUACAUGAGAUCACACAUGCUCUAAACCAUAAGCUUUAGACUUGAUUAAAAAUUAUUUUUGAUUUGUCAUAAAUAAUUUUGGAAAUAUUUAUAAAAUAUUUAUUCAAAAUUACGUUGUAUAUUUAAUAAAAGCUUUAAUCAUUUAUCAUGUUAAAUUGUUUAAUAAAAUUAGUGUGAUAUUUUUACUAUAUUAAUGUUUUUCUAAACUCAGAACAAAGCAUAUUUGUUAUUUCAUGGAGAUUAUUCAGCACGAAAUAUAGCUACAAUUUUUUUUUUUGUAAAACAUUUUUUCUUUAUAAUGAUAUUUUCUUAAAAGAAAAAUAAAUCAAAGGCGGGAAUAAACAUUAGAUUUCAAAAGAUAAGUGUAUCUUUCAAUAAUUUUUAAUGAUUUGAAUAAAUUAAAGGAAAUAUAGUACAAAUAAUAUAUAACUUAACAUCUCAACACCCAAUUUUGGGUAAGUAAAUAAAUAAAAAUAAAAAAUAAGAGAAUAAUAAUUAAUGGUGGGUAAAGAAAUAAAGGAAGAAAAAAAAUAAAAUAAAUUUCCUAAAAAAAAUUGUAUAUGUAAUACAUUACACAACACUAGAAAAUAUUUUUGAAAUAUUAGUUUUUAGAUAAAGGAAUAUUUAAUAUGGUAAUAAUUUGAAUCAAUAUUAUGCCAAUAAUUAUAAGCAAUAAUUAAAAAUAAUAUAUUGAUAUAAUUUGUUGCAUCAAUUUCUUUUUAAAGAGAAAAAUAUGAUUUUAAAAAUGGACAAAAUUUUCUGAAAAUUGUCAAUUAGAAUUGUUGCAAGAAUUGAUUUUCUUGCAACUAAGACCAUUUCUUUCUCUAUUUUAUUCAUUAUUGUCAAUUAAUUCAGAAUUAAGAUAAGAUUACCGUAAUAUUAUAUCGUGUCUAUAUAAUUACGCACCCUCUCAUAGAAAAAGGACAGAAAAAAGAGGGAUAGAUACCCAAAAAUAAUAGAGAUAGAAAGAGAAGAAGAGAAUAUAGAAGAAAAUAAUUUAUAGGGGCUCUGUCAACAAAAACUACCAAGGAAGAACUAGGGAACUACUAGAAGUUGAGAAGGUAUGUCACUUCUACACCAUUCUUUUUCUCUUUUGAUUGUACUUUGAAGUUUUUUCUAAAGGUAUAUUUUUUUACUACACACAAAUAACGUUCCUUUUUUUAAAUCAUAAAAAGAAUAUAUUCACUUGUUUCUUUUGAUAUUGGUUACACCCCUCGCAUAAUGUGAUAUUUAUUUUAAAUUUUAUUUUUAAAAACUAAUAAUAAAUAAACAAUUCCAAAAAUAAAAAGUAUUUUCUUAUCACAUAUUUUCUUUUAAAAAAAUAACAAAUCAUAAAAUAAAGAGUAUAAGUACGCGUCGGCCUAUGGUCGGUUUCUUUUCUUUUUCCUACCAUUCUUAAAAUAAAUAAAAAAAUCUUUAAACCAAAAAAUGACAACAUUGUUAAACAAAUCUUUUUUUUACCACAACUACAUAGGAGCAAUAUCAAUCCAUGUCAGGUUCACUUUUCAAAAAUCAAAUCAGUAAUAAUUUUCCAACAAAUUUACAAACCUUUUUGUAGAUAAAGAAAUAUGUGAUCCUUAAUUCUCCAAGGUCAAUCCUUAUCCGACUCAAAACAAAAAAUAUUUUUUGUUUCUUAUUAGUUUCUUUAUAUAAUUAUUUUUAGAAAAAAUUAAAUAUUUUGAAAAACCACGUUAACUUUAUACAUUUAAUUAAAUGUACUGCUUUUGGGAAGGAGUAGUAGGGUGCUAAUACCUUCUUUACUCGUAAUCGAUUCCCAAAUCUAAAAUAUAGUUUUCGUAGACCACAUUUUUAUUUUAUGGUUUUUCAUAGUUUUCCAAGAAUAAAUUAUGGUGGCGACUCCCAAAAUCUUUUUCUUAAACCUGUUUGUUUUCGGUUCAUCAUCUUGUUGCGAUCCCGAUAUCGACAGAUGGCGACUCCACUUGGGAAGUUAGAGAAUCAGACCUUGUUAAUUAAAUGUGAAAAUUGAUGUGGUUUCUCUUUAUUUUAUUUUAUUUUCCUCCUUUGUUUCUCUAUAUGAUUGGUCUUUAUUCAUUUUGAUAAUUUAUUUAUAUUCUUUUUUAUUAUUACUGGAAUAAUUAUUACUAUGCAUAUCAUGAGUGGGAUCCUAUAACCGAGUCUGAGUGUAACAUAGAAUUAGAGGGGUUGCGUAAUGGUGUUACGUUUGGGCUACUUCUAGUUUGGCUAUCGUGAAAACCCUAGCCAGUGUCUGUUCUCUUCACAUUCAAUUUCACACCUAGUUACGUCUCAACUAUUGUGGAAAAUGUUGUGAAAAGGACCAUAGCUUUGAUGACCUUGAUUUUAGGUUUAGGAAGCCAUUCUUGUGGGAUUGCAUAUACAAUGCUUAGACCACACAUUAGAGUCUCUAGUAUGAAUCUGACAGGGUUGAUAAAAUUAGGGAAACAAACGAAGAUCCUAAGGAGAGAAACGUUCAAGAAGAAGUACGAAAAUUUGCUCAAUCUGAUGGAGGUGGACGUACAAUUACCCGCUAUCACUGUCAUUUCUCAAUAUUAUGAUUCUCCACUCAGAUGCUUUACAUUUCAAGACUUCCAGUUAACACUAACUAUAGAAGAGUUUGAGCAUACCCUAGGCUUACCACUAUAAGGUAUAACUUCGUACCAAUACUUAUAGCAUCAUACUUCUAUUAAUACCAUCGCUGCCAUUAUGAAAUUACACUCUAGAGAGUUGAAAGACGGGUUGGUAACAAGAAACCAUGUGCAAGGACUUACUCAAGGAUAUUUGGAGCAAUAUCUAAGGACUUACUUCAUGGAUGUGUUGGCCCUUACCUCAUAUGGCAUUAUGAUAUGGCAUUAUGUUGUUUCCUAAGGUAUUGCUCCAAAUACCCUUGAGUAAGUCCUUGCACAUGGUUUCUUGUUACCAACAUGUCUUUCAGCUCUCUAGGGUGUAAUUUCAUAAUAGCAGCGAUGGUAUUAAUAGAAGUAUGAUGCUCUAAGUAUUGGUACAAAGUUGUACCUUCUAGUGAUAAGCCCAGGAUAUGCUCAAACUUUUCUAUAGUUUGGUCCAAGUGGAAGUCUUGAAAUGUAAAGCAUUUGAGUGGAAAAUCAUAAUAUUGGGAAAGGGUAGUGAUAACGGGUAAUUGUACGUCCAUCUCCAUCAGAUUGAGUAAAUUUUUGUACUUCUUCUUGAAUGCUCCUCUCCUUAGGGUCUUCAUUUGCUUCCCUAAUUUUUUCAACCCUGUCAGAUUCAUACUGAAGACUCUAAUGUGUGGUCUAAGCUUUGUAUAUGCAAUUUCACAAGAAUGACUUCUUAAACCUAAAAUCAAGGUCACCAAAGCUAUGGUCCCUUUCACAACAUUUUCCACAACAGUUAAGACUAGGAAUGACAACGGGUCGGGUCAGACACGGAUAGUACCUACCCGCAACCCGACCCACCGGAUAAAAACGUACCCGUCACCCGACCCGCUACUCGUCGGGGUACCCGUUUAGAAAAUACCCGUGGGUUUUAAAGUACCCGCGGGUACCUGCGAAUACUCGCAAAAAAAAAAAAUUAUACAUUUUAAAAUAAAAUUUAAAUAAAAUUAAAAAAAAUAUAUAAUAUAUAAUAUAAAUUAAAGUAAAUAUAAAUUAAAAUUUAAUUUUAAUUAAAUUUAACCUAAUAAAAUAUAAUUAUAUUUUAUUUUUAAUUAAAUUUAAUUAAAAAAUAUAUAAUUUACUUUUUUUUUAUAUUUUUUGCGGGUAACGGGUACCUGCGGGUCGGGUAGUAUACUACCGGUACUUGACCCGUUUAGAAGUGGGUAUUAAAAUACCCACUACCCGUUACCCGCGGGUAGUAAAUAUCCACGGGUAAUAACUACCCGCGGUGGAUUUUACCCGCGGAUACCCGUGGAUUUUUAUGCUAUCCCUAGUUGAGACGUAACUAGGUGUGAAAUUGCAUGUGAAGAGAACAGACACUGACUGGGGCUUUUACCAUAGUCAAACUGGAAGUAGCCUAGACAUGACACCGCUAUGCAACCUUUCUAACUAAUUUUAUGUUAUCCUCAUAUUUAGGUAUAGGGUCUCACUCAUGAUAUGCACAGUAAUAAUUAUUCCAAUAAUAAUAAAAAAAUAUAAAUAAAUUAUCAAAAUGAAUAAAGACCAAUCAUAUAGAUAAAUAAAGAAAAAACAAAAAUGACAAACUUAAUUUUUUUUUGAAGAUUUUCAUUUAGUGUCAUAAGAACUGUUUUUAAACCAUUAGACUUAGUUGGUUUUCUUCAAAUUCAAUUUUUCGAAAAAAAAAAAAUAAGUGAAUGUAGUAAGAGGAAAAUAGAAGAAAAUAUAUACAUCUCUUAUAUAUUGGAAUAUUAUUAAUACAACCCUAUAAUAAAAAUUACUAAAAUAUUAAAAUUUAGAUUCAUUGCUAAAAAAUUAAGACUUGUUAUGUAUGAUCUGAAUGUUAGAAUAAAAAUUAAAAAUAUACUGUUUAAUAUUUUCACAUUAUUUUGAUUAAUGAAGUCUUUACCAUAUUAUAAUUUAUAAAUUUUGUUAUUUUUUUCAGUUUUAAAUUUAUUUUUUACAUAUAACAAUCUUCGUUCUUUUUAAUUCUUAGCUUUAAUUAAUAAAUAAAUAUAAUUUUUCUAAACAACAUCUUUGUUAAAUUAUAUAUAAAUAAAGGGAAAUAUCUAUAAAAUAAAAAAUUAAUAAACGUAGUAAAGAAAGACAAGAGAGAAAAAAAUAGAAAUAAUGUAUUAAGACCCAGUUAAUUUUUUGCUAAAUAUUCAUAAUUUUAUUAUUUAAAUAAUGAUUUUUAGAAAAAUAGUUCCGUAUAUGCUGUAAUACAUUUUUAUUUAUAAGAAAAUGAAAAUCUUUAUCUUCUAUUUUUCUCUCUCAAAUGAUACCUCGGUAAAACCUUUUAUAUCACACCAAAUGAUUUUUCAUAAUUACGUUAGCAAAAUCUUUAGAUUUUUUCAAGAUUAUGGAACAUAAAAAUUUAAUAAGAUUCUAAAUAAGUAUGAUUCUCAUUAUUAAUAAUAAAAACAAUUGUUCAAAAUUAUAAUGAAAUUAUUUAUUACUUUAUAAUGAAAUUAUUUAUUACUUUAUUAAUUCCGUGAAAUCAUCUUACUCUUAUGUUUAUUUAUACAUAUCCCUCCGUAUCUUCAAACGUCAGAAAUUUUCUUAUUUGAUAGAACAUUUUAGAGAAAACAUUGUAUUUUGAAAAAAAAAAUGAAAAACUUGUCAUGUUUAAAAAUAAUUAAAUAUGAACCAAAAUUUUACAAUUAACAAAUUAAAAAAGUGAAAGAUAGAAAAAAAAAUAACAACUGUAUAAUUUUCUACGGUAAAAUAUAACGAGUAUUAGGGUUAAUAAUUUUUGUAAAACCAAUGCUAACUCAAUUAAACCCAUACAACAACACACAAUUAAUAAACUUUAUUUUAUAAAUUCCAACAAAAGGUUGACAUCACCAAAGUAUUUGAAAAGAAAAAUACCUAAAAGACAAGUAUAAAAUGAAUGCAUAUUAAAAAAAAAAAAAAAAAAAGAUGUUUGGGUCUAUUGACAAGAGUCCGGUACCUCCAAUAUCAUUAACUCAUGUUUCAAGUAUAAUCAAAAUACAAAUUUUCACAUGAUAAGUAUUAAAAAAAUAAAUUAUCACGAAUUAUGACGAAAAUACAAUAUGUAAAUUAAUUAUGAUUCAGAUACGUCAAAAUAAUAAUAUUGACUCAUCUUAUUCAUUUUAAAGUAUUGUUGAUUUACAAUGGAGACCACCUUCAAACAAAUACCAUAUAAAAAAUAUAUUUUUCAAAAAACUUGUAUUAAAUAUAUCUUGUCAAUAACAUUUGACUCAUUUUAAAUAAUUCUAAUUUAUAGAAACAAAUAAAUGCAUGACAUUUUUUAACAAGGCAAAAUACACGUUUAAUUAUAAUAAGACCAAAGUUUUCAUUUAGAGUUAGAAACUAUUUUUCUUUUCAUCGACACCUAUAUUAUGAUAAUAAACAAACAAAUCAAUUUGGUAUGUCUUAUAAAAUUACCUAGGGAUAAUACUGUGACCAGUUCAAUUUGUUUAAGCUCAGCUCGCACUUGGCUUGUAAUAUGCGGGUUAGGUUAGCUCGUCUCACAUAAAAUAUAUAGGUUUAAGUUACUGGUUACUGGUCCGUUGUAAAUUGAAAUUGGUUCGUAGACUUGCAAACCUAUUAAGAAUUUUUUUUUCUCAAUUAAUGACAAAUUUUAUACUUUACGAAUUUUUUUUUUCACUUGUACGCAGUGACUGAACAAUUUUCACAAUUUUUAUACAUGGUUCAACAAUUUUAGAAAAAUGAAGUGGUUAAAACUAUAUUAUUACAUUCUCAUCAAACUUAAUAGUCAUGUAUGAGGUGGUUGUGAUCGUUAUGUGAAUCUGUUGUUGCGAGACCAAAAGAGAUGAUGAAUGAGACACUUUGUGUUUGUGCUUCGUGUAACGCUCCAAAUUUUAGGGUGUCAUGAAUUGUCACAAAAAAUCGAUAAAUUUCAAACUUUUAUCAUAGUGUGGAAACGUAUUUUUAAAAAACCUCAAUAGUUAAACGUGCAUAAUUUAUUCAAAACAUAAUAGUUCCAAAAUACUUAUCUAAUUACAUUAUUCAACAAAAAUGAAAGUAACGAAGGAAAUAAAGAACUUAAAUUACUUUAAACACAAUAACUUUAAAAGAAAAUUCCAAGUCUAUCCCUUAUCAUUUCUCGAAUCUAUCAUGUCUCAAUAACAUCUGUAACAUCAUCUGCUCACGUAUAACACAUUAUUGAUCAUCGUCGAUAAUAUUAUUCACAAACGCAUAAGCACAAACACGUAUAGUGUAAUCUACCGAUAAAAUGAUCACAAAAACAAGAGACACACUUAUUGAUUAUAUCAAUCAUAAUCAAACAUCUCAUACACAAAAGUAAUAACAAUAGGAUCCUUAAUCCUCUAAACAUAACACAUAAAUCAUUAUGAUCAUCACUCCUUAAGCCUCAAUCUUCGAUCAUAGAUCCUCGAUCCUUGAUGUCAUCGCGUACAUCACAAACAUAGACUAACAGUCUAUCCAUUCAUCAACAUUUAUGUUAACUACACCAUAUAAACCAAUCACUAACAACUUAGUAUCCUUUGGAGCAUCAUCGUCAUUACGAUCAUCAUCACAUGUACCUCCAUCAUGAAUAUCUCCAUCAUGAACAUCACCAUGAGCAUCCACAAUACCUUAAACACCAUGGUGAAAAAAAUCAGUCACACUCCUAUGCCCUACCUCACCCACUUGUGGCCUCCCAACAACCUAUCUGUAGCCUCCUCCCUAGAUCUGCUCGAGUAGUCCCAUAAUUCAGCUAAGGAACAUGUCUUUCUACCACACAAGGACAAGGAAAACACCAUCACCCCACACAAGGAAGGUUCAAUACCUGAACAAUCCUCCCUUUUCGCACACAAGGCUAAAGGGAGCGCCUAUAUGUAGACAAUAUCAAGAUUUAUUAGGUACAACAUGUAGACCUACCCCCCACUUUUAUGCUCAUCAACCAUACACUCAAGUUUACCCUCAACACUCACUCAUGCUCCAAUCUCAAACACAAGUCAAAAUUGAGUCUAAACAUAGCCAUUAAUCUCAUUCUCUGAUUAUCAUCACGUUCUACAGCUCCUCGAGCUUGGUCCACGUUUCCUCUUCAUCAAAUUCGCUAUUUUUAACAAAAAUGCACUAGGAUAAUCGAUUAUCAUAAGUGAUAAUCGAUUAUUCCCGAGAAGUUCACAUUUACACAAAAUAUACUGUGAUAAUCAAUUGUCAUUGAUGAUAAUCGAUUAUUUCAGUGGCUUUAAUACAUCAUAUUUCCAUAUUCAUCACACAUGAAAGGAAAAUUUAUUAUCAUACCAGAUAAUCGAUUAUUCUCGAGACAAAACUAAAAACCAAUGCAUAAAUAGUCGUUUAUUGUUGAAUCAAACUACAUCCCAGAUAUAAUUUAAGUGCUCAAAACACACAUACAUCAACCCUAGAUCACGAGGGAACACAUACCCAAUACAUCAUGCAUGCAUUCAAGCCUUAUAUACCCUUAUGAACAGACCCUAAUGCAUACAUUACAUCACUUGAACCAUUCAUAACAGCUCGAUGACAAGACAACUCAACGAGUUAACUCGACAACCCGACAACUCGACGAACCAAAUUGUAAAAAUCAACUCGUUUAGAAGUGACGCUAACCUAUUUUUUAUAAACCAAAAUGAGACUAAGCUUAAACAAACCGAAUUGAGUCGUUUUUAUCACCCUACCCUACAUGUAAUAAAUGAAUUUUGAACUAAUUUUUAAUAAUUUGUUUUUUUUACAAUAAUAUUUUUAAAGUUUAGAAUUCAAUUUAUCUUUCCAAAGAAAAAUUAGAUUAAAAACAAUUUGAUAUCAUUAUCUAAUCAUAAAUCUAAUUAUUAAAGCUUGAACUUUUCUAUUGUUAAUAAAAAACGCUUUUAUAAUAUCAAUUUAUUAAAAGUAAUAAUUAUAAAAAUUAAAAAUACUAAAAAAUAUGUUUGAAGGGUCUAGCGCAUGUCCUUGUGCUGGACACCUUUACUUCUUCUUUUAUAAAAAUUAAAAAUACUAAAAAAUAUGUUUGAAGGGUCUAGCGCAUGUCCUUGUGCUGGACACCUUUACUUCUUCUUUUAUAAAAAUUAAAAAUACUAUAUAUGUGGCUUAAAAUCUUAGCGCACUCCUUUUUCUCUUGAUUUCAUUCCCCUAUAUUCUCUCAUUUCUAAACUAUUAUUACUGUUCCAUUUCCCAGAGUGUCAAGACGGUAAUUCACAUAGGUUGGUGGGGGCAUCCUCUCAACAAAAACGGCACCAACAAUAUAAAGUAAGAGAAGCCGAAUACUUGGAACCAAAAGCAGCAGAGGCAUUGGAAAAAUAGAGAGAUCCUUUCCUUCUCUCUUGCUUUCCUUUGACGCUUCUGACCCUUUUACCUUCCAAAACGCCUUUCUGUUCUCUUCUCUGACCUAAUGGCUUUCUCCGACUCUUCUUCUGGUCGCAACUCUCUCAUCCCCUCCUUCCUAUACUCCUCUUCCUCCAAGACGCUUCCUCUCCACCGUAUGCUCCACUCCACCGCCGCCGCCGCCGCCGCCGCCUCACCCUCGUCACCGCCGGCAAACAUCGAUGCCGGAUCGCGCGGCUUCAUGAUUCCCUCUCCCAGCGAGUCACGCAAGAUCGAGCUUUAUUCGCCUGCCUUCUACGCCGCCUGUACUGCCGGUGGAAUCCUCAGCUGUGGCCUCACUCACAUGGCCGUCACUCCUCUUGACCUUGUCAAGUGUAAUAUGCAGGUCUCUCUAUCUUUCUUCCUGUCUCUCUAUUUCUCUCUAUCUCCAUAUGUUUGUUUAUCUCGAUCUGACUUGUUGUCCUUAGAUUUAACUAUUUUCGCUCGAUUGUGUGGUGUUUUCCCCACUUGUCUUCCUUCUUGUUAGAUCUGCGAUUUUCUUUGAAGUAUUUUCCGGUAUUAGGUCGUGAUUGUUGUGUCUUAGUUAAUUAGAUCUGCUAGGUCUGGCUGUUUUGUUUAGUUGAACAAUCGUUAGCCUCGUAUGUCGUGUAAUUUCUAGUCCAUUUCGUCUUUUUUCUACUUUAUGAUAUGUGCUAUUCAUGUAUUUCUAGUUUAGCGAGUCUACUAUGUAUUUUUGGAUUUUGUAGUUGUAGUAGUCUUUUAUUACGUUUAGGAGCUGAGAAUGAUUCCGCGGGAGAACCAUAUUCUUCGUUAGGCGAAUAAUUAGGUGAAGGACAUUGAAGUUUGGUACAUUAUGAAGUGCGGAAUCUGUCAUUAGUGUUGUGAUUUUGUGUUGUGACGUUAAGGAUCCAGGUUCUAGAUAAUCUCGGUGGUUGAUAAUAAAAUUUAAUUGCUGACAUCGCUUGCACUGCACAUGAAUAGCAUAUUAUGGAUUUGUUGGAAUAUCAGGAGUUAGUUUUCUCAUAAACUAUUCAUGUUUAUUGUCUUUGUUUACUUUAGAGGAGACCGGGCUUAAAGUCAAUAGCUUGAUUAUGUGCAUACCAGUGCAAUUGAAUUUGGAAUUGUUUACUUGUUUUACCUAGGGUUUGUGUUUUAAUGUUUACUUGUUGAUUUCAGAUCGACCCUGCUAAGUACAAGAACAUCACAUCUGGAUUUGGGGUUUUGCUUAAGGAGCAGGGCAUCAGGGGCUUUUUCCGUGGUUGGGUGCCUACCUUGCUUGGUUACAGUGCACAGGGUGCUUGCAAAUUCGGAUUCUACGAGUUCUUUAAGAAGUAUUACUCCGAUAUUGCUGGUCCAGAGUAUGCUAGCAAGUACAAGACCUUGAUUUACCUUGCUGGUUCCGCUUCUGCUGAGGUUAUUGCUGAUGUUGCUCUUUGCCCCUUCGAGGCUGUGAAGGUCCGUGUCCAAACACAGCCUGGUUUUGCCAGGGGUUUGGCUGAUGGGCUCCCAAAAUUUGUGAAAUCUGAAGGAACUUUGGGGUAUGAUUACAAAUACUGUUAACUCCUAUAAUAUUUUGGUAGAGGAUGUGUUUGAAAUCAUAGUAUGGUGGUCUAUGAUUGGAUUUAAGAUUAGGAUGUCAUCUAUUGAAUGUCUUGUGAUUUCAGGCUGUACAAGGGAAUAGUGCCUCUGUGGGGACGACAGAUUCCAUGUAAGUUGGCCAUUAUAUAAUUUGCAUUAUAGUUUUUAGUGCCCCUAAAUUUGCUGUUUGUGCAUUGUUCAGUAUUUCUUGAGAUGCUGGACUAGUGGUUUUUGUUUGUAAUCAAGAGUUAUGCCCUAUUCUGGGUGGUUGCAAGUUUUUGGUUUUCAACACCAAUUUGAAUAUUGGUGUUGAAGUUAGAAAUUUUGUGCUAUAUUGUUUGACCUUUGUUUUAUAUACAACUUGGUGGUAUAUAAAAGGUCCCGGUACCUGAUAUCAUGACUUGUAUGACAUAAAAAGUUCUUUCCUGCAGACACAAUGAUGAAAUUUGCUUCAUUUGAGACCAUAGUGGAGCUGAUCUAUAAGCAUGCCAUUCCUACUCCCAAGAAUGAGUGCAGCAAAAACCUGCAACUCGGUGUCAGUUUUGCCGGUGGAUAUAUUGCUGGUGUGCUUUGUGCAAUCGUGUCUCAUCCUGCUGAUAAUCUUGUCUCUUUCCUGAACAAUGCUAAAGGAGCAACAGUUGGUGAUGUGAGUGUCAGACUUGGAGCCAUUGUUGUGUAGUUGUUUCUAACAAUAUCUGUUCAUCUGUUUAUGCAAGUUUCUUUAAUGCUACGUACCAUGUAAUGCAGGCGGUGAGUAAGCUUGGUUUGUGGGGUCUCUUCACCCGUGGUCUUCCCCUCCGUAUUGUGAUGAUUGGAACUCUUACUGGUGCCCAAUGGGGAAUAUAUGAUGCUUUCAAAGUCUUUGUUGGGCUGUAAGUUUACACAAUUGCUAUUACAUGAUAGGGUUCUACACUUUGUUAUAUGUUUCGUUAUUUAUAUGAUGUGCUGAUGAACAUUUCCCCACCUUCCCAGGCCAACAACUGGUGGUCCUGCUCCUGCCGCUGCUCCAGCUCCAGCAAAGGCGUAAAAAUGUCCAGUGAUGGCACUCAAUAGUUUGUUUACGAAAGUUAGAAGGCAGUGAAUAGGGACCAUAAAUAAACAGAGGACUGAAGUUGCUUGGGUGGAACUCAAGCUUCGUUGGAUAAUAUUCUUUUCAAGUUCAGACAUUGUUUCCAUUUUUAUUGUAUGAGUAUGUCAAGUUUUUGGGAGGAUGGUUUUGCUCGCAUCCUUCCCCUUUUUUGAGAACUUUGUAGCUAGGAAUGAUAUAAUUUAUAGCAUGUUUGGUUCGCCACAUGCCAUUGCCAACCGGGAAUACACAUUUGUUUUGUUGUCAGUGCAAUAAGCACAGACGCCUAUGCAAUGCCGAGAUUGAGAUCAUUUUUAUUGUUUGUUGCCUGGAAAUUGUCAAAUUACGUUUUAUAUUGCAAUGAUCGUUUCCAAGCUAGAUCCUGAAACAGUACUUUUUUCACUGGUUCUGUUGGCUAGUGCUAGAUUGAUUAGUUCUAGGGUUGUCAAGCCUAGUUUUUUGGUAAAAACAUGGAAAAGUAAUUGGUCAAAUUUGUCUGGUUGGGAAGAUGGUUGAACAAAAGAAAUUCGUUGGGAUUGUUGGAUUUGCAUUAUUAUUUUUUAUGUUUUUACUAUUAUAGUAGUUUUCAUGUUUUGUUAACUUUUUAUUGCAACAACUUUAAAAUACAUUUUAAUUUUAGAUGUGAAACAUUUUGUUAUUUAUUUUUCAAAUCUAAAUAAUCAAUAAUUCUUUUUUUCCUAUAACAAAAAGGUUUAAUUACAAUGCAUUCAUAAAAUUAUAGGUUUAAUACCUAUUUUGGUCCCUUCUUUGGGAGGGUUUGUUCAAAGUGAUCCCUCCUUUUUUUCAAAAGUUCACUUAAGUCCUACAUUUUGCAAAAACUGUUCAAAGUGGUCCCUCCUUUUUUCAAAAGUUCACUUAAGUCCUACAUUUUGCAAAAACUGUUCAAAGUGGUCCCUCCUUUUUUCAAAAGUUCACUUAAGUCCUACCUUUUGCAAAAACUGUUCAAAGNGGUCCCUCCUUUUUUCAAAAGUUCACUUAAGUCCUACCUUUUGCAAAAACUGUUCAAAGUGGUCCUUUUUGCUAACGGCCUUAACUUUCUUAACGGCACACUUUGAACAGUUUGCUGAGGUGUAACGUUUUGGCUGUUAGCAAAAAGGUAGGAAACUGUUCAAAGUGUGCCGUUAAGAAAGUUAAUGCCAUUAGCAAAAAGGACCACUUUGAACAGUUUUUGCAAAAGGUAGGACUUGAACUUUUGAAAAAAGGAGGGACCACUUUGAACAGUUUUUGCAAAAGGUAGGACUUAAGUGAACUUUUGAAAAAAGGAGGGACCACUUUGAACAAACCCUCCCAAAGGAGGGACCAAAAUAGGUAUUAAACCUAAAAUUAUAUUAGAAUCACCAAGGAAAUGCUCCCGUAUAUUUCAACAAUGUUCAGUGUUCGUAUAUUUCACAAGUAGUGGUCGAUUUCUACAUUUAUUAUGAAUUUAAAUAGAUAUUCUAAGUAAAGAAGCUAGUUUUUCAUAACAUGGUAACUGAAGGUGUAAAUCUUACUGGAAGACUUGUCAACAUUUAGUACUUAACCAAUUUACUGUGUCUGCAACAUUAUUGUCUUAAAGAAGUGAUGAUAUGACCUCAAAAACAAAAUUACACGUCAAAGUUAAUAUAUUGCAAAACUAAGUUAAUCUUAUGAAAGUUAGUUUAAAAUUGAUGAACAUCCACCACUGUGUUAUGCCUUUGAACAUUAAGCAUUAAAGAAAUCAUUCCUUCAAAACUAUGUGGACUUGUCUUAAUCACUUGUAACCAUCAUUGUAACUCCACGACCAUAAAUUAGAGACUAAAUCGGUAUUUAUGGAAAGUUAGACCAUUCCUUUUGGUGUGCGAUAAUCGGGUUGAAUUCUAUUAAGUAUGGUCCAACACUGUGCACUUCAUCUGAGAAAGGCCCAAUGCAUGCAGUGGCCCGUGAACAUGUUAUUUCCGAGAGUGGGUUGUCUGUGUGGCAUAACCCAGAUAAGAAAAGAAAGAAGAGAGAGGUCAGAGUGAAGGGCGCGAGAGACGAUGGAGAGAAAAACGAUCGGAGGCUCGUCGGACACGCUCAGGCACGGUGGUUACCGGUGCCGUAGAAGACAAAAAUAUAGAUCGCAGCAAAAGAGGUAAGAAAAACGUAUUCUUUUCUUAAUUCUGUAAACAUGAACAACUCUCUGGUUUUUCAUACAUCAAAGGGGAAAAAUGGAAGGAACUCUAUAUAUAGAGUUCCAUGGGGAAAAACGAAAACCGAAAAAACAGAAUAACUGUCUUUGGACAGUUAGGAGAACUAUAUGGUUCUCAAUAGCCUCCCCUCAAGCUGGACAAUGUAUAUUUACCAGUCCAAGCUUGGGUACAAUAGCUCCAAAUCUGACGCUGUGCGAGAAUUUUGUGAAGAUGUCGGUGAGUUGUUCGUCGGAUUGAACGGGAAGAAGAUGCAGAAGGCACUCUUGUAAUUUUUCACGAACCACGUGGCAAUCAAGCUCUAUGUGCUUGGUUUGUUUGUGGAAGCUCUGAUUAUGAGCUAUGUGGCGUGCAAAUUUGUUGUCACAAUACAAAAUAGGUACCCCAGAUUCUUCAGUUUGAAGGUCUUGUAGGAGAUAAUGGAGCCAUUGUAUUUCACAUACAGUGGCUGCAAGAGCCCUGUAUUCAACUUCAGUGGAGGAUCUGGACACAGUCUUCUGCUUUUUAGAUUUCCAGGAAAUGAGAGAUGACCCAAGGAAAAUACAGAACCCCGUAGUGGAUCUCCUUGUGUUGGGACAUGUUGCCCAGUCUGAGUCGCUAAAAGCCUUUAAAUGCUUAGGAGAAUCGGCUGCAAAAAUAACCCUUCAGAAGGUGAGGAUUUUAUAUAUCUGAGAACAUGUUGAAUAACCUGAUAAUGAUAGUAGGUGGGUGAUUGCAUAAAUUGACUGAGUAGAUUAACAGUAAAUCAUAAGUUAGGUCUGGUAUUAGUAAGGUAGAGUAACUUCCUUAUCAAUCUUCUAUAAGGUUUAGGAUUAUCCAGAUAGUUGUCUUCUUUGUAUAGUGAGCUGGUGUCUUUUAGGAAAGGAGUAGAAGAAGGCUUGCACCCCUGCAUCCCUGUUUCCUCAAGUAUGUCCAAAGCAUACUUCCUCUGACAUAAAUGAAUUCCCUUCUUGGAUCUAGCUACUUCAAGUCCAAUGAAGUAUUUAAGCUCUCCAAGGUUCUUAAUAUGAAACCUUUUGUGCAAAAGUUCUUUUAUGUAGUUGAUUUCCUCCAUAGAAUUUCCUGCCAGUACAAUGUCAUCCACAUAUACAAGCAAAGUAGUAAAACCUGUAGCAGUUCUUUUGGUAAACAAUGAGUGGUUGGAUUUAGAUUAAUUGUAGUUAACAUAAAUUAGAUAGGAGGAUAAUUUUUCAAACCACUGCCUACUGGCUUGUUUUAAGCCAUAUAGAGAUUUAGUCAGCUUGCAAACCUGUCCCUCUUUAUGGGUGUUCAGACCUGGGGGUAAUUGCAUAUAAACCUCUUCAUUUAAAUCUCCAUGUAGAAAAGCAUUGUCUACAUCAAGUUGAUGUAGAAACCAAUUGUUUGAGACUGCAAGGGCAAUGAGAAGCCUAACAGUGGUAAGUUUGGCAAUAGGGGAAAAUGUGUCGAGGUAGUUUAUUCCUUCCUGUUGAGUAUAUCCCUUUGCCACUAAUCGGGCUUUGUGCCUUUCAAUACUGCCAUCUGCUCUAUACUUAGUUUUAUAUACCCAUUUUUACCCUAUGGAAGUUUUUCCAGGAGGUAGCUGAGUUAGAAUCCAAGUAUUAUUGUCUUGUAAAGCUUUAAUCUCCUUUUGCAUAGCUUCCACCCAUUCAUUCUUGACCUUAGCUUCAUUAUAAGACUGUGGUUCUUUAUUGUUAGUAACUGCCAUGAUGUAUUUUGAGUGUUUUUCUGACAAAUUACUGCAACAUAACAAAUUAUAAAUCGGGUAAGGAGUUUUAAAACCAUUUCUCACAAAUAAGGAUUGAUGAACCUGAUGAACAUAGUCUUUUAGGUAUUCUGGAGUCUUUCUGAGCGUGUCUGAUUUUCUGUUUCCAUGAUUUUCUUGAUUAUCAAUGGUGUUGUUGUUGUUGUCUCUGUCAGUAGAGGUCUGUUGCCGUCCUUCUUGAUUAAAAACAUUUAAUUCAUCGUGUCUGUCUAAUGAUCCCUUAAAAGAUCAUUGAGAGAGUCAGCUUUCUCUUCUUCAGUGAUAGUAUCCUGUCUGUUUCCUUGCAGACUAUUGUAAGGAAAAACAUCUUCAUGAAAUAUGACAUUCCUGCUUGUGAAAAGUUCUUUGGUACUUAAAUCUAAUACAAUGUACCCUUUAACACCACUCUUAUAUCCUAGAAAAAUUCCUUUUCUAGCUCUAGGAUCAAGUUUAUUUCUGUUGUUUUCUAGAGUAGAAGCAAAACAUAAACAUCCAAAAACCUUGAGAUCCAAAUAAGUAGGCGAUUCAUUAUAAAGCAUGUCAUAAGGAGUUUUAUCAUCAAGAAUGGGUGAAGGCAUUCUGUUUAUCAAAUAGACAGCAUGCCCAACAACAUAUGACCAAUAAGCAUUAGGUAUAUUUGAUUGAAAAAGGAGACUGCGUGUUACAUUAAGUAUGUGUUGAUGUUUCCUUUCAACAACAGAGUUUUGUUCAGGUGUCUCAACAUAGCUUUUUUGAUGAUUAAUUCCAUGCAUGUCAUAAAAAUUUUCACAUUUAAAUUCAGGUCCAUUGUUAGAUCUAAUGUUUUUAACCAUUUUGUUGAACUGAUUCUUGAUUUUAAUGAUAAAAUUCUGCAGUAAGUCUCUUGUCUGUCCUUUAUUGUUCAUUAGAAAAACCCACAUAUGCCUACUAUAAUCAUCUACUAUGGUGAGGAAGUAUCUAUGGCCAUGUACAGAAAUUGUGUUUAGAGGACCCCAUAUAUCACAGUGAAUGAUUUCAAAGCAUUCAGUAGUAGUAGAAAUACUCUUUGGAAAAGAUAACUUGUGUUGCUUGGCAUAAUGACAAGUGUCACAAACAGAAUUAGCAUCUAUCUUAACAUAAGGAAACUUUUCACAUAUAUGUCUUACAACUCUAUGUCCUAGGUGGCCUAGUCUAAGAUGCCACAGGUUAACAUCAACAUUCUUAUAAGAGAAAACAAUUUUUGAAGUGUAUCUUUGAUCAGGUUUAGGGAAAACUUGUAGAUAAUAGAGCCUGUUCCAAGACUUAGCACAUCCAAUCAUCUUCAAUGUACAAUUCUCCCUUAUCUGACAAUUCUUAGAUGAAAAAGUUAGGCUGCAAUUCAUAUCUCUGAUAAGACUUUGUACAGAUAUCAAAUUAAAACAAAAAUCUGGUAUAUAAAGAACAUUGAAAAUGAUAAAAUCUUUGGUAAACUGCAUUGUUCCUGCAUGCUCAGCAAUAAGUAUAGUGUUAUUUGGCAGUUUUAUAGAAAUUGGUUUAAUCUUGUAGAAGGUAAUAAAGUUGGUUCUGUCAUGAGUAACGUGAUCUGUAGCACCAGUAUCAAUAAUCCAAGAAAAAUUACCUUGUUCAUUCUCAGUUUCAUUUCUCUGAACUUGAUUGACCUUGUGUGUGAGUGGUUCAUCAAUUUUGUCUAUCAUUUUGAGUAGUUUAUGCAUCUGCUCUGGUGUAAAGGAAUUAAAAUUGUUACCAUUGUUGACCUGUUGGGUUUUCUGAGUGCCCUCUGAUUCAAUAUUGUUUUGGCAAGCAUUGACAGUCGUCCAGUCAUUUCUUUUGUCUUCUUUCUUAUACGAAGGUGGGUCCGUGUUUAGAAUAACACUCAUCUACAGUAUGGUUCAUUUUGUUGCAAUAUGAACAUUGUUUCCCAUAAUUGGGAUUUCUUCCCCUUCCUCUGCCUUGACCACGGAGUCCAGUACCCCUUCCUUGAUUUCUCCAAUUCUGAUCAGGUUGCCAAAAUUUUGGCCUCUGUGGGGGUUUGUUUUUCUUGUCUUUCUUGCUGGAUGAUAAGCGAUCACUCCCCGCCUUCGUUAGUGCCCGGGUGUCACAUGCUCACCAGCGAUCACUCUGAUACCAUUUGUAACGCCCCGGCAACUUACAGGGACUACUGUCUGCCCCCACACAUCAACACGAGGCUUUCCAGUGUGCUUUGUCCUCACUCACACACUUUCCGAGAAAACUUCCCGAAAGGUCACCCAUCCCAUAAUUACUCUAGGCUAAGCACGCUUCACCAUGGAGUUCUUAUGAGUUAGGCUACCGAAAAGCAAAUGCAUUUGUUGAUAUGAGUAGUCAAAUCAAUUCCUUUAAGCUAUCCUUCAACUGUAUAGUCCCAUACCUAUACAAUCUCCAGAUCCCUCUCAUUCCGGUGUAUGUUCGAUUCAUCCAUGUGCCCCUUCCACUCGAAGCCUUCCAGGAGCCACUCCUUGUCCGUGCCCCCUGCACCAUGCCUCUUGCACCGGCGAUCACUCCCCGCCUUUGUCAGUGCCCGGGUGUCACACAAGUAGGUAUAGGUCUCAAAGAUUCCAGCUCCUCCCAUAGGAUUUUCAAAUCUGUAAAAAAUUGACUCACCCUCCUUUCACCUUGUCUAAUGGAAUGUAUAUCUUGUAACAAGUCAGAGAUUUUAAAAUAAUCUCCCUUAGAAAAUCUUUCCUUGAGCUCAUCCCAUAACUCUUUAUCCUCUUCAAUGUAAAUCACACUUUCAGCAAUGUGUGGAGACAAUGUCUUCGUUAUCCAUGAUAAAAUCAUCACGUUACAUCUUUCCCAGGCGUCAUAAACAACACCAACUUUCUGGGGUCUUUUUAUGGAUCCAUCAAUGAAUUUUACCUUAUUCUUGGAAAGCAGAGCUCUCCUCAUGCUUCUGCUCCAAGAUGAGUAGUUAUUCUCGUUUAGAACUUGAGUAAUCAGAGUGAAGCCUGGGUUUUCACCUGGGUGUAGAUAGUAAGGACUGGCUGGAUUGAAUGCUUGGUCAGCUUGAUCCAUGGCAGAAGAAAGAAAGCAACAAGAAGGCCCAAGAAGAUACCAAGAACAACAAAAGAACAACGGAAGUAGAGCAGACACUAGACCUGCUCUGAUACCAUAUCAAGCAUGGCCCAACACUGUGCACUUAAUCUGAGAAAGGCCCAAUGCAUGCAGUGGCCCGUGAACAUGUUAUUUCCGAGAGUGGGUUGUCUGCAUGGCAUAACCUAGAUGAGAAAAGAAAGAAGAGAGAGGUUAGAGCGAAGGGCGCGAGAGGCGAUGGAGAGAGAAACGAUCGGAGUCUCGUUGGAGACGCUCAGGCACGGUGGUUACCGGUGCCGUAGAAGACAAAAAUAUAGAUCGCAGCAAAAGAGGUAAGAAAAACGUAUUCUUUUCUUAUUUCUGUAAACAUGAACAACUCUCUGGUUUUUCAUACAUCAAAGGGGAAAAAGGAAAGGAACUCUAUAUACAGAGUUCCAUGGGAAAAAACGAAAACUGGAAAAACAAAAUAAUUGUCUUUGGACAGUUAGAAGAACUAUAUGGUUUUCAAUAAAUUCCUUCUUAUUAGCAUAAAACCGAAAAUAAAAUGUUAACAAAGAAUCUUUUCUUUUCAGCAUCUUAAUGAAUGGAUAAUUUGCAUUUCAAUUCCUUUAGUACACUUCAUAAGGAAAAUCAUUAAUUGAAUUCUAAAUUGAAAGGUUUGUGUGAACUUAUUGUUACAAUUACGCACUUCUCAAAUAUACAUUUAUUUUCUAAAAGAAACUGAGGUUUUGAGUUGUUGGGUUAAAUAAUUUUGAUUAUUAUAUUAUUCAUGUUAGAGAAUAAAUUCAAGAAUGUUUGAAGAGAGUUUCUCCUUACACCAUCACAUAUUUCUUCAUGCACCUCUUUAAUUUUUUUUUUCAAAAAUACUCUUAAGUAAAUAUUUUUUACUUUUAUCAUUUACUUUUUUACUUUAAUUUAAAAUCCUAAAUCUUCUUUUCCUUUUUUCUCAUCCAUGUGCUAUACCCCACCCCACCCCGCACAGAUCUCAUUUCUCUUUUUCUCUCUUCCCGCUUUGCUCUCCUCCUCUUCCAUUUUCGUUUCCUUGUUGCUUCCAUUUUCAUUGCUUCCAUUGACUGAGGUGUUUGGUUCGUUUGUUGAGGAGGAAUGUGCUUGCUUCGUUUGCGGUUGGUUUGGUCUCUCCACACUUCGAUCUAUGUUGGUUUGUUCUUCUCUUUUAUAUGGUUAAUGCAUUUGAUGUUGGUUUGCAUGUUUGUUUGGUUUGUAUGUAUAUUUAGGUGCCCUAUUACCCUCUGUGAACAUGCUAAAUUGGUUAUGUGUUGUGUAUGUUGUGCACCGUGAAAAAAAGGAAGAGA
This 97033-nucleotide long non-coding RNA is filed under the name Vigna radiata. RNAcentral's name for it is "long non-coding RNA (VRAD_LNC002982)". Lineage: Eukaryota; Viridiplantae; Streptophyta; Magnoliopsida; Fabales; Fabaceae. The record is from RNAcentral.